ACUUCAGAGUGUACUCUUUGAGUUUGGCAACUCACCACCAGCAUCCAACCAAACCUAGCGGAUCAACGGCGUGUCAACUUAGUUCCUGGUCAGCUCGCGAGUUGAUUUUAUCACGUCCUAUACCGUCCACAAGAUGGGGGGCCACCUCCCAUUUCAUCACCUCUCAAACACCCCGAGAGGUCGGCAGGCGGAUUUGAACCCGGACGCGCCGGGACGUGACGGGAGCAGAAGCCAGACCUUAACCUCUGCCAGCCGCCUGCCUGAUGUUGUAUGCUACGAACGCUACCUGACGCGGAACACCUUGCCCCCUAGCUGAUUCACCGGAUCCUGGCUUGCUGCCGCUAGCUACGCUGCCACUAGCUCCGUUGCCACUGUUGCUGUAGCCACCCUUAUAUCCAGAUUUUGACGACUGCUUGAGCGCUUUAAGCUGCCUGCAGUCCUUUACCACGUGCCCAUGUUGAGGAAACGGUCUUCUCCCAACUCGUGUGGUUGUCGACCAGGGGAUUUGACCCCAGGUCUGUGCCUGACUAAUGGGGAAGACUUACCCCCAGAACUUUAAAGGGCUACCGAUGCAUAUCCGGUAGCUAAGUAAUAGACAUUUGGGCACCGUCAGGACGGCGCAGAGAGAUCGCGGAAUGUACGUGCAGUUAGAUCGCGGAAUGUACGAGUUUUCCGAUAGCGCCGGUAUUUAGGGCGGUGACUGCGCUUAUUUGUUUAUCUCACAACGAUCGGUAUUCCUCAAAGGAAUCUCCUCAAGUCCUGCCUAACGCAAUUUACAGUUUUUUACAUUACUUGAAAUGUUACAGAGUGGGAGGCUUCUGGGCCGCUUUACCACAUUGUCAGUUCUACGAUCAUUUAUCACCUUAUAGCACCAUCCACCACUACCACACUGUCUUCGCCAUACGAACUGUAAGUCCAAGGCGGCGGAUCCAGCCUUCAGAGACCCGUCCUCAUCCAUUCACCCGGAGGGUUCGGCAAUCGCCACCAAUCCAGCGUGCGAAUCUGGUCCAUCAACUGUGACCUCAACUCCACAUCUCAGCAGCUAGCCAUAAUCUCGCGCUCCCGACAAAUUCGGGGAUCUCCCCAGGAAUCGAACCCUAAGAUAUUGAACACGAUAAACUGAUACAAGUAAUGUAAGAAGUAGUAUUAUGCGUUAGGCAGGACUUUAGGAGAUUCCUUUGAGGAAUACCGAUCGUUGUGAGAUAAACAAAUAAGCAAACAUCUAUGUGAACUAGUGCUAGUGGCUGAGCUGCUUUGUGUCCUGUUAACGGAAAAGGACCUCGUGUCUGUUUUGCAUAAACGCAGGUCUCACAAACACCCGUGCUGGCUUUUUGGAAACUGUGCUGGUCGACGUCAAAUCCCAUUACCAUAUUGUGCGCAGCAACACCUCGAGGUUGCUGUAGCCAAGAUGUCCGUAACACCGAUGCCAAAGUGUUGCACGCUCCGUCUUGGAAUUCACAGCGGUGCACGUUGUACCAUGUCCGUUGUCACAGUAGCUCGUAUUCUGCGUCCUCCUGAUGGUGCCUGUACUUCCACCUCGAUAGCAAAUGGGGUAGAGAUCACCGUCCCGUUCACCGGUCAACACUAAAUGAUUUUGCAAGUAUACCUGUACUUGACCGUCACCGAAGACGACGCUACCUCCGCGAUCGUCGAUGAUACGGACGGACAAAAUCUUUACCAUCGCCUCCUCGUCAACGUAGACCCUUUUAAAUGUGAUGGCUUGAUUGUCGUUGACAUUAGAUCGAAUGGUAAGCGAUCCAACCUCCGUCGGACGCAGUGAUUGACCCUUAAUGCCCACAAUGCUGAAGCGUUCCCAAGGCCCCAACACACGUGCAUUGUGUAGUUCGGAUCGGUCGUAAGUGACGGGGUGAGUAGAUGCUGAGUCCAGAAACCAUUCCGUCGGACGCUCGCUGUUGUAUGCCACGAACGCUACCUGCCGCGGAACUCCUGGCCCCCUAGCUGAUCCACCGGAUCCUGGAUUGCUGCCGCUAGCUCCGCUGCCACUGUUGUUGUAGCCACCCUUAUUGACGACUGCUUGAGCGCUUUAAGCUGCCUGCCGUCCUUUACCACUUGCCCAGGCUUAUUACAGUAGUAGCAGAUGAGUUGUUUCCGACUGUGUCCCGAGCUGCUGCUAGCCGGCCCCCGGCUGCCAUAACCAGAAUUAGAAGCGCCGAAAGUCGAACCGCCGAGAGACGUGAAGGCUGCCGACUCGGUAGGCUUGUCCGACCUACCGUUAGCCGUCUCGAUAGCGAGAAGCUUUGCUGUGACGCUCGCCAUGUCCAAAUCGCCGUCACGCAUCAGUAGUGUUGUCGUCACCACGCUGUACCGAUUGGGUAGACCAACUAAGACGGUAUACGCCAGCUCGGAGUCGUUGAUUACGUGGCCGAAACCCAACAAGUCCGUUUGCAGCUGCCUCGCACGUGCAUAUACUUCGAAAGUGGCUCACAGUCAACCAUCUUGAAGCGGCUGAAUUCUUGGCGUAGAGCCACCUUGCGGGCGUUGUUGUUGGCAGCGAACAUCAAGUUCAAGGCAUCCCAAGUCUUCGCGUUGGCUGCACCGGUGACCAUCGGCAAAUGGUGAUCCUUAACGUUCUUGAUAAGCAGAUUGAUGACCUUCCGUGAUUGAUGAAUCUGCUCCUCGUUGCACGGCUCGGCGAGCAAAGACUGCUCAAGCCGAAGCUCCAUGCACAUCGCACUAAACCGUCGGUGUUACGGACAUUUGGGCUACAGCAACCUCGAGGCGUUGCUGCACCACAAUAUGGUAAUGGGAUUUGACGUCGUCCAGCACAGCUUUCAGAAAGCGAGUACGUGUGUUUGUGAGACCUGCGUUUUUGCAAAACAGACACGAGGUCCUUUUCCGCUGACAGGGCACAAGGCAGCCCAGCCACUAGCAUUAGUUCACAUGGAUGCGUGUGGACCUAUGCCUGAACCUUCGCCUAGUGGUUCUCGCUACGUGACAACUCUGCUUGACGUCCAUACCGGUCUUUCAGCAGUUGCGUUUACAGCGACCAAGGAGGAGGUCUAUCUGAAGAUGGUGGUAAUGAUAGCGGACCUGGAGCGCGCUUCUGGCAGGCAGGUUAAGGAGGUUCGUACGGAUCGUGGCGGGGAGUUCAUUAAUACUCGCACGAAGGGCUAUUUCGCGUCCAGGGGUAUUGUUCAUGGAACUACGGUAGGCUACACCCCUGAGCAGAACGGAGCAGCGGAACGUUUGAAUCGCAAGACACAAGUUAUGCAAGUCUUGGUAUCUCAUCUUAGGAUGGAUCGGUAUUCCUUAACAGGAAUCUCCUAAAGUCUUCUUUCCGUUCACCAUUAACCCACAGACUUUAACCCUUAUGUCGCGACCAGUCUCCUUGCGUUCAUAUUCUUAACAGGGAUCGCUGCCUAGGGCUGGCGAAGGGAUACCAGGUAGCACCGUCCGCGAGGGAUCGCCGCACUUGGGUGGCGAGGGGGCGCCGGCUGGGGCUGAACCAUCCAGCAGUGUAUUGAAGAAUCGACUGCGGUGGCAGCUGGCGGCGACUGUUAUUUCGGAAAGGAAUACCGGCGUGUUCGUCGCCAGAUAGUUCAAUCCUCCCACCAAAGCCCUAUACUCCGUGGGAUUGCCCAGCAGCUCCUCUCCGUCCCCCUUAGGAGUGUACCUAAAGCCCGGAGGGUAGAUCUCGGCUUGGCGUCAACCAUCCUAUGACGCUCCAACAGCUGCUCAAUGUACCUAUGCUGCGACAACACUAACUCACCCGACUUCUCCCUCCUAAUCUCCAUGCCCCCAAACACCUUCGCUUCUCCAAGGUCACGCACCCUUAAGACCUUCACAAUUGCGGCUUUAAUUUCCCGGACCAUUUCCGGGUCUUCUGACGCAACAAUGGGGUCAUCUACGUGCACCAAAGCAAUCCCCACGCUCGUCCAUAAUAAUGAACAUCGCCGGAUCAGACUUCGAAGGAUAAAGACCCAGCUUGGCGAACUCUGCUGAUAUCUUUUCAUACCAGCAACGGGGUGCCUGCUUCAAACCGUAAAUAGACCUCUGCAGCUUGCACGCAAGCGACCGGUCACUGGAUACAUACCCAGGUGGUUGCUGUAUCCACAACUCCUCCUUCAACUCGCUGUUCAAAAAUGCAGUAGACACAUCGAGCUGGUGUACCGUCAUGUUCCGCGCUGCGGCAACUGCUAAUAAAGCACGUAAUGACGAACCGAGGUAGGGGCAAACAACUCCCCAUAAUCAAUCCCCUCGCGUUGCUCGAAACCCUUCGCAACCAAUCGCGCCUUAAAACGCUCCACGCUGCCGUCAUCGUUGUACUUAACCUUAUACACCCAACGACACGGCAAUAAAUGAGUACCAGGAGGUGGCGUCUUCAGCUCCCAAGUACUGUUAGCCAUCUGGGCGGCGAUCUCCUCGUCCAUCGCACGCCGCCAAUCGUCUGCAUGAAGACUUGCAAUGGCUUCCGCAAACGAAUUCGGUUCAGGAAUAACAGCAGAGAAAGUAGCAUUAACGACCAGUAACAGUGCGACCAGGUUCCGCCACCAUUCGCCAGGGCGUUUACGUUCUCUAACUGGAUACCUAGUUCCCGCCAUUUCCACAUCAGGCUAAUUACUUCCUUGCCCGUUCGCACUGCUGGAAGGUCCAGCCCCAGCCGGCGCCCCCUCGCCACCCAAAUGCGGCGAUCCCUCGCCGACAGUAUUGCCUGAUGUUGUUGAGGAAACGGUCCUCUCCCAACUCGUGUGGUUGUCGACCAGGGGAUUUGACCCCGGGUCUGCGCCUGACUAAUGGGGAAGACUUACCCCAGAACCUUAUAGGGCUACCGAUGCAUAUCCGGUAGCUAAGUGAUAGACAUUAGGGCACCGUCUGGACGGCGCAGUGAGAUCGCGGAAUGUACGUGCAGUUAGAUCGCGGAAUGUACGAGUUUUCCGCUAGCGCCGGUAUUUAGGGCGGUGACAGCGCCUAUUAGUUUAUCUCACAACGAUCGGUAUUCCUACCAGGAAUCUCCUCAAGUCCUGCCGAACGCUAACAAUAUUCUUUACAUUACUUGUAACAGUUUAUCGUGCUAAAUAUCUUCGCCACCGGCCCUCCCCCCCCUCCCGGAGUGCCUAUGCCCCGGAGUGGAAGUUGGCUAACGAACUACGGCGAGGCCAGGAACACCAAUUGAGUUAAUUAUUGCUUUUCUUUAUAGCUUAAAUUUUGCACAAAGCGGUCAUACUUUGGUAGAUGGAAACUGCGACUGCCGGACAGAGGUCACACAUUUACAUAAUGCCAAAUGAACGGACUACAGAAACUGCAUAGCUAAAGAAAAGUUAUUGCUUUAACUAGUUUAGCAAAGAGCUUAACUAGUUUAGCAAGAGCGCGGGCACCUCCGAUUUCGACCUCAGGUUGGCCGAUGAUGAUGACAGGACUUCUCGCUUUGUACCCAUCCAAAAGCACCGAAACGCAUAGGAUUGUUGUGGAAUCUAGCACAUGCAAGACAUUGCGUGGUCGACGUUAAGGGGGCGCAUGAUGCCCCGGCAGCGCUUUCUGGGCCUCCAGGAGCCCCAAAACGGAUUGUCUAGGAUCGAUCCAUUGCAGAUAGAUCGUAGGCGCUGGUCUGACGGUCAUAGGGCUCAUAGCAGCUGGAUGGCUUUCAGACUGCCGGUCAUGGGAACCCGGGAGGCGUGCUGUUGGUGCGGGGCAAACCAGGGCUGUCGGGUGACCGGCGGACAUGGAUGGGUGCACCACCAAUUGAUAUACACACAGGGACGUAUUCUAAUCGGGGCGCUCGGCGGUACUCCGCCUGGAGCAAGCAGGUUCAACUCCUGCCGUCCUGUUCCUUUCAUCAUCCUCCCACAAAGAGUCCCGGGGACCAGUCGGGUGGUUAUGACGAUGCGGUGGCGGCUGCGGUGGUGGCGGUGGCCGCUGGCUAUCACGGUGCGCCCGUCACCGCUGCGGCAGCGGCAGCAGCGACGACCAGCCUGGUGGCGCAGUGCAGCAGUGCGGGCCCCGGGUGGGGCUUGUACGGGAGGGGAUAUGGCGGGGACCAGUCGGGUAGCUACUAAGGUGGCCAUGGGGGUUUUACGACCAGUGACAUGCAUGGCCUGGGACUGCAGCUACCAGCUACAUGGCGGGGUGACGAGUGGGGCGCUCUUGUUUGGUGGGCGAAACCCUGGAAGGGGUGCACAACGCACAGCAGGUCCCGGGUUACGGCAGUGGAUCUCAGGAUCGAGGUGUAGUGGUGACGGGAUCAGCAAUGUUGCCAGUGUCGGCAAUGUCUCCGAGUGGGGAUGUGGGCACGGAGGGGGGCGUAGGUGACACGUCCACAGCGGAUUGGACAGGCGGGCUUUACUAAAAUCAUAAUUGGAUACGGUGGGAGGGUGGUGAGCAUGCCGAUUGAAGCGGAGGCAUGAGGACGACGGGCAGUGCUGGCUGACAUUUACACAACACCGGUGCCAGCGGAACAAUGUAUGUGGGAUGUGGCGGUUGGAAAAAAGGAGUAGGCUCAUGGCGGCUGCAAUGAAACAAAGGACAUGCGGACCCAGGCUGGGGACCUCCUGGCGGAGAAAGGCCCAAGACACGCUGUAACGGAUUUUUUGGGUUUGCGCAACUUUGGGAGAAGAGAAAACAGGCGGGGCCUUCAGGCGUGGUUCAGUAGAGGGGGAUUCCCCCGGCUGCCGCCGCACACAUCACGAGCCAGGAUAGGUGUGCCAAGACCUCAAGCGGGGCUUACAAGGUGGGGGGACCAUUGGGGGGUUGGUCGGCCUAUGGGUCCACGGUAAUCAUAAUUCACUCAUGGCUCUCCAUGGCAAACGUGUAGGCCCGUGAGCUUAGCCAUUUGCCUCAUGCGAAUCAACGAACAGGCUGUAAUCCUGCGACUGCUCGCCUCUCUUUCACUCUACAAAGCGGCUCUUNNNNNNNNNNNNNNNNNNNNNNNNNNNNNNNNNNNNNNNNNNNNNNNNNNUGCCCGCAGAGCUGGAUGUGCUGUACUGAGGACACAAGUAUUGCCGUAAUGUGCACGCGGAAACCAUUUCUAGUGCCUCUGUUCACCUGCGGUUGCCGGCACUUAUCAGCCAGAUGUGACUAUGUACCAGUCGAUGACGCUGGAUUAGCGUUUUGCCGUCGAAGGCCUUGGAAAUGAUGGCAACUUCAUACGCUGCGCCGCAGCUGUAUGAGGGCAUAUAGCACCCACCCGGGUGAGCGAUGGGGGGUAGCAUGGUAGUUUUUUUUUCAGUUGGGUGCGCGGGGAACCAACAUGUAAUAAUGAUGGCUGUCGUACACCUGCUAACCCCUAUCCCUAAGAUUGUGGGGUAUUUCUUGAAGCAGCUAUUCGGGGGCUGUGUCAUCAUGUGGCUUAGUGAAUCGGUGAUGCACUCUGCGGUUGAGAAGUCGGUAUGAUGGCCAAGUGCUGAACCCUAAAAAGCUACUGAGCUCGCAGUGGAUGAGAAGGAUGAGGUCACUGCCAGGCUAGUGGUCACCGGUGAAGCUAUUCUACCAUAUCCCAAACAAUAACAGGUCGAUAUGGGAUGUAAGAAGAACAUUUUGUACAUUCAGUUCAUAAGUGCACCAAAGGGUAGGGUGAUACUCAUCUUUUUUUUCGUUUGAUGUUUCCUUGAACCUGCUUUCCCAAACCUAAUUAUAAUCUAAUCCAGUCUAGUACACUUGAGUAAAAUGCUACUGCCUUUGACUUCUACCGCUACCCUUUGCUCCACGAGCCAACGCGUGGUCUACAACCAUGAAAACCACGAAUUGCAGAUCAGUUUGCACCCAAUUACCCAGAUUCUGCCACCUGACUGUCCUUCAUGGCCACCUUCCAGCCAGAGAUGCCAACCCCAGCGAACACGGCGGCUCCACGCAUUCCCAACAGCACUCAGGCGAUGGCCAUGAUCCUAAAGCGGGACGGAUGGCAGAUACCGGGCGGCACAACAAUCGUCCCGCUUAUGCACCUAACGGUCCGCCUAGCGACACAGCUGCAAUGCGGGGCCACGGAGGAGAAACGGGGAUGCUUGAUGGCAGCAUUUUUGUGGACCCGCAGGAAACGGUACCUUCAUCCUCGGCGGAAAUUAGCUGCUUCAGGGCCUGCUUGUGGUCUGGGGUGCGGUUGGAGAACGCAAACAAAUAAACGCUGUGGCGGCUUGGCCGUGGACGGCAUCCCCCUGCCCGGCAACACGCACCUGGCUCGCAUGGUGCCCAAGCGGUGUGGGUGCGGAAGGUUCGGCAAUGCCAGCAACCAGCAAUGCUCCCCACGCAUGAACCACUUCUGGGAGUGCCCCGUCGCACAGGCUGUCCAUUGAUCGACACCCCCAGGAGGCCGCGACAGGCGGCAUCACCCGGAAGCAGCUGUGGUUGGUCCAGGCCCCGACCGGCUGCGAACAGGCCCCCUGGGAUGUGAUCGCCCUGGCGGCCCUGUCUGCUAUAGAGGUAGGCAGGUGCUGCCUGCGAGCAGCCGGAGGACGGCUGGAAAGGGCGGCUAACCCCGCGACGCAACGGCCAGAGCAAGUGCAACAGAUCCAGGCGCAAGGACCCCAACAGCGGCGGAUAACGGACUUCUCCCACCUGGGCAAUGGAGCGAGACCGCAGGAGGGCCCGUUGCUGAACGCGCCGGUACUCGAGGAUCAAACGCAGGGGCAAGUGUUUUGCGCGUUCAAUGCUUGCCAAGCAGUGAAAGCUGGGGCAUUGAUUAUUAGCGUCUUAUAAAUUAUAUACAUAAGGAUGUUUUGUAACUUUGGACCAUCAUUUCCAUGGCCAUCUGCUGGGCGUCCGCUGGAACGGUCAGGAUGUACGGCGUUGCGGACAGGGAAGCGUCCGCGGGGGGGGUAUAAGUUCCUGCAAAGCACUCGGCACAAAUCAGCUGCGUCUACGCACUUGCAUCAGGUACAAAGUCGACAUUCCUCCUUUCGCAUGCAUUGGGUAGACGGCAAUUCCCCGCAGCGGCCCCCUUGGCAAUCCAAUCCCUUGGCUCAGCCAACCCUGCCACUAUGAGCCACUGUAACGGAUCUCCUUGUACAUCUUAUACAUGCCACUACCACCACCAUCACCACCACUUAUAAUUGGUUUAACCGUAAGUCCUCCCUAAUAUCGUGGCCUCGUAUUUUGUCGCAUAGUGUCGUACAGUAUAGCUGUAGCAUCGUCAUAGGUAAGGUUAGUCUCGGAUCCGGCAAAACACAAAACAAAAUUACACGCCUACUGGUAAUAAAGGCACAAGCAAGCACGCAUUCACACGUAAACCACCACUGCCACAGCCAUUCACUGCAACACACGUACACACGUACACACACACAAAAGGCUGACCCGUUAUCCGACAGGCAAACACCAAAACCAAACGCCUCCAAACCAAUAACAUCGCAAUUCUCUUCUCCCCCCCCCACUCGCAGCCAGCUCUCUCUCCUCCCCUCUCCUCCCACCCCCCAUGUACAGCACCUCCUGCCCCCAUAGCCCCUCAUCAUUGCCGUCGGAAGGUACCCUAGCCACGCUACCCAAGCGCCACUGGCGCCGCCGCCGCCACUGCAGCGGCGCCGCCGCCGUCGCCGCCGUACGCCAGCAGGGGCAGCGGCCGCUCAAACAGCUUUCCAACCUGCCCCGUGGCGUUGUGUCGAAUCUUAAACAGCCCCGUCCCCGUGGGCAUGGCAAUGCCCAUGAUGAUCGACUCGCUCACCCCUACCACAUCAUCCAUGCGCCCGUGUAUUGCCGCGUCAAACAGGUGAUCGGCGGUCUUCUCGAAGCUGGCGGUGUGUAGAACGCUGUCCUUCAUCUUGGAGAUACCGAAGCGGGUNNNNNNNNNNNNNNNNNNNNNNNNNNNNNNNNNNNNNNNNNNNNNNNNNNAACGUCAGUCACCUGCGAGUCUUUGGAUGCGUUGCCUACGUCCACGUACCCGACGUCAAGCGCGACAAGUUCGACCCGGUGAGCAGGCGUGGAAUACUUGUCGGAUACGGGAACGGUGGACAAUAUCGUGUACUAUACGAGGACGGCAUUAUUGCCGUAGUUUCUAACGUUCGUUUUGACGAGUCUAACGUCGGCCGGCGGCGUAAUGCCGGGGACUCCGAUUAUGAGUCCGAUGCCGACGAGGAGGAGGAGUUUCGCACUAGUUUAUCUGGUGAGGGAUCGCUGCCUAGGGCUGGCGAAGGGACACCAGGUAGCACCGUCGGCGAGGGAUCGCCGCAUUUGGGUGGCGAGGGGGCGCCGGCUGGGGCUGGAUCUUCCAGCAGUGCGAACGGGCAAGGAAUCAAUCAGCCUGAUGUGGAAAUGGCGGGAACUAGGUACCCAGUUAGAGAGCGUAAACGCCCUGGCGAAUGGUGGCGAAACGAACCUGGUCGCACUGUCACUGGUCGCAUUAACGCUGCUUUCUCUGCUGGUAUUCCUGAGCCUAAUUCUUUUGCGGAAGCCAUUGCGAGUGCACAUGCAGACGACUGGCGGCGUGCGAUGGACGAGGAGAUCGCCGCCCAGAUGGCUAAUAGUACUUGGGAGCUGAAGAAGCCACCUCCUGGUACUCGUUUGUUGCCGUGUCGUUGGGUAUAUAAGGUUAAGUACAGCGAUGACGGCAGCGUGGAGCGUUUUAAGGCGCGUUUAGUUGCCAAGGGUUUCGAGCAACGUGAGGGGAUUGAUUAUGGGGAGUUGUUUGCCCCUACCUCUCGUGGUUCGUCAUUGCGUGCUUUAUUAGCAGUUGCCGCAGCCCGGAACAUGACGGUACAUCAGCUCGAUGUGUCUACUGCGUUUCUGAAUGGUGAGCUGAAGGAGGAAUUGUGGAUGGAGCAACCGCCUGGGUAUGCAUCUAGUGACCGGUCGCUUGCGUGCAACCUGCAGAAGUCUAUUUACGGGUUGAAGCAGGCACCCCGUUGCUGGUAUGAGAAACUAUCAGCAGAGUUCGCCAAGUUGGGUCUUUAUCCUUCGAAGUCUGAUCCGGCGAUGUUUGUUAAGACGGACGAGCGUGGGGUUGUUAUUGCUUUGGUACACGUAGAUGAUACAAUUGUUGCGUCGGAAGACCCGGAAAUGGUCCGGGCAAUUAAAGCCGCAAUUGCGAAGGUCUUCAAGGUGCGCGACCUUGGAGAAGCGAAGGUGUUUUUGGGCAUGGAAAUUAGGAGGGAGAAGUCGGGUGAGAUAGUGUUGUCGCAACAUAGGUAUAUUGCGCAGCUGUUGGAGCGUCAUAGGAUGAUUGACGCCAAGCCGAGGUCUACCCCUUUGCCUCCGGGCUUUAGGUACACUCCUAAGGGGGACGGAGAGGAGCUGCUGGGCAAUCCCACAGAGUAUAGAACUUUGGUGGGAGAAUUGAACUAUCUGGCGACGAACACGCGGCCUGACAUUUCAUAUGCAUUGAGCGUUUUGUCCCGGCAUAUGGCCGCACCUACGAAGACUGCCAUGAACUUGGCAACCGGCGUUCUGCGUUACCUGGCGGGUACACGCGAACUAGGAUUGCGUUUUGGGGGUGUUGGCGACGUUGCUAUGUCCGGGUACAGUGAUUCGGACUGGGCAGGAGACCCAGUUACGCGGCGUUCUACGUCCGGUUACGUAUUCACUCUUAAUGGGGCUGCGAUUAGCUGGAGCAGCCAACUUCAACGUACUGUGGCGGCUUCGUCGGUGGAGGCUGAGUACCAAGCUACAGCGGCGGCUGUUCGUGAGGCUUUGUGGCUUCGCAAGCUGAUGGUUGAUUUGGGCUUGCCUGAGAGCGCGGUGAAAAUCCAGAUAGACUCCCAGGGGGCGCUUAGCUUGGGAAACAACCCGAUUACGUCUGCUCGGUCGAAGCACAUCGACGUGCAGCAUCACAUAGUGCGUGAGAGGGUGAAUAGCGGUGAGGUGCAGUUGGAAUACUGCCCUACGGAGUGGAUGGUAGCGGAUGUGCUAACGAAGGCUCUGGGCGAGGUGAAGUUCAAACGUUGCCGAGAUGCUAUGGGCCUUGUGUGAAGUGUGCAGAUGAACUUGGUACUCGUUGGGAUACGGCCCGAGGGGGCGUGUUGAGGAAACGGUCCUCUCCCAACUCGUGUGGUUGUCGACCAGGGGAUUUGACCCCGGGUCUGCGCCUGACUAAUGGGGAAGACUUACCCCAGAACCUUAUAGGGCUACCGAUGCAUAUCCGGUAGCUAAGUGAUAGACAUUAGGGCACCGUCUGGACGACGCAGUGAGAUCGCGGAAUGUACGUGCAGUUAGAUCGCGGAAUGUACGAGUUUUCCGCUAGCGCCGGUAUUUAGGGCGGUGACAGCGCCUAUUAGUUUAUCUAACAACGAUCGGUAUUCCUACCAGGAAUCUCCUCAAGUCCUGCCGAACGCUAACAAUAUUCUUUACAUUACUUGUAACAGUUUAUCGUGCUAAAUAUCUUCGCCACCGGCAAUCCUUCCGAAAUAACAAUCAGCGUUAGCCGUCACCGUCGCCAAUUCUUCAAUAGAUGUUCCUUCGCCAGCCCUAGGCAGCGACCCCUCACCAGGCAAGUUAGUGUGAACGUCUCCUCCUCAUCGGCAUCGGACCCAUAAUCGGAGUCCCCGGCACUACGCCGCCGGCCGACAUUAGACUCGUCAAAGCGGACACUGGAGACAACGGUGACGACGCCAUCCUCGUACAGGACACGGUACUGUCCUCCUGUAGUGGUAUCUACCCUUGGCGAAUCCAGCGAUGUAGAGGCGACGUUGACUGGCGCCGAUGAAGUAGACGGGUAGCUAAGUGUAGGUGAAGAUUGUAGUGAAAUCCAGAGUUGAGAGGACGUGGUUCAGGCCUUAAUUAGGGCUCAGCCCUGUAUCAAGCGGACCGGUUAUCAACCGUUGGUCUGUCAAACUCGGACAGGCCGAAAUCCCUUCAUCGUUCACGAUCGGUUAGUUUCUGACAGCCGUCUUGGCCGAGUCCUUCUUGGACGUGGUUACUCGCGUUCGUACGCGGUACCACAACAUUGCCUCCCCCUUAGGGCUUGACGUCCGCGCAAGUCCGUUGUCGUACUGACUCCAGCUCUGCUGUCAUAUCGGGAGUGAAAUGAUUCGCUGGUUCCCAGCUGUUGUGCUCGUCGGUAUAUCCUUGCCACCGUACGAGGUAUUCCUCCACGUACGUCCGACUUUGCGUCGUCGGUAAUCGAGCACCCUCUCAACCGGCAGAUAACCGUCUUCAGUGGUAUCCUGCCAAACAGGCAAUGUCUCGGGUGGUAUGGGACGAAACGGGCCAUCAGCCUAGUACGGUUUCACGAGGCUUACGUGAAACACAUUGUGUAUCUUCAGAUUGGGCGUGAGAGUUAACUUCACCGCAGCUUUACCAAUCAUCUUCUCCACUGGAAAGGGACCAACCCAUCGAGGUUGUAACUUACGGGGUACCUUCGGGCCCAUUCGUAAGUUUUUCGUACUUAAGAGUACUGAGUCACCGGGCUGGUACGUUGCCGAUUUCUUAUCUGCAUUGUAGUACGCCGUGGUCCGAUCUUGGGCUGCCAUCAGGCAUCUCUUUACUUCCUUCAGUCGUUUUUCCAGGGUUUCAGCCAUACCUGCGGCGGCCGGUACGUUACAGGCUGUUUCCCUCACCACCGGUGUUGCCGGGUGCCACCCGUAAUUAAGGAAGAACGGUGUUUGGUUCGUCGCUCGGUUUAAAGCGUUGUUCACGGCAAAUUCAGCCAAGGGUAAUGCUUCAUCCCACGAUCGUGGUUCUGUAGCGCAAUAACUGCGAAGCAUGUCUCCCAGGACUCGGUUCAUCCGUUCGUUUGUCCAUCCGUCUCAGGGUGGAAAGCUGUGGAGAGAUUAGGAUCGAUUUCAAUCAUUCGUGCCAGGUUUUGCCAGAAGUGACCGGCAAAUUGAGAUCCACGGUCCGAGACCGUUUGUUUUGGCACGCCGUGCAACCGGAUCACGUUUUGAAGGAAGAGUUUAGCGGUUUUUUCGGCGGUGAUACUUUUCCGUACUGGGACAAAGUGCGCCAUUUUCGUCAAACGGUCGACGAAGACCAAGAUCGCGUUGAACUGGCGAGCCGUACAGGGCAAGCCGAUUACGAAAUCCAUGGAGACACUAUCCCACGGCAUUUCGGGGAUUGGUAAGGGUUGUAACAAGCCAAUCUUCUUGCCUGUACGGCUUUUGUUACGUUGGCACUUGUCGCAGGUAAGGACAACUUGUCGCACAUCCGCGGCACAAUUGGGCCACCAAUGAGUACAAGUUCCAACGUGCGGUGAACUCCCGGGUGUCCGGCCAAGGGGUCACCAUGGCAACGGUUUAUGAAUUCCUUGCGGAGAUCGCCGUGAUUGGGCACCGCAACACGUUUCUUGCCAUCAGGAAGAGUUUUGAGCCAAAAGCCCUCUUGCGUUCUUUCCCGGUUCGCAAGGUUCUCAGGGUUUUGGAACCACGGGUCCUUCUCGUAUCCGGUCAGGAUGCGAGCCCGCAGGGUUUGCCGCGUUUGCAUGCGCGUCACUGCAUUCAGCAGCGGAUGUCGGCUCAGUGCGUCAGCAACGUUAGUUUUACCGCUUCGGUGUUCCCAAUGAAGGUGAAAACGGGAAAGGAACUCAAGCCAUCGAGCUUGACGACGAUUCAGCGUCGGUUGCGUCUUUAGGUAGAUCAGGGGGUGAUGAUCGGUGAUGAUCGGUCACGACUCUCAUCAUGUGGACCUUCCAGGUAGCAGCGCCAAGUGCGUGUAUUACACCAAGUAGUUCCUGCUCACUCGUGGUAUAGUUCCGCUCCCCAGGAGUGAACUUUUUACUGGUGAAGGCGAUGGGUUUUCCGUCCUGCAGUAGGACUGCACCCGUACCGCGUAAGGACGCGUCCGAGAUCAAUUCGAACGUAAAAGGCUUAGUCAUGUUUUGGUACCGUAGCAGUACAUCGUCUGCUAACGCAUUUUUCACCAUUUCAAAGGCGUGUACCCGUGGUGGAGUCCAAUCCUCAGGACGGACUUGACCUUUUCCACGUAACAUAUCCGUGAGAGGAGCCGAAAGCGAAGCAUACGCUUUAACGAACUUCCGGAAAUAGUUCGUAAGGCCCAAGAACUGCCGUAACUCGGACACGUUCUGUGGCAGUGGCCAUUCACGGACAGCCUUCACCUUCUUAGGGUCCAUGCGAACUCCUUCGGCACUAACAAUGUGACCGAGGUACUCAAGCUGAGUUUGCGCCCAGUGGCAUUUGGACGACUUUGCAUGAAACCGUGUUUUCCCGUGUGUUCCCGUCGUAGCACUUCGAACACGGUUUCAAGGUGUUUUAGAUGCUUCACGACUUCGGGAAUACACCAGGAUAUCAUCCAGGUAAACCACGACAAACUUGCCGAGGUAGGGCUGAAAGAUUCGGUUCAUCACCACUUGGAACGUGGCAGGGGCAUUAGUCAGCCCAAAAGGUGGGACAACAUAUUUAUAGUGUCCCAGGGGAGUACGAAACGCUGUCAGCGGUACAUCCUCUGCUCGAAUCUUUAUUUGAUGGUAUCCCUGUUGUAAGUCAAUGGAGGAGUAGAUCACACUACCUCCCAGACUAUCCACCAAAUCAUCUAUCCGCGGCAACGGAUACCGGUUUUUAACCGUUUGUGCGUUCAGCCCUCGAUAAUCCACCACCAUGCGUAACGUUCCGUCCUUCUUUCCCACGAAGAGGAUCGGAGCUGCCCAUGGAGAUGCGCUAGGGCGAAUCAUCCCCUUUUGCAUCAGGUCAGUUACUUGACGUUUCACCUCCUCCAGCUCAGCGGGAGUCAACCGAUAUAAUGGGCGAGAUACCGGUGUUGCACCUGGUUGCAACGGAAUGGUAUGUUCCACGGGUCUAUCUGGUGGUGGCCCCUUCAGGUCCUGAAAGAUCAUUUCGUAUUUUGCAAUCAGUGCUCUGAACUCCGGGUCUAGCGUUUGCUCAGUAGCGUUGAUUGUGCGCGGUAUUCCAGCCUGUGGGGACUCCGGGUCUUGCGUUUGUCCAACACUGGUGGCGCGCUGCGAUUCAGGCAAUGCAACGGGCUCCGGGUUUUUCGUCUGUCCGGCAUUGACUGCGGCAGCGGUAACCGCUUCAUGCCACCGCCGGUUGGCUGACUCUGCGCUUCACCCGCUUUUGUUUGCGCUUGAGCCGCUGCCUGUUUCAGUACGGCUUCAGCUCGUACUAGUGGUCGGACGAGCAAAGAAUGCGCCCCCUUGCGCAUAAGGCUUUUCGCUUCCUUGCGAGUAGCCGUUUUGACGCUUGCUCGAUUCAUGAACGAAGCGAUUACGUGGUGAACUUCAUGCUCCGUAGGUACCGUCGCGGACACCGUCCCUGGCGUAUCCUGCUGCUGCUGAGCUAUCCGACCAAAUUUGACACGGUAACUGAGGUCCCUUUUGCGAAAACGGACUUGACUUUUCUCAAAGUCCAGAUUCACCUUAUACCGUUCCAUGGUAUACGCGCCAACGAUCACGUCUGCCGUUGCCGUCAGGUUGGGCAGUAUCAGCGCAGGAACUUGAACCCGCAUUCGACCAAGCUUCAGCCUUAGCAAGGCCUGGCCGAGGAUAGGUGUAUUACUUCCGUCGUAUGUAAUGUAAUGUAAUGUGUAAUGUUACAGAGUGGGAGGCUUCUGGGCCGCUUUAUCACAUUGUCAGUUCUAGAUCAUUUAUCACCUUAUAGCACCAUCCACCACUACCACACUGUACUUCGCCAUACGAACUGCAAGUCCAAGGCGGCGGAUCCAGCCUUCAGGGACCCCUCCUCAUCCAUUCACCCGAACAUCCGAAGAGACAGAGGGUUCGGCAAUCGCCACCAAUCCAGCGUGCGAAUCUGGUCCAUCAACUGUGACCUCAACUCCACAUCUCAGCAGCUAGCCAUAAUCUCGCGCUCCCGACUAAUUCGGGGGUCUCCCCAGGAAUCGAACCCAGGACCUUAAACCGCGAAUCGCAGUAGUGUCAAUCCAGACCAGACCAGACAUCCAUGUGAAUGAGCGCGAGAGGCUGCGCUGCCUUAUGCCCAGAUAACGGAAAAGGACCACGUGUAUGCUUUGCAAGGACGCAAGUCUCACACACACACACGCUGGCUGAUGGUAUGCUGUGUCGGUCAACAUCGAACCCAGUUACCAUAUUGUGACGCAGCAACGCCUCAAGGUUGCUGUAUCCCAAGUGGCCAUACCGUCGGUGCCAAAGUCGGUGCCAACGUUCAGCUCCGAUACCCACGGCAGCACACACAGCAUCACCAUCUGUUGUCUUCACGCUACGUCCACUUCAGAGCGCCCGUACCUCCACUGCUGUAGCAGACGGGAUACAAGUCCCCAUCCCGCUUUCCAGUCAGCACCAUCUGGUUCUGUAUGUAUACUUUCACCUGUCCGCCGCCGAAGACCACACUGCCUCCACGAUCAUCAAUGAUGCGGAACGAUAGGAUUUUGGCAGUGGCCUCCUCGUCGACGUAGACCUUCUUAAAAGUGAUGGCCUGUUUAUCGUUGACGUUAGACCGAAUCAUAAGCGUGCCAACUUCAGUCGGCCGAAGAGACUGUCCCUUGAUGCCCAUGAUGUUGAAGUGCUCCCAUGGCUCCAACAACCGCACGUUGAGAAGUUCUGAACGGUCAUACGUUAUGUGAUGAGUGGCGGCUGAGUCCAGGAACCACCCCGUCGGACGCUCACCGUUGUAAGCUGUGAACGCAACCUGCCGCGGGAAUCCUGAUCCCCUUCCAGACCCACCGGGCCCAGGCUUGCUGCCGCUAGCUCCGCUGCCGUGAUAGGCGAUGCCUCGGCCCUGCCUCGACCUUGCCUAGGCCGUGCCUCGACCUUGCCUCGACCGUGCCUCGACCUUGCCUCGGAUCUCUCGGCCGCGUAUCUCGGACGUGUCCUCAGGUCCAGGGAUGGUGGACGACUGUACGAUACUUACGUUGGUAUCGGUACAUAAGACCAAAGUGGUGCAUGUCUUUCUAUCUCAUCUUCGGAUGGAUCGGUAUUCCUUCAUAGGAAUCUCCUAAAGUCUUCUUGCCGUUCACCACUAACCCACAGACUGUAACCCUUAUAUCGCGACCAGUCUCCUUGCCUUCAUAUUCUUAACAGGUUAUGAGCCCCGGCUCACGCUAGCAGCAUCUACCUCUAAUACUCGUAUUCCACAAUGGGGAAGGGCAAGCUUGACGAGCCUCUGCACUUGAACAACUACGCCACCUGGCAAAUUCGGUUCAGCACGCUGUGUAUGGAGCUUGGGCUUCAGCAGUCCUUGCUCGCCGAGCCGGGAAACGAGGAGCAGAUUCGACAAUCUCGUAAGGUUAUCAACCUGCUCAUCAAGAAUGUUAAAGAUCACCAUUUGCCGAUGGUUACGGGUGCUGCGAACGCGAAGAGGGCAUGGGACGCUCUGGCCGCGAUGUUUGUCGCCAACAAUAACGCACGCAAGGUAGCUCUCCGUCAAGAGUUCAGCCGUUUUAAGAUGGUCGACGGCGAGCCGCUAUCCAAGUACUUAGGCUUGUUGGGAGUGGGGCACGUUAUCAGCGACUCGGAGCUGGCGUACACAUACACAGUGCUGGUUGGUUUGUCCAGCCGCUUCAGCAUGGUAACGACAUCCCUACUGGUGCAUGACGGCGAUUUGGACAUGGCUAUCGUCACCUCGAAGUUCUUGACUCUCGAGAUGGCAAGCGGUCGGUCUGGUACGCCUACCGAGUCGGCAGCUUAUGCUUCUGUCGGCGGUUUUUCGUUUGGCGCCUCUGGUUCUGGUCUUGAAAAUCGUGGCGCGGCCAGCAGCAGUUCUGGCGUUCCUCCCAAAGAGGUGACUUCCUUCUAUUGCAGCGAACCUGGGCCCGGUGGGUCUAGCAAGGGAUCAGUUUUCCCGAGGCAGGUUGCGUUUGUAGCUUACAAGAGUAAGCAUCUAAGGGAUCCUGGUCGAAUAUGGGAAUGGAGGACAGCAUCGUGUGCUGUACAAGGAUGGCAUCAUCGCCGUGGUCUCCAACGUCCGCUUUGACGGGUUUGCCGUGGUCUCCGCUUUGACGAGUUUAGUGUCGGUCAGCGGCAUAGUGCCUGUUGAGGAAACGGUCCUCUCCCAACUCGUGUGGUUGUCGACCAGGGGAUUUGACCCCGGGUCUGCGCCUGACUAAUGGGGAAGACUUACCCCAGAACCUUAUGGGGCUACCGAUGCAUAUCCGGUAGCUAAGUGAUAGACAUUAGGGCACCGUCUGGAAGGCGCAGUGAGAUCACGGAAUGUACGUGCAGCUAGAUCGCGGAAUGUACGAGUUUUCCGCUAGCGCCGGUAUUUAGGGCGGUGACUGCGCCUAAUAGUUUAUCUCACAACGAUCGGUAUUCCUACCAGGAAUCUCCUCAAGUCCUGCCGAACGCUAACAAUACUCUUUACAUUACUUGUAACAAGUUUAUCGUGCUAAAUAUCUUCGCCACCGGCAAUCCUUCCGGAAUAACAAUCAGCGUUAGCCGUCACCGUCGCCAAUUCUUCAAUAGUGCCAAGGAUUCCGAUGAUGGGUCCGAUGCCGACGAGGGUUGUGUUCCUUGAGGGGUCGCUGCCUAAGGCUGCCGAAUGGACAUCAGGCAAUCGCCGCCUUUGUGUGGCGAGGGGGCGCUGGCUGGGGCUGGACCUCCCAGAAGUGUGAAUGUGCAAGGAAAUACACACCCUGAUGUGGAAAUGCUGGGGGCUCGGUAUUCAGUUAGGGAAUGCAAACGUCCUAGCGAGUGGUUACGGAGUGUACCUGGUCGUAGUGCUACAGGCCGAGUCAUUGCUGCAGUAUCUGCUGGGAUUCAGAGCCUAACGUUUAUGCCGAACCCAUCUCAGGCCCACAUGCAGACGACUGGCGGCCGUGAGUGCCGUGAAUAUUUUGUAUCCAGUCGACCCAACUGGACAGCGUGGAUUGCAGCAGGCGAUCAUUUGCUGCAACUACCAACAAACGGGCCGUAUAGCUCGGAGUUGCAGAGAGAGCCGCAGCCUAACGUGCAAGGAGUGGAGGUGGUCUUGCCGACUACACGUGGCAGGUGGGGUAGCAUGCCUCAACAGACAGGCGGCGGCAAUGCAGUGAUGCCGUGUAUGUUUUUGCUGCAAGAUACGAACCACUAUAAGUUGUCUGACAUCGAAGCGGCUAGUACCGGUGUACCUGAGUCAGGGCCUUUGCCAGCGGCAAGCCAGCGCAGGAGUUCAGAAGACGAGGGCAGGGAAUAUGAGGAUAUAUCGUGGCCCUUGGAGUGGUGGUGUGAUGAUGCAGGAUGCAGGAUAGGACGUCACAUUCACGUGGCUGUCACUGAUCCGAACCCUGCUGAACUUUUGCUGAGUAAUACUUUCACUGAAGCCAUUUCAGGAGCAAAUGCAAAUGAGUGGCGCAGAGGGAUGGUCGAGCAGAUUGCUGCAUUAGCAGCUAACGGCACUUGUGAGCUGUGUGCACAGCCUCUUGAUGUGCUAAUGUACCGGUGGUUGUACAAGUUAAAAUGUGUGGAAGGUGACACUAUCAAGCGCUUUUUUGCAUGGCUAGGUGCAAAGAUGUACGAGAAGUACGAGAACUUGGAGCGAGCGCAGGUGUUAUCAUCGGGCAUGGAAAUACUGAGGAUGAAGCCGGCUGAAUUAGUGUUGUCGCAAUAUUGAGCAGCUAUUGGAGCGUCACCAGACGGUUAACGCCAAGCCACGGUCUACCCCUUUGCCUCCGCGUUUUAGGUGCACACCUACGGGGGAUAGAGAUGAGCUGCUGGAUCCCACGGAGUAUAGCGUUUUGGUAGGAAAGUUGAACUACCUAGCGACGAACACGCGGCCUGACAUUUCUUAUGCAUUGAGUGUUUUGUCCCGGCAUAUGGCCACACCUACGAAGAGUGCCAUGAACUUGGCAACUGGUGCUCUGCGUUACCUGGCGGGUACUCGCGAACUAGGAUUGCGUUUUGGGGGUGUUGGCGACAUUGAGAUGUCUGGGUAUAGCGAUUCUGACUGGGCAGGAGACCCAGUUACGCAGCGUUCUACGUCCGGUUACGUAUUCACUCUUAAUGGGGCUGAGAUUAGCUGGAGCAGCCAACUUCAACGUACUGUGGCGGCUUCGUCGUUGGAGGCCGAGUACCAAGCUACAGCGGCGGCUGUUCGUGAAGCUUUGUGGCUUCGCAAGCUGAUGGUCGAUUUGGGCUUGCCUGAUAGCGCGGUGAAAAUCCAGAUAGACUCCCAGGGGGCGCUUAGCUUGGGAAAUAAUCCGAUUACGUCUGCUCGGUCGAAGCACAUCGACGUGCAGCACCACAUAGUGCGUGAGAGGGUGAAUGAGGGGAGGUGCAGUUGGAGUACUGCCCUACAGAGUGGAUGGUAGCGGAUGCGCUCACGAAGGCACUGGGAGAAGUGAAGUUCAAACAGUGCAGAGAAGCUAUGGGCGUUGUGUGAAGUGCCCAUUGGCGGGGCAAAUGUGCUGCUGCGAGUUGGGAUAUGUCCCGAGGGGGCGUGUUGAAGGACGGUCCUAUCCCAACGUAGAUAGGUGGUAGUUAGGCGAUGAAUCCGCCGUGAUAGGCGAUGCCUCGGCCGUGCCUCGACCUUGCCUAGGCCGUGCCUCAACCUUGCCUCGGCCGUGCCUCGACCUUGCCUCGGGUCUCUCGGCCGCAUAUCUCGGUCGUGUCCUCAGGUCCAGGGAUGGUGGAAGACUGUACAAUACUUCCGUUGGUAUCGGUACAUAAGGCAAAAGUUAAGCAAGUCUUUCUAUCUCAUCUUCGGAUGGAUCGGUAUUUCUUCAUAGGAAUCUCCUAAAGUCUUCUUGCCGUUCACCACUAACCCACAGACUGUAACCCUUAUAUCGCGACCAGUCUCCUUGCCUUCAUAUUCUUAACAGGUUAUGAGCCCCGGCUCACGCUAGUAGCUUACAUAGCUAACGCAAAGAAGGCAUAGCACGCCUGCAAGCAACUACAGUCGGACUUAAUUGGGAGUAGGACACGUUAUCAGCGAUUCUGAGCGGGCACACACUUUGCUUGUUGGUUUGCCCAGCCGCUUCAGCAUGGUAACGACAUCCCUACUGGUGCGUGACAGCGAUUCGGACAUGGCUAUCGUCACCUCGAAGUUCUUGACUCUCGAGAUGGCAAGCGGUGGGUCUGGUACGCCUACCGAGUCGGCAGCUUAUGCUUCUGUCGGCAGUUUUUCGUUUGGCGCCUCUGGUCUUGGGAAUCGUGGCGCAGCCAGCAACAGUUCUGGCGUUCCUCUCAAAGAGGUGAUUUGCUUCUAUUUCAGCAAGCCUGGGCCCGGUGGGUCUAGCAAGGGAUCAGUUUUCCCGAGGCAGGUUGCGUUUGUAGCUUACAAGAGUAAGCAUCUAAGGGAUCCUGGUCGAAUAUGUGAAUGGAGGACAGCAUCGUCUGAUGUACAAGGACGGCAUCAUCGCCGUGGUCUCCAACGUCCGCUUUGAUGAGUUUGCCGUGGUCUCCAUUGUCCGCUUUGAUGAAGUUUAGUGUCGGCCGGCGGCUUAUGCCAGCGCACGAGUACAGAAGACGAGGGCAGGGAAUAUGAGCCAUCGGAGUGGUGGCAUGGUGUUGCAGGAAGGAGGAUAGGUCGUAUUAACGUCGUAUUAACGUGGCUGUCACUGAUCCGUACCCUGCUGAACGUUUGGUGAGUAAUACUUUCACUGAAGCCAUUUCAGGUGCAAGUGUAAAUGAGGGGCGCAGAGUGAUGGUCGAGGAGAUUGCUGCAUUAGCAGCUAACGGCACUUGUGAGCUGUGUGCACAGCCUCUUGAUGUGCCAAUGUACCGGUGGUUGUACAAGUUAAAAAGAGUGGAAGGUGACACGGUCAAGCGCUCUUUUGCAUGGCUAGUUGCAAAGAUGUACGAAUAGUACGACACCUUGGAGAAGCGAAGGUGUUUUUGGGCAUGGAGAUUAGGAGGGAGAAGUCGGGUGAGAUAUUGUUGUCGCAGCAUAGGUAUAUUGAGCAGCUGUUGGAGCGUCAUAGGAUGGUUGACGCCAAGACACGGUCUACCCCUUUGCCUCCGGGUUUUAGGUGCACACCUACGGGGGAUACAGAUGAGCUGCUGGAUAAUCCCACGGAAUAUAGGGCUUUGGUGGGAAAGUUGAACUACCUAGCGACGAACACACGGCCGGACAUUUCUUAUGCAUUGAGUGUUUUGUCCCGGCAUAUGGCCACACCUACGAAGAGUGCCAUGAACUUAGUUAACAAGGUCUGCGUUACCUGGCGGUUACUCGCGAGCUAGGAUUGCGUUUUGGGGGUGUUGGCGGUGUUGCAAUGUCCGGGUACAGCGAUUCGGACUGGGCAGGAGACCCAGUUACGCGGCGUUCUACGUCCGGUUAUGUAUUCACUCUUAAUGGGGCUGCGAUUAGCUGGAGCAGCCAACUUCAACGUACUGUGGCGGCUUCGUCGUUGGAGGCCGAGUACCAAGCUACAGCGGCGGCUGUUCGUGAAGCUUUGUGGCUUCGCAAGCUGAUGGUCGAUUUGGGCUUGCCUGAGAGCUCGGUGAAAAUCCAGAUAGACUCCCAGGGGGCGCUUAGCUUGGGAAAUAAUCCGAUUACGUCUGCUCGGUCGAAACACAUCGACGUGCAGCACCACAUAGUGCGUGAGAGGGUGAAUAGCGGGGGGGUGCAGUUGGAGUGUUCCUUGAGUAUUCCUUCAUAGGAAUCUCCUAAAGUCUUCUUGCCCUUCACCACUAACCCACAGACUGUAACCCUUAUAUCGCGACCAGUCUCCUUGCCUUCAUAUUCUUAACAGAAAUGGACAACUGCUUUAGUGCCUUCAACUUCCUGCAGUCCUUAAUCCGGGAGUUUUGCAAUUGUGACAAAACAAAUGUUUGGGGGGACCGCCAGAACUACUGCUGGCCGCGCCGUGAUUCCUAAGACCAGAACCAGAGGCGCCAAACGUGAGACCGCCGACAGAAGCAAAAGCUGCUGACUCGGUAGGCUUGACCCACUGCUUGCCACCUCGAUAGCCAAAAGAUUGGAGGUGACGCUCGCAAUGUCCAAAUCGCCAUCACGCUGUUAAGACCAGCAAAGCGCCGGACCCCCGUUGGGUCCUAUUACUGUGGCUACCAUUCACUGGUACAUGAGUGUCGGUCAUUUCCAACACCCCCCCGUGAGCGACACUCUCUCGCUCCGGGCCUUCCCGUGCCUCAUCCCGGUCUCCCAUUCUCUGGGCAACAGCCAAUGGGUAUCGAUCCGGCGACCUCUCGGCAAAAAUGCGCCAUUCGGGGCUCAUAACCUAUUGGAGAAAUGGCGACGGUGACGGCUAACGCUGAUUGUUAUCUGGGAAGAAUUGCCGGUGGCGAAGAUAUUUAGCACGAUAAAAUGUUACAAGUUAUGUAAAGAGUAUUAUUAGCGUUCGGCAGGACUUGAGGAGAUUCCUUUGAGGAAUACCGAUCGUUGUGAGAUAAACAAAUAAGCGCAGUCACCGCCCUAAAUACCGGCGCUAGCGGAAAACUCGUACAUUCCGCGAUCUAACUGCACGUACAUUCCGCGAUCUCACUGCGCCGUCCUGACGGUGCCCAAUGUCUAUCACUUAGCUACCGGAUAUGCAUCGGUAGCCCAUAAGGUUCUGGGGUAAGUCUUCCCCAUUAGUCAGGCGCAGAUCCGGGGUCAAAUCCCCUGGUCGACAACCACACGAGUUGGGAGAUGACCGUUUCCUCACCUAUUGGUCUUGAUACCACGCCCCCUCGGGCCGUAUCCCAACGAGUACCAAGUUCAUCUGCACACUUCACACAAGGCCCAUCGCAUCUCGGCAACGUUUGAACUUCACCUCGCCCAGAGCCUUCGUUAGCACAUCCGCAACCAUCCACUCCGUAGGGCAGUAUUCCAACUGCACCUCACCACUAUUCACCCUCUCACGCACUAUGUGAUGCUGCACGUCGAUGUGCUUCGACCGAGCAGACGUAAUCGGGUUAUUUCCCAAGCUAAGCGCCCCCUGGGAAUCUAUUUGGAUUCUGAUAGCGCUCUCAGGCAAACCCAAAUCAACCAUCAGCUUGCGAAGCCACAAAGCCUCGCAAACAGCUGCUGCUGUCGCUUGAUACUCGGCCUCCACCGACGAAGCCGCCACAGUACGUUGAAGUUGGCUGCUCCAGCUAAUCGCAGCCCCAUUAAGAGUGAAAACGUAGCCGGACGUAGAACGCUGCGUAACUGGGUCUCCUGCCCAGUCAGAAUCGCUAUACCCAGACAUCUCAAUGUCGCCAACACCCCCAAAACGCAAUCCUAGUUCGCGAGUCCCCGCCAGGUAACGCAGAACGCCGAUUGCUAAGUUCAUGGCAGUCUUCGUAGGUGCGGCCAUAUGCCGGGACAAAACGCUCAAUGCAUAUGAAAUGUCAGGCCGCGUGUUCGUCGCCAGAUAGUUCAAUUCUCCCACCAAAGCCCUAUACUCGGUGGGAUUGCCCAGCAGCUCCUCUCCGUCCCCCUUAGGAGUGUACCUAAAGCCCGGAGGCAAAGGGGUAGACCUCGGCUUGGCGUCAAUCAUCCUAUGACGACCUUCGCUUCUCCAAGGUCGCGCACCUUGAAGACCUUCGCAAUUGCGGCUUUAAUUGCCCGGACCAUUUCCGGGUCUUCCGACGCAACAAUAGUGUCAUCUACGUGCACCAAAGCAAUAACAACCCCACGCUCGUCAGUCUUAACGAACAUCGCCGGAUCAGACUUCGAAGGAUAAAGACCCAACUUGGCGAACUCUGCUGAUAGUUUUUCAUACCAGCAACGGGGUGCCUGCUUUAAACCGUAAAUAGACUUCUGCAGCUUGCACGCAAGCGACCGGUCACUGGAUGCAUACCCAGGCGGUUGCUCCAUCCACAACUCCUCCUUCAGCUCACCAUUCAGAAACGCAGUAGACACAUCGAGCUGAUGUACCGUCAUGUUCCGGGCUGCGGCAACUUCUAAUAAAGCACGCAAUGACGAACCACGAGAGGUAGGGGCAAACAACUCGGCGGCUGGCAGAAGUUAAGGCCUGGCUUCUGCUCCCGUCGCGUCCCGGCGCGUCCGGGUUCAAAUCCGCCUGCCGACCUCUCGGGGUGUUUGAGAGGUGAUGAAAUGGGAGGUGGCCCCCCAUCUUGUGGACGAUGUAGGACGUGAUAAAAUCAACUCGCGAGCUGACCAGGAAUUAAGUUGACGCGCCGUUGAUCCGCUAGAUUUGGUUGGAUGCUGGUGGUGAGUUGCCAAACUCAAAGAGUACACUCUGAAGUCGGAUGGGGUGAAUGGCUUAGGGUGCCCCUCUAGCAGGGGAGAGCAGGGAAUUGCCUCGGGAAGGAGGCCACUGGUGAAGCUUAACCACCCUGUAACAACAUCAACUCCCCAUAAUCAAUCCCCUCGCGUUGCUCGAAACCCUUGGCAACUAAACGCGCCUUAAAACGCUCCACGCUGCCGUCAUCGCUGUACUUAACCUUAUAUACCCAACGACACGGCAACAAACGAGUACCAGGAGGUGGCUUCUUCAACUCCCAAGUACUAUUAGCCAUCUGGGCGGCGAUCUCCUCGUCCAUCGCACGCCGCCAGUCGUCUGCAUGUGCACUCGCAAUGGCUUCCGCAAAAGAAUUCGGUUCGGGAAUAUCAGUAGAGAAAGCAGCGUUAACGCGACCAGUAACAGUGCGACCAGGUUCAUUUCGCCACCAUUCGCCAGGGCGUUUACGCUCUCUAACUGGGUACCUAGUUCCCGCCAUUUCCACAUCAGGCUGAUUGAUUCCUUGCCCGUUCGCACUGCUGGAAGGUCCAGCCCCAGCCGGCGCCCCCUCGCCACCCAAAUGCGGCGAUCCCUCGCCGACGGUGCUACCUGGUGUCCCUUCGCCAGCCCUAGGCAGCGAUCCCUCACCAGAUAAACUAGUGCGAAACUCCCCUCUUCGUGGGCAUCGACUUAUAUCGGAGUCCCCGGCAUUACGCCGCCGCCGGACAUUAAGAUUCAUCGAAACGAACGUUAGAAACUAUGGCAAUAAUGCCGUCCACGUAUAGCACACGAUAUUGUCUUCCGUUCCCGUAUCCAACAAGUAUUCCAGGCCUGCUCACCGGGUCGAACUUGUCGCGCUUGACGUCGGGUACGUGGACGUAGGCAACGCAUCCUAAGACUCGCAUGUGACUGACGUUCGGACGAACAUUAAAGAAAGCUUCGUACGGAGUGACGGUUGACCCAGCAGUUGGCGACACAUUCCUAAGAUAGUUGGCUGUCGCUAACGCCUCUGCCCAUAAUGAUUUAGGCAGUCCAGAUUCAACGAGCAUAGCCCUAGUCUUGUCCAAAAGAGUGCGAUUUAAACGUUCCGCAGCUCCGUUCUGCUCAGGGGUGUAGCCUACCGUGUACAAUACCCCUGGAAGCGAAAUAGCCCUUCGUGCGAGUAUUAACGAACUCCCCGCCACGAUCUGUACGCACCUCCUUAACCUGCCUGCCAGUAGCGCGCUCCAGUUCCGCUAUCAUUACCACCAUCUUCUGGUAGACCUCCUCCUUGGUCGCUGUAAACGCAACAGCUGAAAGACCAGUAUGAUCGUCAAGCAGAGUUGUCACGUAACGCGAACCACUAGGCGAAGGUUCAGGCAUAGGUCCACACACAUCCAUGUGAAUGAGUGCGAGAGGCUGCGCUGCCUUAUGCCCAGUUAGCGGAAAAGGACCACGUGUAUGCUUAGCAAAGACGCAAGUCUCACACACACACGCGCUGGCUGAUUGUAUGCUGUGUCGGUCAACAUCGAAUCCAGCUACCAUAUCAUGACGCAGCAGCGCCUCAAGGUUGCUGUAUCCUAAGUGGCCAUACCUUCGGUGCCAAAGUGCUGCACGUUCAGCUCCGAUACCAACGGCAGCACACACUGCAUCACCACCAGAAGGUAUCCUGUUGUCUUAACGCUGCGUCCACUUCAGAGCGCCAGUACCUCCACUGCUGUAGUAGACGGGAUACAAGUCCCCAUCCCGCUUUCCAGUCAGCACCAACUGAUUCUGGAUGCCACGAACGCUACCUGCCGCGGAACUCCUGGUCCCCUAGCUGAUCUACCGGAUCCUGGCUUGCUGCCGCUAGCUCCGCUGCCACUAGCUCCGCUGCCACUAGCUCCGCUGCCACUGUUGUUGUAGCCACCCUUAUAUCCAGAAUUUGACGACUGCUUCAGCGCUUUAAGCUGCCUGCAGUCCCUUACCACGUGCCCAGGCUUAUUACAGUAGUAGCAGAUGAGUUGCUUCCGACUGUGUCCCGAGCUGUUGUUAGCCGGCCCCCGGCUACCAUAACCAGAAGUAGAAGCGCCGAACGUAGAUCCGCCGACAGACGCGAAGGCUGCCGACUCGGUAGGCUUGCCCGACCCACCGUUAGCCGUCUCGAUAGAGAGAAGCUUUGCUGUGACGCUCGCCAUGUCCAAAUCGCCGUCACGCAUUAGUAAUGUAGUCGUCACCACGCUGUACCGACUGGGUAGACCAACCAGGACGGUGUACGUGUCGUUAAUUACGUGGCCGACUCCCAAUAAAUCUGUUUGCAGCUGCCUUGCACGCGCAAAGUACAUCGGAAGAGGUUCGCCGUCGACCAUCUUAAAACGGCUGAAUUCUUGACGUAGAGAAACCUUGCGGGCGUUGUUGUUGGCAGCAAACCUGGAACUAAGUUGAUGCGCCGUUGAUCCGCUAGAUUUGGUUGGAUGCUGGUGGUGAGUUGCCGAACCCAACGAAUACAUUCUGAAGUCGGAUGGGGUGACGGAUUAGGGUGCCCCUCUAGCAGGGGAGAGCAGGGACUGCCCCGGGAAAGGGGGCCGCUGGCGAAGUUAACCACCCUGUAACAACAUAGAGCCCAAGGCGUCCCAGGCCUUCUUCGCGUUGGCAGCACCGGUAACCAUUGGCAAGUGGUGAUCCUUGACGUUCUUGAUAAGCAGAUUGAUGACCUUUCGUGAUUGUCGAAUCUGCUCCUCGUUGCACGGCUCGGCGAGCAAGGAUUGCUCAAGCCCAAGCUCCAUGCACAUCGCGCUAAACCGGAUUUGCCAGGUGGAGUAGUUGUGGAGGUCCAGCGGCUCAUCAAGCUUGUCCUUGACCAUUGUUGAUUAGGGAUAGAAAUAACAAUCAGACGAUAGCUGUCGGCGCUAGGCGGGGCUCAUAACCUAUUGGAGACCAGCAGGGACGUCGUUACCAUGUUGAAGCGGCUGGGUAGACCAACCAGCACUGCGUACGCCAGCUCCGAGUCGCUGAUAACGUGCCCCACUCCCAACAAGUGUGACUGUAAUUGCCGUGCACGUGCAAAGUACUUGGGUAGCGGCUCGCCGUCGACCAUCUUGAAACGGCUGUACUCUUGACGGAGAGCUACCUUGCGUGCGUUAUUGUUGGCGACAAACAUCGCGGCCAAAGCUUCCCAUGCUUCCCAUUCGCGUUCACAGCACCCGUAACCAUCGGCAAAUCUUUAACAUUCUUGAUGAGCAGGUUGAUAACCUCACGAGAUUGUCGAAUCUGUUCCUCGUUUCCCGGCUCGGCGAGCAAGGACUGCUCAAGCCCAAGCUCCAUACACAGCGUGCUGAACCGAAUUUGCCAGGUGGCGUAGUUGUUCAAGUCUAGAGGCUCGUCAAGCUUGUCCUUCCCCAUUGUGGAAUACGAGUAUGAAGGUAGAUGCUGCUAGCGUUAGCCGGGGCUCAUAACCUGUUAAAAAUAUGAAGGAGGCAAGGAGAAUGGUCGCGAUAUAAGUAUUACAGUCGGUAGGUGAGUGGUGAACGGCAGAAAGACUUUAGGAGAUUCCUACUAAGGAAUACCGAUCCAUACAAAGAUGAGAUACCAAGACUUGCAUAACUUGUGUCUUAUAUACCAGUACCAAUGGAAGUAUCGUUCAGUCGCCCACCAUCUAUCUAUCGUACAGUCGCCACCAUCUAUCGGAUUCAUCGCCUAUCUACCACCUAUCUACGUUGGGAUAGGACCAGGAUUCCAAAGGCUGAUUUCAUUCAUGGCAUACGGUGAGCAUCCGAUGGUUUCUGGACUCAGCAUUAAUGCAUCACAUCACCCCUGACCCCUCUGAGUUAUUUAACGUGUCUUUGUGUUGCAAAUGACCGACACUCAUAUACCAGUGAAUGGUAGCCGNNNNNNNNNNNNNNNNNNNNNNNNNNNNNNNNNNNNNNNNNNNNNNNNNNNCCAUUCACUGGUAUAUGAGUGUCGGUCAUUUGCAACACAAAGAGGCACACAACACACUGGGGGUUGGAGCAGUGGGAGCACUUCAAUAUCAUGGGCAUCAAGGGUCAAGCUUUGCAUCCAAUUGCAACGGUGGUCGGCUCACUCAUUAUUCCAGCCAACAUCAACGACAAACAGGCCAUUUCUUUCAAUAAGGUCUACUUUGGUGAGGAGGCAACAGUCAAGGUCUUGUCAGUUCCACGCACCAUCAAUGUAUUGGAGAAUUGGCGACGGUGACGGCUGACGCUUGUUGUUAUUCCGGAAGGAUUGCCGGCGGCGAAGAUAUUGAACACGAUAAACUGUUACAAGUAAUAUAAGGAGUAAUAGUAUGCGUUUGGCAGGACUUUAGGAGAUUCCGUUUGAGGAAUACCGAUCGUUGUGAGAUAAAGAAAUAAGCGCAGUCACCGCCCUAAAUACCGGUGCUAGCGGAAAACUCGUACAUUCCGCGAUCUCACUGCACGUACAUUCCGCAAUCUCACUGCGCCGUCCUGACGGUGCCCAAAUGUCUAUCACUUAGCUACCGAAUAUGCAUCGGUAGCCCCAUAAAGUUCUGGGGUAAGUCUUCCCCAAUAGUCAGGCACAGACCCGGGGCCAAAUCCCCUGGUCGACAACCACACGAGUUGGGAGAGGACCGUUUCCUCAACACGCCCCCUCGGGCCGUAUCCCAACGAGUACCAAGUUCAUCAGCACGCUUCACACAAGGCCCAUCGCACCUCGGCAACGUUUGAAUUUCACCUCGCCCAGAGCUUUCGUGAGCACAUCCGCAACCAUCCACUCCGUAGGGCAGUAUUCCAACUGCACCUCACCGCUAUUCACCCUCUCACGCACUAUGUGAAGCUGUACGUCGAUGUGCUUCGACCGAGCAGACGUAAUCGGGUUAUUUCCUAAGCUAAGCGCCCCCUGGGAAUCUAUUUGAAUCUUGAUAGCGCUCUCAGGCAAACCCAAAACGACCAUCAGCCUGUGAAGCCACAAAGCUUCACGAACAGCUGCCGCUGUAGCUUGAUACUCGGCCUCCACCGACGAAGCCGCCACAGUACGUUGAAGUUGACUGCACCAGCUAAUCGCAGCCCCAUUUAGAGUAAAAACGUAUCAGGAAGUAGAAUGCCGUGUAAACGGGUCUCCUGCCCAGUCAGAAUCGCUAUACCCAGACAUCUCAAUGUCGCCAACACCCCCAAAACGCAAUCCUAGUUCGCGAGUACCCGCCAGGUAACGCAGAAUGCCGGUUGCCAAGUUCAUGGCAGUCUUUGUAAGUGUGGCCAUAUGCCGGGACAAAAGACUCCAUGCAUAAGGAAUGUCAGGGCGAGUGUUAGUCGCUAGGUAGUCCAACUUUCCCACCAAAGCCCUAUGCACCAUGGGAUCCAGCAGCUCAUCUCUAUCCCCCGUGCACCUAAAACCCGGAGCCAAAGGGGUAGACCGUGGCUUGGCGUCCACCGUCUGGUGACGCUCCAAUAGCUGCUCAAUAUUGCGACAACACUAAUUCACCCGGCUUCAUCAUCAGUAUUUCCAUGCCCGAAAACACCUGCGCUUCUCCAAGUUCUCGUACUUCUCUUACAUCUUUGCACCUAGCCAUGCAAAAAAGCGCUUGACCUUCCACUCUUUUCAACUUGUACAACCACCGGUACAUUAGGACAUCAUGAGGCUGUGCACACAGCUCACAAGUGCCGUUAGCUGCCAAUGCAGCAAUCUCCUCGACCAUCACUCUGCGCCACUCAUUUGCAUUUGCACCUGAAAUGGCUUCAGUGAAAGUAUUACUCAGCAAAAAUUCAGCAGGGUACGGAUAAGUGACAGCCACGUUAAUGCGACCUACUAUCCUCCUUCCUGCAACACCAUGCCACCACUCCGAGGGCUAUAAUAUCUCCUCAUAUUCCCUGCCCUAUUCUUCUGAACUCCUGCGCUGGCUUGCACCACUAGAUGUUCCGGCUUCAUCCGGCAUUCCUUCACCAUCCACAGGUGACAGUGGUGCCUAGCCGACUGUGAGGCCCUGACUCAGGUACACCAAUACUAGCCGCUACAAAACUUUCACGGCACUCACGCCCGCCAGUCGUCUGCAUGUGGGCCUGAGAUGCCUUCGGCAUAAAUGUUAGGCUCUGAAUCCCAGCAGAUACUGCAGCAAUGACUCGGCCUGUAGCACUACGACCAGGUACACUCCGUCACCACUCGCCAGGCCGUUUGCAUUCCCUAACUGAAUACCGAGCCCCCAGCAUUUCCACAUCAGUGUGUGUGUUUCCUUCGACAUUCACACGUCUGGGAGGUCCAGCCCCAGCCAGCGCCCCUUCGUCACCCAAAUGCGGCGAUCCCUUGCUGACGGUAUUGCCUGAUGUUGCGAAUGAACAUUCGCUGUUGAGGAAACGGUCCUCUCCCAACUCGUGUGGUUGUCGACCAGGGGAUUUGACCCCGGGUCUGCACCUGACUAAUGUGGAAGACUUACCCCAGAACUUUAUGGGGCUACCGAUGCAUAUCCGGUAGCUAAGUGAUAGACAUUAGGGCACCGUCUGGACGGCGCAGUGAGAUCGCGGAAUGUACGUGCAGUUAGAUCGCGGAAUGUACGAGUUUUCCCCUAGCGCCGGUAUUUAGGGCGGUGACUGCGCCUAUUAGUUUAUCUCACAACGAUCGGUAUUCCUACCAGGAAUCUCCUCAAGUCCUGCCGAACGCUAACAAUACUCUUUACAUUACUUGUAACAGUUUAUCGUGUUUCAUAUCUUCGCCGCCGGCAAUUCUUCCGAGAUAACAAUCAGCGUUAGCCGUCACCGUCGCCAAUUCUUCAAUAGGUUAUGAGCCCCGCCUAGCGCCGACAGCUAUCGCCCAAUUGUUAUUUCUAUCCCUCAUCGACAAUGGUUAAGGACAAGCUUGAUGAGUCGCUGGACCUCAACAACUACUCUACCUGGCAAAUUCGGUUUAGCGCGAUGUGCAUGGAGCUUGGGCUUGAGCAAUCCCUGCUCGCCGAGCCGUGCAACGAGGAGCAAAUUCGACAGUCACGGAAGGUCAUCAAUCUGCUCAUCAAGAACGUCAAGGAUCAUCAUUUGCCGAUGGUUACCGGUGCUGCCUGUUAAGACCAGCAAAGCGCCGGACCCCCGUUGGGUCCUAUUACUGUGGCUACCAUUCACUGGUAUAUGAAUGUCGGUCAUUUCCAACACCCCCCCGUGAGCGACACUCUCUCGCUACGGGCCUUCCCGUGCCUCAUCCCGGUCUCCCAUUCUCUGGGCAACAGCCAGUGGGUAUCGAUCCGGCGACCUCUCGGCAGCGCAAUGCGCCAUUCGGGGCUCAUAACCUGUUAAGACCAGCAAAGCGCCGGACCCCCGUUGGGUCCUAUUACUGUGGCUACCAUUCACUGGUAUAUGAAUGUCGGUCAUUUCCAACACUGCCAACGCGAAGAAGGCCUGGGACGCCUUGGGAUCUAUGGGAUCUAUGUCUGCUCCCGUCGCGUCCCGGCGCGUCCGGGUUCAAAUCCGCCUGCCGACCUCUCGGGGUGUUUGAGAGGUGAUGAAAUGGGAGGUGGCCCCCCAUCUUAUGGACGGUGUAGGACGUGAUAAAAUCAACUCGCGAGCUGACCAGGAACUAAGUUGACGCGCCGUUGAUCCGCUAGAUUUGGUUGGAUGCUGGUGGUGAGUUGCCAAACUCAAAGAGUACACUCUGAAGUCGGAUGGGGUGAAUGGCUUAGGGUGCCCCUCUAGCAGGGGAGAGCAGGGAACUGCCUCGGGAAGGAGGCCACUGGUGAAGCUUAACCACCCUGUAACAACAUCAACAUCAACAACGCCCGGCGGGCGGCUGGCAGAGGUUAAGGCCUGGCUUCUGCUCCCGGCGCGUUACGGCACGUCCGGGUUCAAAUCCGCCUGCCGACCUCUCGGGGUGUUUGAGAGGUGUUGAAAUGGGAGGUGGCCCCCCAUCUUAUGGACGGUGUAGGACGUGAUAAAAUCAACUCGCGAGCUGACCAGGAACUAAGAUGACGCGCCGUUGAUCCGCUAGAUUUGGUUGGAUGCUGGUGGUGAGUUGCCAAACUCAAAGAGUACACUCUGAAGUCGGAUGGGGUGAAUGGCUUAGGGUGCCCCUCUAGCAGGGGAGAGCAGGGAACUGCCUCGGGAAGGAGGCCACUGGUGAAGCUUAACCACCCUGUAACAACAUCAACAACGCCCGCAAGGUGUCUCUACGUCAAGAAUUCAGCCGUUUUAAGAUGGUCGACGGCGAACCUCUCCCGAUGUACUUUGCGCGUGCAAGACAGCUGCAAACAGAUUUAUUGGGAGUCGGCCACGUAGUUAACGACUCCGAGCUGGCGUACACCGUGCUAGUUGGUCUACCCAGUCGGUACAGCGUGGUGACGACUACAUUACUUAUGCGCGACGGCGAUUUGGACAUGGCGAGCGUCACAGCAAAGCUUCUCUCUAUCGAGACGGCUAACGGUGGGUCGGGCAAGCCUACCGAGUCGGCAGCCUUCGCGUCUGUCGGUGGUUCGACGUUCGGCGCUUCUACUUCUGGUUAUGGUAGCCGGGGGCCGGCUAACAACAGCUCGGGACAUAGUCGGAAGCAAGUCACCUGCUACUACUGUAAUAAACCUGGGCACGUGGUUAAGGACUGCAGGCAGCUUAAGGCGCUGAAGCAGUCGUCAAAUUCUGGCUAUAAGGGUGGGUACAACAACAGUGGCAACGGAGGUAGUGGCAGCGGAGCUAGCGGCAGCAAGCCAGGAUCCGGUGGAUCAGCUAGGGGGCCAGGAGUUCCGCGGCAGGUAGCGUUCGUAGCAUAUAACAGUGAGCGUCCGACGGAAUGGUUUCUGGACUCAGCCGCCACUCACCACAUAACGUAUGACCGCUCAGAACUUUUCAACGUGCGGUUGUUGGAGCCAUGGGAGCGCUUCAACAUCAUGGGCAUCAAGGGACAAUCUCUUCGACCGACUGAAGUUGGCACGCUUACGAUUCGGUCUAACGUCAACGAUAAACAGGCCAUCCCUUUCAAGAAGGUCUACGUCGACGAGGAGGCCACCGCCAAAAUCAUAUCGGUCCGCAUCAUUGAUGAUCGUGGAGGCAGUGUGGUCUUCGGCGGCGGACAGGCGAAAGUAUACGUACAGAACCAGUUGGUGCUGACUGGAAAGCGGGAUGGGGACUUGUAUCCCGUCUGCUACAGCAGUGGAGGUACGGGAGCUCUGAAGAGGACGCAGCGUGAAGACAACAGGAUACCUUCUGGUGGUGAUGCAGUGUGUGCUGCCGUGGGUAUCGGAGCUGAACGUGCAGCACUUUGGCACCGAAGGUAUGGCCACUUGGGAUACAGCAACCUUGAGACGUUGCUGCGUCAUAAUAUGGUAGCUGGAUUUGAUGUUGACCGACACAGCAUACAAUCAGCCAGCACGUGUGUGUGUGAGACUUGCGUCCUUGCUACAUACACGUGGUCCUUUUCCGUUAUCUGGGCAUAAGGCAGUGCAGCCUCUCGCGCUCAUUCACAUGGAUGUGUGUGGGCCUAUGCCUGAACCUUCGCCUAGUGGUUCGCAUUACGUGACAACCCUGCUUGACGACCAUACUGGUCUUUCAGCUGUUGAUGUUGUUACAGGGUGGUUAAGCUUCACCAGUGGCCUCCUUCCCGAGGCAAUUCCCUGCUCUCCCCUGCUAGAGGGGCACCCUAAGCCAUUCACCCCAUCCGAUUUCAGAGUGUACUCUUUGAGUUUGGCAACUCACCACCAGCAUCCAACCAAAUCUAGCGGAUCAACGGCGCGUCAACUUAGUUCCUGGUCAGCUCGCGAGUUCAUUUUAUCACGUCCUACACCGUCCACAAGAUGGGGGGCCACCUCCCAUUUCAUCACCUCUCAAACACCCCGAGAGGUCGGCAGGCGGAUUUGAACCCGGACGCGCCGGAACGCGACGGGAGCAGAAGCCAGGCCUUAACGUCUGCCAGCCGCCUGCCUGUUGCGUUUACAGCGACCAAGGAGGAGGUCUACCAGAAGGUGGUGGUAAUGAUAGCGGAACUGGAGCGCGCCACUGGCAGGCAGGUUAAGGAGGUGCGUACAGAUCGUGGCGGGGAGUUCGUUAAUACUCGCACGAAGGCCUAUUUCGCUUCCAGGGGUAUUCUACACGGAACUACGGUAGGCUACACCCCUGAGCAGAACGGAGCUGCAGAACGUUUAAAUCGCACUCUUUUGGACAAGACUAGGGCUAUGCUAGUUGAGUCUGGACUGCCUAAAUCAUUAUGGGCGGAGGCGUUAGCGACAGCCAACUAUCUUAGGAAUGUGUUGCCAACUGCUGGGUCAACCGUCACUCCGUACGAAGCUUUCUUUAACGUUCGUCCGAACGUCAGUCACCUGCGAGUCUUUGGAUGCGUUGCCUACGUCCACGUACCCGACGUCAAGCGUGACAAGUUCGACCCGGUGAGCAGGCGUGGAAUACUUGUUGGAUACGGGAACGGAGGACAAUAUCGUGUGCUAUACGUGGACGGCAUUAUUGCCAUAGUUUCUAACGUUCGUUUCGAUGAAUCUAAUGUCGGCCAGCGGCGUAAUGCCGGGGACUCCGAUUAUGAGUCCGAUGCCGACGAGGAGGAGGAUUUUCGCACUAGUUUGCCUGGUGAGGGAUCGCUGCCUAGGGCUGGCGAAGGGAUACCAGGUAGCACCGUCGGCGAGGGAUCGCCGCACUUGGGUGGCGAGGGGGCGCCGGCUGGGGCUGGACCUUCCAGCAGUGCGAAUGGGCAAGGAAUCAAUCAGCCUGAUGUGGAAAUGGCGGGAACUAGGUACCCAGUUAGAGAGCGUAAACGCCCUGGUGAAUGGUGGCGAAAUGAACCUGGUCGCACUGUUACUGGUCGCGUUAACGCUGCUUUCUCUACUGAUAUUCCCGAACCGAAUUCUUUUGCGGAAGCCAUUGCGAGUCCACAUGCAGACGACUGGCGGCGUGCGAUGGACGAGGAGAUCGCCACCCAGAUGGCUAAUAGUACUUGGGAGCUGAAGAAGCCACCGCCUGGUACUCGUUUGUUGCCGUGUCGUUGGGUAUAUAAGGUUAAGUACAGCGAUGACGGCAGCAUGGAGCGCUUUAAGGCGCGUUUAGUUGCCAAGGGUUUUGAGCAACGCGAGGGGAUUGAUUAUGGGGAGUUGUUUGCCCCUACCUCUCGUGGUUCGUCAUUACGAGCUUUAUUAGCAGUUGCCGCAGCGCGGGACAUGACGGUGCAUCAGCUAGAUGUGUCUACUGCGUUUCUGAAUGGUGAGCUGAAGGAGGAGUUGUGGAUGGAGCAACCGCCUGGGUAUGCAUCCAGUGACCGGUCGCUUGCGUGCAAGCUGCAGAAGUCUAUUUACGGUUUGAAGCAGGCACCCCGUUGCUGGAAUGGAAAGCUAUCAGCAGAGUUCGCCAAGCUGGGUCUUUAUCCUUCGAAGUCUGAUCCGGCGAUGUUUGUUAAGACGGACGAGCGUGGGGUUGUUAUUGCUUUGGUACACGUAGAUGACACUAUUGUUGCGUCGGAAGACCCGGAAAUGGUCCGGGCAAUUAAAGCCGCAAUUGCGAAGGUCUUCAAGGUGCGCGACCUUGGAGAAGCGAAGGUGUUUUUGGGCAUGGAAAUUAGGAGGGAGAAGUCGGGUGAGAUAGUGUUGUCGCAGCAUAGGUAUAUUGCGCAGCUGUUGGAGCGUCAUAGGAUGAUUGACGCCAAGCCGAGGUCUACCCCUUUGCCUCCGGGCUUUAGGUACACUCCUAAGGGGGACGGAGAGGAGCUGCUGGGCAAUCCCACAGAGUAUAGGGCUUUGGUGGGAGAAUUGAACUAUCUGGCGACGAACACGCGGCCUGACAUUUCAUAUGCAUUGAGCAUUUUGUCCCGGCAUAUGGCCGCACCUACGAAGACUGCCAUGAACUUGGCAACCGGCGUUCUACGUUACCUGGCGGGUACACGCGAACUAGGAUUGCGUUUUGGGGGUGUUGGCGACGUUGCUAUGUCCGGGUACAGUGAUUCGGACUGGGCAGGAGACCCAGUUACGCGGCGUUCUACGUCCGGUUACGUAUUCACUCUUAAUGGGGCUGCGAUUAGCUGGAGCAGCCAACUUCAACGUACUGUGGCGGCUUCGUCGGUGGAGGCUGAGUACCAAGCUACAGCGGCGGCUGUUCGUGAGGCUUUGUGGCUUCGCAAGCUGAUGGUUGAUUUGGGCUUGCCUGAGAGCGCGGUGAAAAUCCAGAUAGACUCCCAGGGGGCGCUUAGCUUGGGAAACAACCCGAUUACGUCUGCUCGGUCGAAGCACAUCGACGUGCAGCAUCACAUAGUGCGUGAGAGAGUGAAUAGCGGUGAGGUGCAGUUGGAAUACUGCCCUACGGAGUGGAUGGUUGCGGAUGUGCUCACGAAGGCUCUGGGCGAGGUGAAGUUCAAACGUUGCCGAGAUGCUAUGGGCCUUGUGUGAAGUGUGCAGAUGAACUUGGAACUCGUUGGGAUACGGCCCGAGGGGGCGUGUUGAGGAAACGGUCCUCUCCCAACUCGUGUGGUUAUCGACCAGGGGAUUUGACCCCGGGUCUGCACCUGACUAAUGGGGAAGACUUACCCCAGAACUUUAUGGGGCUACCGAUGCAUAUCCGGUAGCUAAGUGAUAGACAUUAGGGCACCGUCUGGACGGCGCAGUGAGAUCGCGGAAUGUACGUGCAGUUAGAUCGCGGAAUGUACGAGUUUUCCGCUAGCGCCGGUAUUUAGGGCGGUGACUGCGCCUAUUAGUUUAUCUCACAACGAUCGGUAUUCCUACCAGGAAUCUCCUCAAGUCCUGCCGAACGCUAACAAUACUCUUUACAUUACUUGUAACAGUUUAUCGUGUUUCAUAUCUUCGCUGCCGGCAAUUCUUCCGAGAUAACAAUCAGUGUUAGCCGUCACCGUCGCCAAUUCUUCAAUAUUCGCCAGCCCUAGGCAGCGACCCCUCACCAGGCAACCUAGUGUGCAAACCUCGUCGGCAUCGGACCCAUCAUCGGAAUCCCUGGCAUUAUGCCGCCGGGCACUUGACUCGUCAAAGCGGACGUUGGAGACCACGGCGAUGAUGCCGUCCUUGUACAUCACAUGAUACUGUCCUCCACUCCCGUAUCCGACAAGGAUCCCUCAGACACUUACUGUUGUAAGAUACAAACACAACCUGGCUCGGGAAUCCCAAUCCCUUGCCAGACCCACCGGGCCCAGGCUUGCUGAAAUAGAAGCAAAUCACCUCUUUGAGAGGAACGCCAGAACUGCUGCUGGCCGCGCCACGAUUCCCAAGACCAGAACCAGAGGCCCCAAACGAAAAACUGCCGACAGAUGCAAACGCUGCCGACUCGGUAGGCUUACCAGACCCACCGCUUGCCACCUCGAUAGCCAAAAGCUUGGAGGUGACGCUCGCCAUGUCCAAAUCGCCGUCAUGCACCAGCAGGGACGUCGUUACCACGUUGAAGUGGCUGGGUAGACCAACAAGCAAAGUGUGUGCCCGCUCAGAAUCGCUGAUAACGUGUCCUACUCCCGACUGUAAUUGCUUGCAGGCGUCCUGUGCCUUCUUCACGCUAGCUAUGUAAGCUACUAGCGUUAACCGGGGCUCAUAACCUGUUAAGAAUAUAAAGGCAAGGAGACUCAUAAGGGUUACAGUCUGUGGGUUAAUGGUGAACGGCAAGAAGACUUUAGGAGAUUCAAGUUAAGGAAUACCGAUCCAUCCUAAGAUGAGAUAGAAAGACAUGCACCACUCCUGUCUUAUGUACCGAUACCAACGGAAGUAUUGUACAGUCUUCCACCAUCCCUGGACCUGAGGACACGUCCGAGAUACGCAGCCGAGAGACCCGAGGCAAGGUCGAGGCACAGCCGAGGCAAGGUCGAGGCACAGCCGAGGCAAGGUCGAGGCACAGCCGAGGCAAGGUCGAGGCACAGCCGAGGCAAGGUCGAGGCACAGCCGAGGCAAGGUCGAGGCACAGCCGAGGCAAGGUCGAGGCACAGCCGAGGCAAGGUCGAGGCACGUCCGAGGCAUCCCCUAUCAAGGCGGAUUCAUCACCUAACUACCACCUAACUACGUCGGGAUAGGACCGCCCUUCAACACAAACGAAUUAGGUUCAGGAAUAUCAGCAGAGAAAGCAGCAUUAACGCGACCAGUGACAGUGCGACCAGGUUCGUUUCACAACCAUUCGCCAGGGCGUUAACGUUCUCUAACUGGAUAACGGGUCCCUGCAAUUUCCACAUCGGGCUGAUUGUUACCUUGCACGUUCGCACUGCUGGAUGGUCCAGCCCCAGCCGGCACCCCCUCGCCACCCAAGUGCGGCGAUCCCUCGCCGACGGUGCUGCCUGGUAUCACUUCACCAGCCCUAGGCAGCGAUCCCUUACCAGGCAAGCUAGUGCGAAAAUCCUCCUCCUCGUCAGCAUCGGACUCAUAAUCGGAGUCCCCGGCAGAACACCGCCGGCCGACGUUAGACGCAUUAAAGCGAACAUUAGAAAAUACGGCAAUAAUGCCGUCGUCGUACAGCACACGGUACUGUCCUCCGUUCCCGUAUCCGACAAGUAUUCCACGCCUGCUCACCGGAUCGAACUUGUCGCGUUUGACGUCAGGUACGUGGACGUAGGCGACGCACCCAAAAUCUCGAAGGUGACUGACGUUAGGACGGACGUUGAAGAAAGCUUCAUACGGUGUGACAGUUGACCCAGCAGUUGGCGACACAUUCCUGAGGUAAUUGGCUGUCGCCAACACUUCCGCCCUUAAUGACUUAGGUAGACCGGACUCGACAAGCAUAGCCCUGGUUUUGUCUAGGAGAGUGCAAUUCAAACAUUCCGCUGCUCCGUUCUGCUCAGGGGUGUAGCCUACCGUAGUUCCAUGUACAAUACCCCUGGACGCGAAAUAGCUCUUCAUGCGAGUAUUAAUGAACUGUUAAGAAUAUGAAGGAGGCAAGGAGACUUGUUGCGAUAUAAGUAUUAAAAUCGGUAGGUGAGUGGUAAACGGCAGGAAGACUUUAGGAGAUUCCUACUGAGGAAUACCGAUCCAUACAAAGAUGAGAUACUAAGACUUGCACAACUCGUGUCUUAUAUACCAUUACCAAUGGAAGUAUCGUACAGUCGUCCACCAUCCCUGGACCUGAGGACACGUCCGAGAUAUGCGGCCGAGAGACCCGAGGCAAGGUCGAGGCACAGCCGAGGCAAGGUCGAGGCACGUUCGAGGCAAGGUCGAGGCACGUCCGAGGCAUCGCCUAUCACGGCUGAUUCAUCGCCUAACUACCACCCAUCUACGUUGGGAUAGGACCGCCCUUCAACAUGAACUCCCCACCAUGAUCCGUACGCACCUCCUUAACCUGCCUGCCAGAAGCGUGCUCCAGUUCCGCUAUCAUUACCACCAUCUUCUGAUAGACCUCCUCCUUGGUCGCUGUAAACGCAACAGCUGAAAGACCGGUAUGGUCGUCAAGCAGAGUUGUCACGUAACACGAACCACUAGGGGAAGGUUCAGGCAUAGGUAGGGCUGGCACGGGUACUACAUUAGAAAAGAGUACUAUACUAGAAUAGGGAGACCCCCGAAUUAGUCGGGAGCGCGAGAUUAUGGCUAGCUACUGAGAUGUGGAGUUGAGGUCACAGUUAUUGGACCAGAUUCGUACGCUGGAUUGGUGGCGAUUGCCGAACCCUCCGUCUCUUCGGUUGUUCGGGUGAAUGGAUGAGGAGGGGUCCCUGAAGGCUGGAUCCGCCGCCUUGGACUUACAGUUCGUAUGGCGAAGUACAGUGUGGUAGUGGUGGAUGGUGCUAUAAGGUGAUAAAUCGUAGAACUGAUAAUGUCAUAAAGUGGCCCAGAAGCCUCUCACUCUGUAACAUUACACAUUACACUAGAAUAGUACUAUGCAUAGUACUACAUAGUAUGCAGGGCUCUAAACUGGCACUAGUUUACGAUGCUCGUACCGCGUUCGUACAUAGUAUAAUAAUAUAGUAAAAAUAGUACUAGAUAGCACUAGAUUUGGGUUUGGAUAGUGUCAAGUAUUAGUUGGACCAAGUCGAGAUCUGCAGUCAAGCUGUAUUUUGAAGGCUAUAGCCGCGUCUUCGAGCUGUGCUACAUAGUUUUGAUGAAUAAUGUCGAGGGAAUCCAGUAUAAAUAAUGACACGGUGAUGGUGCUUGAACAGCGGGCAGCGUCACUCAGCCAGCAACAGCAACAGAGUGGAACCAGCUCCGUGCCAGCAAGGCGGAUCAGCAGGUCCACUCCAAGCACCGGCGCGGCAUUGAUGGCCAGACCCCCCUCCCGGUGAUUCCCGCGACUCUCGCGGGGCAAGUCGUGGAGGACCUUUGGCAUGUACAGGAACAACAUGCCUAUUCACCUGAUCAAGAAGCCCGAGUUGCGGAACCUAUUCGGGCUGCUGGGCGUCACCCUGCCGAACCGGAAGCAGUUGAACUUCACUAGUAUGACGUCCGUGUGUUGUCUUGUGAACACUGGGUCUUCUAUCUGUGAUUAUGUCUUUAUGUGCCAUAACACGCCUUGAGACAUUUGGUCCACCCACCAGGCACUGAACUAACAAAAAGUGAUCUUGAUGACCGCAGCGAUCUGCUUUCUAAUGUCUAAGUAGCUAUUUAGAAAGAACAAAAGAAGAUCUUUCCAACGGUGUAAUUUUCAGGUACAACGGUUGGCUGUACACCCCCCUUCUACUGGGAGCGUGCACCUGCCUAGUAAUAGUAUCAUAGUAUUACAUUACUAUAUAUAGUACUAUUUCUUACCAUACUAUGAUAUUUGGGUUUUAAAUUAUAGUAUUUUUGCCAACCCUAGGCAUAGGUCCACACACAUCCAUGGUCUGGUCUGGAUUGACACUACUGCGAUUCGCGGUUUAAGGUCCUGGGUUCGAUUCCUGGGGAGACCCCGAAUUAGUCGGGAGCGCGAGAUUAUGGCUAGCUGCUGAGAUGUGGAGUUGAGGUCGCAGUUGAUGGACCAGAUUCGCACGCUGGAUUGGUGGCGAUUGCCGAACCCUCCGUCUCUUCGGUUGUUCGGGUGAAUGGAUGAGGAGGGGUCCUCGACGGCUGGACCCGCCGCCUUGGACUUACAGUUCGUAUGGCGAAGUAUAGUGUGGUAGUGGUGGAUGGUGCUAUAAGAUGAUAAAUCGUAGAACUGACAAUGUGAUAAAAGCGGCCCAGAAGCCUCCCACUCUGUAACAUUACAUUACAUCCAUGUGAACUAGUGCUAGUGGCUGGGCUGCCUUGUGCCCUGUCAGCAGAAAAUGACCUCGUGUCUGCUUUGCAAAAAUGCAGGUCUCACAAACACACAUGCUGGCUUUCUGAAAGCUGUGCUGGUCGACGUCAAAUCCCAUUACCAUAUUGUGGCGCAGCAACACCUCGAGGUUGCUGUAGCCCAGAUGUCCGUAACACCGAUGCCAAAGUGUUGCAUGCUCCGUCUUGGAAUCCACGGCGGUGCACGUUGUACCAUGUCCGUUGUCACAGUAGCUCGUAUUCUGCGUCCUCCUGAUGGUGCCUGUACUUCCACCUCGAUAGCAAAUGGGGUAGAGAUCACCGUCCCGUUCACCGGUCAACACUAAAUGAUUUUGCAAGUAUACCUUUACUUGACUGUCACCGAAGACUGCUCAAGCCCAAGCUCCAUGCACAUCGCACUAAACUGGAUUUGCCACGUGGAGUAGUUGUGGAGGUCCAGCGGCUCAUCAAGCUUAUCCUUGACCAUUGUCGAUAGGGGAUAGAAAUAACAACCAGGCAGGCGGCUGGCAGAGGUUAAGGCCUGACUUCUGCUCCCGGUCGACCCGGGUUCAAAUCCGCCUGCCGACCUCUCGGGUGUUUGAGAGGUGGUGAUAUGGGAGGUGGCCCCCCAUCUUGUGGACGGUGUAGGACGUGAUAAAAUCAACUCGCGAGCUGACCAGGAACUAAGUUGAGGCGCCGUCGAUCCGCUAGAUUUGGUUGGAUGCUGGUGGUGAGUUGCCAAACUCAAAGAGUACACUCUGAAGUCUGAUGGGGUGAAUGGCUUAGGGUGCCCCUCUAGCAGGGGAGAGCAGGGAAUUGCCUCGGGAAGGAGGCCACUGGUGAAUCUUAACCACCCUGUAACAACAUCAACAUCAACAUCCACAACCUAACUAAGUUGAUGCACCGUUGAUCCGCUAGAUUUGGUUGGAUGCUGGUGGUGAGUUGCCAAACUCAAAGAGUACACUCUGAAGUGGGAUGGGGUGAAUGGCUUAGGGUGCCCCUCUAGCAGGGGAGAGCAGGGAAUUGCCUCGGGAAGGAGGCCACUGGUGAAGAUUAACCACCCUGUAACAACAUCAACAACAUCAACAACCUGACGAUAGCUGUCGGCGCUACACGGGGCUCAUAACCUAUUGGAGAAUUGGUGAUGGUGACGGCUGACACUGAUUGUUAUUCCGAAAGAAUUGCCGGUGGCGAAGAUAUCAGGCACGAUUAAUUGUUACAAGUAAUGUAAAAAACUGUAAAUUGCGUUAGGCAGGACUUGAGGAGAUUCCUGGUAGGAAUACCGAUCGUUCUGAGAUAAACAAAUAAGCGCAGUCACCGCCCUUGUUACGUUAAGGCUUAUCACAACCAGUCAUGGUGGUGUCGAAAGACACCGGAUGCGAUUACAGCAGAGAAGGUGUAGCCAUCCAGUGUACGACCCGCACUAAUGUACGACGUCGCAAAAGGAAGAUCUUGAGAAUAGCUGAGUGAACCCCGUUGAAGAGAAACAUUGAGAGUUAUGUAACUGCUCUUGCACGUUACAUCAUUCCCCCCCUAAAUGGCUGGUCGUCCCGACAGCCAGCCAACCUUGGCUUCACCGCCACACGAGAGGAAAAAGCAGGGCUUCCGGAACCCCACUGGUGACAGACAAGUGGUUGAGAAAAGCAUUAAAGCGCGAAGGCUUUUUGAUCACACGGCCGUGACGAGUAGUCUGAGGAGCUCGAUGCGGCUUCGAGCCAGAAGCGUCAGCGUCACCCGAAAGUGUCGCCUGACCUUGGGACUUCGAGGUUGGAACUGAGUCAGAUUGACGUGCCCAAUAGUCGCGCAACAAAUCGCCGCAGUUAGUUAGGUUCGUUUCGGGUUCCCACGAAUCAAAUUCCGGGCCCUGACCUUUCCAACGCAUUAAGUAGAAACGCUUUUGUCGACGUCCUUCUUUCACUUCUUUAUGAAGUAGAAUGGACUCAACUUCGAACUCCAAUUCACCCUCAACAAUCUGAGGUGGCGGAGGUAGCUGAACGCGACCACCAUCUUGAUACGGACGAAGGAGUGACACAUGAAAUACAUCAUGUAUCCGCACCGCAGGAGGAAGAUCCAACCGAUACGCAACCGCGUUGAUCUUUUCCUUAACCACAAAGGGUCCGAUAAAGCGAGGCAGCAAUUUGCGCACACCUUUAAUAGUCAUGUGUUUCGUACUCAAGAGUACACGAUCACCAACAGAAAGUCCUCGUUCCGAGCGACCUUUGUCAGCCCAUUUCUUCAUCCGAUCUCGAGCAGCAGCCAAGCAAGACUUAGCUCGUUCCAAAGCAUUCUGCAUAUCCGUACUGAAUUUAACAGAUAACGGAUUAGACAGUUUGGCCACGCUUUGCAAGCGCGUCUUGGCCCUCUCCUCCCCCAAUUUGCGAACCAGGUGAGAAGCCGGAGUUAGGGGUUCAUAUCCGUACAUCAACCGAAAAGGAGUAGUUCGCGUAGAUUCAUGCAACGAAUUGUUCAUGGCGAACUCAGCCAUCGGCAGAUAACGGGACCAUGAGGAUUGAUCGCCAGAAACGAAAUGACGCAACAUAUCCUCCAGAACACGAUUUGCACGUUCUGUUUGGCCAUCCGUUUGAGGAUGAUAACCAGAACUGCGACGCAAGUCGAUUUGAUAUCCAUCAAAAAGCGACUCGAAAAAGGCAGAGGUAAACUUAGGAUCCCUGUCGCAAAUGACGACAGACGGAACACCGUACGAACACACAAUGGUGUUGACGAAGAUUUCAGCCGCUUUGACAGAGUCAACAGAGGCCUUACAGGGCACAAACCGAACCAUCUUGGUGAGUUUGUCCACAAACACAUAGAUCGAAGUAUUGCCAUCAGGAUCGGGAGGCAGAUCAGUAAUAAAAUCCAUGGUCACGAAAGACCACUUCUGAUCAGGAAUCGGCAGCGGAAGAAGCAAACCACCAGGGAGACUGGUAUCUGCCUUUACCCUCUGACAGCUGUCACACGUACGACAGUACGCUGCGACGGAUUGACGCAGCCUAGGCCACCAAAACGAACGACGCACCAAAUCAAGAGUUUUGGUUACGCCCGUAUGGCCUGCCAACGGAUGGUCAUGACAAAGACGCAGAACGGUAGUACGCAAAUCAGCAUGAUCUGGCACAACCAAAGCAUCUCCUCGAUACCAGAAUUGACCACGUUGCGAUAAUGCAACCGUGUUUUCUGAUAUUUUAAACCAAGGAUCGAUACCAUACCCAUCAAGUACCGAUGACUCGAACAUAGGAAAAGAGCACUGAAGCUCUACGGUGGUGUCACGGAAGGCAGAAAUUUCUCCCAACCGUUGAGCACUAAUCGUCAUAACCUUCGUCGUUUCAACAUCGACGUGUCCCGGAAGCCGAGACAACGGAUCUGCAGGAUUGCAACGACCCGCGCGAUACUGCCAUUCGAAAUCGAAAGACUCCAGAAAUUCCGACCACCGCGCCACACGUCGAGACAACAGAGACUUACGGCGCAUGGCGGUGUUAGGUUCGUGAUCUGUAACGACCGUAAACUUUACACCUUCGAGGUAACAACGCCACAAUUUGAGCGCAUGCACAACGGCCAAGAGCUCUUUUUCAGUGACGAUGUAGUUCAACUCAGCAGGAAUCAGUUUACGGCUCUCAAAAGCCACUGGCCUUCCAUGCUGGAGCAAAAUUGCACCCAAUGCGAAGUCGCUAGCAUCCGCGAUCACCUCGAAAGGUUCACGAGGAUCCGGCAAAGCAAGCACUGGCGCCCGAGUGAGCGCUUCCUUAACACGAAGGAAAGCCUCGUCGCAUUUCUCCGACCAAAACCACUUAGUCUUAGGAGAAAGCAAGUCCGUUAGCGGUUUAACCAAAGCCGCAUACGCACGAAUAAAUUUCCUGAAGUAAUUAGCAAGACCCAGGAAGGAUCGAAGCUCCGAAACAUUCUUGGGCACAGGCCACUGUUGGACAACAGCAGUCUUCCGAGGAUCGGGCCGUACACCGUCGGCCGAUACGAUAUGCCCCAAAAACGAAACGGACGGUUUGAAGAACUCGCACUUGGACAGCUUACAGUAGAACUGACGCUGUUCGAGACGUUCAAGCACUGCACGCAGAUGCUCAACGUGUUCAUCGGCGGUCUUCGAGAAGAUCAGAAUAUCGUCCAGAUACACUACCACGAACGGCAAACCCUGCAAGGCUUGAUUCAUGGCAGACUGGAAGACAGCAGGAGCAUUAGUCAGGCCAAAAGGCAUAACUUUAUACUGAUAAUGCCCGAAAGGAGUGCGAAACGCGGUACGCUCCACAUCGCUAGGAUUUAACCGUAACUGGUGAUAACCCUGCGUUAAAUCGAGUGAGCUGAAAACUGUCGCACCUCGCAAACGAUCCAACAAAUCAUCUAUCCGAGGCAACGGAAAACGAUUUUUGAUCGUGAGGCUGUUGACUGCGCGAUAGUCAACACACAUACGUAAAGUGCCAUCCUUCUUCUUAACGAACAUAGAGGGUAGGACAAACUGUCGGGCAGAGCAAUUCUUUUGACUGCCCCGGUCGCACAAUUCCCGUGCUUCCCUAAUUCGACACCCUGAACACGCUAAUUCUGACUGUCCGAAUGUCCCUGCCAGGCCAAUUCGGCACCCUGUCAGCCUAAUUCUGACUGUCGGAAUGUCCCGCCAGGCUAAUUCGUAUCCCUGUCAGGCUAAUUCUGACUGUCGGAAUGUCCCUGCCAGGCCAAUUCUUAUCCCUGUCAGGCCAAUUCAAGGGCCUGUCCCGGCAAUUCAACUUGUCCCAGGUGUCAAUUUAAACCCUUCUACCGAGCAAUCUAGACCAAUUGCAGGGUCUGCCCCCAAACUCUCAGGCACGCAUUCAGAAUCGCGGAAGUUGAAGGAACUUUACGAAACAAGGGGAGCACUUACAAAUAUCUCUCGUAUGUUUGUUGGUUUCAAAUCCGUACAUGCUUGUACGGNNNNNNNNNNNNNNNNNNNNNNNNNNNNNNNNNNNNNNNNNNNNNNNNNNCCUUGUUACCGUACUCCGUACUCAUUCACCCAUACAUUCAUUGUGUGUGUAUGUGUGAAAAGUUACCAUCACCCGAACCGACCAAAACCAAAGGUGUGUCUGCAUGGCAAGUCGCUCACAAUUUUAACACCCGGUCUAUUCAUUCAUUCAUUCCUUCGUUCAGACAAGCAGACAUAUCCACACGCCUCGUCUUGAACUGUGCUUCAGUCCUGCUAAGGGCCCCCGGCACUCGACCAGACUACAUGUGUUCAAAAAGAUACCACCACCCGAACCGAACCAAACCAGGGGCAUGUUAACCACACCUUUCAUUCGUCCAUUCAUUCAUACAUCCAAUCAUUCACGCAGACAAAGAAAUGUAAGCACACGCGCCUGCCCUGCAGUAGUGUGGCCCGGCACAAAGUAGCUGUAGUAGCUGGUACACAGUAAGCCAGGGUACCCAGUCGACCCGGGUUCAAAUCCGCCUGCCGGCUCCUCGGGUGUUUGAGGAGUGAUGAAAUGGGAGGUGGCCCCCCAUCUUAUGGACGGUGUAGGACGUGAUAAUAUCAACUUGCGAGCUGACCAGGAACUAAGUUGAUGCGCCGUUGAUCCGCUAGAUUUGGUUGGAUGCUGGUGGUGAGUUGCCGAACCCAACGAAUACAUUCUGAAGUCGGAUGGGGUGACGGAUUAGGGUGCCCCUCUAGCAGGGGAGAGCAGGGACUGCCCCGGGAAAGGGGGCCGCUGGCGAAGUUGACCACCCUGUAACAACAUACAGUAAGCACAGUAAGCUGGUACACACAUAGCACGACCACCAGCAUCUCGAGAGGCCUUUUCAGCCGCCAGCUACUAAAUAAUGCAUGAACGUCACAUAGAGGAAGGUAGCAUAAUACGAGCCGUCAACGAUAGGACCAUCACCGCCAACCGGACUGUGUGAACCUGUCUCCAGUGCGUCACGCAGCACACUGACUGCCUUGACGCUUCCAGUUGAGGGAUCCAUGUCGAGGUCGGCCAACCUGUCUGUCAGUGAAUGGCGGUAAGUCAGCCACAAACCAGUCUGUACCUAAUUCCAGGUUGGAUAGAGCCUACUUGAGAGUGGCGCGCUGGUUCUGUUUGUCCUUGUAGUUGAGAUCCUGGGACGAGAUGUUGACAUGGGGCAUGCGCUUGCUCAGCGCGCGCAGUGCANNNNNNNNNNNNNNNNNNNNNNNNNNNNNNNNNNNNNNNNNNNNNNNNNNNNNNNNNNNNNNNNNNNNNNNNNNNNNNNNNNNNNNNNNNNNNNNNNNNNNCGCCAGCCAAUGUGCAUUUGGUCAAUGACGGGUUGGAGCACGGACACCCACGUCACUGGAAGGGGCAAUGUAAAAAGCUACCUCCUCCUGCUGGCGUUGUUGUCCUUUGACGCUGAGACCCCGGAUGAUACCCCGCAGCAACUGUUGAAUUGUGCCGUCAACGAGUCCUGAAUGUCAAUCGAUGUCCGAUGGUUAACAAGUCAAGGCAUGUGUACGCGCACGCCAGCCUACACUACUCACGCAUGCCGACACUGCAUCAUACCUCGUUGUUGUGAUGUUUCGAGCAGUCGGACCGAGCGUAUGCCUGUAGCCUCACUCUAUCAGCCUGGAAAAGGGAUGUCCGCCGCUUAAUCUCCCUGUCCAGCGCUAUUCGAUCUGCCCGCGGAUGUGACCGCCUUGAGCUCAACAUGUCCCACACGCUCAAGUCCCUCGGCAGAACGGAAGGGGACAAUGACACGUGGAUCUGUCGCGACUCGCUGUGUCGCAGCGACUCGCAGUGAAGCAGCGUCGGCUGAACGCUUCAAUUGGUGAUUUCUGUUGAGGGCCAGACACGCGGCACACGGCCGUCCAGCUGCGGAGGAGAAACUGCAGACAACGGACCGGAUGGAGUCGAUUUCGCCGUAUGCUGGAAGCUGAUUAUCCCGGAAGAAUGUAUCCGCCUGUGGCGCCAUGUCAGGAUUCCCAUGUGGGUUAACAUUUGUCAGGCAGACCAACACGCUAGCCUUGCCUUUGCCCGACCCACAUGCACUGACCUUAUCAAACCGCCAUGCCAUCAACAACCCGGGGUACAGGCUAGCGCGCGCCCUGCAUCGCCGCCCGUGUCCAUGAUGGCGGCCUCAAUGUCCCGCGGCCCCAACACACCCGCCUGGGAACAGCCGUAUAGGCAGGCGUAACAUUCGUCGCGCAGUCCAGGGCACGACAUCCCACCGAUAACACGGCGCCGACGCUCGGCUAGUUGUUGCAGGAAGGGGCGCGCUGGACGGGCGCCUGGCAUGGGUAACGGACCGGGCAACGGCGCCGUGCUUCGAAGCCCGCGCUGCGACAACAGGUCUGAAAACAUGGCCUGCAUACCGGCAUCCGUAUCCAACACUGCCGGUGCGAAGGCUGCGAAGGACGCAUACUUAACUCCACAGCUAGAUCCAUCGAAGCCACAAAGCGCCUGAACACAAAAUUGUGGGUACAGGACCGUGCAUGGCGCUGGGUGGCCACAGCAACACAAGUGAAUCGUGUGCUGGCGUCCACAGACUCUGCAAUCAAGCUGACGUUUCUCCAGGACUUCCAUAGCAGAGGCCGGAGACUUCUCCGCCCCGAAUACCUUCAUGCAUGCACCAUGGUUCAUUUAGCACCGUUCGACACAAGAACCUAUGGUGAUAAUAUAAACUGGCAUACUUAUAACAAUGGUUUACCGAGAUUUUUAGAAAUGCUUCCCUACUGUCUAAAUACCUUCAGCUUUUUAAAAGGAUCACGCCUUAGAUAUUGCUCAACAACGGCAUAGAGAUGUAUAAGUAUACCAAAAGCACUUCCAGCGCCGCGCACUGUCACGAAUUAAUGCAUACACCACGCUUCCGUACAACAAGAGUUUGGUGCGCAUGUAAGUAUGGGUUGCGAGCGUAUCACAGUCGAUANNNNNNNNNNNNNNNNNNNNNNNNNNNNNNNNNNNNNNNNNNNNNNNNNNNNNNNNNNNNNNNNNNNNNNNNNNNNNNNNNNNNNNNNNNNNNNNNNNNNNNNNNNNNNNNNNNNNNNNNNNNNNNNNNNNNNNNNNNNNNNNNNNNNNNNNNNNNNNNNNNNNNNNNNNNNNNNNNNNNNNNNNNNNNNNNNNNNNNNNNNNNNNNNNNNNNNNNNNNNNNNNNNNNNNNNNNNNNNNNNNNNNNNNNNNNNNNNNNNNNNNNNNNNNNNNNNNNNNNNNNNNNNNNNNNNNNNNNNNNNNNNNNNNNNNNNNNNNNNNNNNNNNNNNNNNNNNNNNNNNNNNNNNNNNNNNNNNNNNNNNNNNNNNNNNNNNNNNNNNNNNNNNNNNNNNNNNNNNNNNNNNNNNNNNNNNNNNNNNNNNNNNNNNNNNNNNNNNNNNNNNNNNNNNNNNNNNNNNNNNNNNNNNNNNNNNNNNNNNNNNNNNNNNNNNNNNNNNNNNNNNNNNNNNNNNNNNNNNNNNNNNNNNNNNNNNNNNNNNNNNNNNNNNNNNNNNNNNNNNNNNNNNNNNNNNNNNNNNNNNNNNNNNNNNNNNNNNNNNNNNNNNNNNNNNNNNNNNNNNNNNNNNNNNNNNNNNNNNNNNNNNNNNNNNNNNNNNNNNNNNNNNNNNNNNNNNNNNNNNNNNNNNNNNNNNNNNNNNNNNNNNNNNNNNNNNNNNNNNNNNNNNNNNNNNNNNNNNNNNNNNNNNNNNNNNNNNNNNNNNNNNNNNNNNNNNNNNNNNNNNNNNNNNNNNNNNNNNNNNNNNNNNNNNNNNNNNNNNNNNNNNNNNNNNNNNNNNNNNNNNNNNNNNNNNNNNNNNNNNNNNNNNNNNNNNNNNNNNNNNNNNNNNNNNNNNNNNNNNNNNNNNNNNNNNNNNNNNNNNNNNNNNNNNNNNNNNNNNNNNNNNNNNNNNNNNNNNNNNNNNNNNNNNNNNNNNNNNNNNNNNNNNNNNNNNNNNNNNNNNNNNNNNNNNNNNNNNNNNNNNNNNNNNNNNNNNNNNNNNNNNNNNNNNNNNNNNNNNNNNNNNNNNNNNNNNNNNNNNNNNNNNNNNNNNNNNNNNNNNNNNNNNNNNNNNNNNNNNNNNNNNNNNNNNNNNNNNNNNNNNNNNNNNNNNNNNNNNNNNNNNNNNNNNNNNNNNNNNNNNNNNNNNNNNNNNNNNNNNNNNNNNNNNNNNNNNNNNNNNNNNNNNCGAACAGGUCAAUUCGAUACCCUGUCAGGCUAAUUCAAUACCCUGUUAGGCCAAUUCGGCACCCGGACAGGCCAAUUCGACACCCGGACAGGCCAAUUCAGGCGCAGCACAGCCCAAUUCCGAGGCUCCACAGCGCAAUUCGAAUACCUCCGGCGGGUCCGCCAGAACAAUUCCAGACCUCGGCAGACCAAUUCUUUUGUCAGGAAUAAAAUCCAGGCUAAUUCUGCGACAGAGCUCUUCCCUAAUUCCAGCCCGAAUCCUACCCUCCUACGAACAAGACAGGCGCACCAAAGGGCGAACACGAAGGUUCAAUAAAUCCCUUCUCCAAAAGAUCCGAAAUUUGCCUUUGCAUUUCCUCUUGCUCAGGGAGCGAAUAGCGAAACAUGCGUUGAGCAGGUGGACGAGCACCAGGCUCCAACGGAACGACAGGCGGCAAAUUACGAUCAGGAGGUAACGAAGCAGGCAACUGGUCUGGAAAUAAAUGCGCUUUUUCCAGCAACAAAGCCUUAAGACGCAAAUCCGCAGGUGACUCGCCGCGCACGACGUCACUAACCUUCUGCGCGAAAGCGGAAACAGACGAAUGCGAUGGCGGAAGUGACGACUCCUCCCCCGGCAAAUUGACAGCAUCCGGAACAGGAUCCGCAGCCGAGACGAGACAUAGGUAGAACGUGUCACUCUCCUCCAUGGCCUGCGCAAGUGAGCAAUGCGCAACUGCAUCCAGAACUUCAGGAGAAGAACCNNNNNNNNNNNNNNNNNNNNNNNNNNNNNNNNNNNNNNNNNNNNNNNNNNUUGAACGAGUCGAACGGGGACCAGAGCCAGACGCUCCAGCACCAGAGCCAGAAGCACCUUGACGCGAUGAAUCUGACGAAGGUGAANCGGAGGACUUGAGUUCCUCCGCGUAAGUCUUCAAGACGUGAAGAAAACAGUCCAAACUGGUCCAUGGGCGCCUGAUUUCGACAGUGCGAUCGUACAUGAGACGAUCACGUAAGCUGUCAGGCAACAGACGAACCAGUUGAUAGACGAUAAGCUCCUCAGGAGUCGCAGCCGGCAGCUCCCGACGAAUGUCGUGAAGAUGUUGAAGCACUUGCUCCACUGAACACGCUGGUUUGGCGUUGAACAUACGGCAAAGUGCAUUGUAAGAGGAGGCGCCGGAUGACAGAACAACGGCUUCAGUGAACCAGUUUAGAAGCCAAGAAGCGCUGGGAAUCACUGGCGGCGUCAACGCGGAAAGCGAUUUACGAAGAUCUGUAACGAGAGACGCCGGACCCACACUUAAGACGACCCAAUUGGUGGCAGCUGAAUCAGAAAGAGUGUAGCCGGCCAAGUCGAGGUAUCCAACUAAAUCGUCGACCAAGAAAGAUAGGUAAUCGGGCAAACUCAAUUGCACUUUGGCUGCAGCGUCCGCUGAGACAAGACGACGUCUGUCAGGCUGCGGAGGCUCGAGGGGGCGCAGGCGCCGAGUAACAGUGCCCGGCUGUGAAUCGGACAUUGUAGCAUCACCGUUGACCGGCGACGGAAGCGGCACCGGAUCCACGGCAGUAGAAAUAGGAACAGCCCGAGGUUGUGACCCAGAAGGCUGAUCAGGCGAGGCGACUGUAGGCGCCGGUGCAAGCGCCAAGGCCGCCAUCGGCGAAGUAACGGUGUUUACCGCCGGAUCGGCUGAAACUCCAGUAUUCAUCCUCGGAGAAGAUACAGGAGACGAAGAAGUUUGAAGAACAGUAGGUAAAGCCGACCGACGAUAAAGUGAAAGAAAUGGACGAAAAAGCAUAAUCCCAGAAAGAAAAAUUUCACCGUCUCGAUGCCAAUGUUACGUUAAGGCUUAUCACAACCAGUCAUGGUGGUGUCGAAAGACACCGGAUGCGAUUACACCAGAGAAGGUGUAGCCAUCCAGUGUACGACCCGCACUAAUGUACGACGUCGCAAAAGGAAGAUCUUGAGAAUAGCUGAGUGAACCCCGUUGAAGAGAAACAUUGAGAGUUAUGUAACUGCUCUUGCACGUUACAGCCCUAAAUACCAGCGCUAGAGGAAAAGUCAUACAUUCCGCGAUCUAACUGCACGUACAUUCCGCGAUCUCACUGCGCCGUCCUGACCAAAUGUCUAUCACUGGAUGCAUACCCAGGCGGUUGCUCCAUCCACAAUUCCUCCUUCAGCUCACCAUUCAGAAACGCAGUAGACACAUCGAGCUGAUGUACCGUCAUGUUCCGGGCUGCGGCAACUGCUAAUAAAGCACGCAAUGACGAACCACGAGAGGUAGGGGCAAACAACUCCCCAUAAUCAAUCCCCUCACGUUGCUCGAAACCCUUGGCAACUAAACGCGCCUUAAAACGCUCCACGCUGCCGUCAUCGCUGUACUUAACCUUAUACACCCAACGACACGGCAACAAACGAGUACCAGGAGGUGGCUUCUUCAGCUCCCAAGUACUAUUAGCCAUCUGGGCGGCGAUCUCCUCGUCCAUCGCAUGCCGCCAGUCGUCUGCAUGUGGACUUGCAAUUGCUUCCUCAAACGAAUUAGGCUCAGGAAUACCAGCAGAGAAAGCAGCGUUAACGCGACCAGUGACAGUGCGACCAGGUUCGUUUCGCCACCAUUCGCCAGGGCGUUUACGCUCUCUAACUGGAUAUCUAGUUCCNNNNNNNNNNNNNNNNNNNNNNNNNNNNNNNNNNNNNNNNNNNNNNNNNNCGACGAUCUUGGGUGCUGCAGUCGAACCGUCAGGCGGCUUAACCACCAAACCCACGCGCCGUGCAAAACCUGCGCUGAGUAAAUGAGCGGCUUGACUGCCCGAAUCGAGCAAGAUGGUCGCCUCCUGUUGGCAAACAGAACCUGCGAACUGCAUAGCCAAACUGGGAGACACCGAAAAAGGGACGGUUGUCGCAACACAAACAGCCGACUCAGAAGGAGACUCGGCAGGAGCAUCAUACCAGAACUCCAUCGGCGAGGAAACUCCCUGCACACGAGACAUUUUACCUUUUCCCGACGACACGGAAAACAGGUGAUACCCCGCGUGGUACUCGUGAAGCUUUUUCAUGCCUGCAAGCAGAGGACGCCAACGCGCUGUAACCCAUUUAGGAAGCAAAAAUCCCCCAGACGUGGUCGAUGGCGCAAUCGACUUGCAACGCAGGUAGUGACGCAGGAAAUCUUGAAUACGCGCCCGAGGCGGAUGCAUCCAAACGUGAUGUCCUGCGCAGCUAUCAUGCAAAAAGCUGCGAGAAGGCGAACUAUACUUCGGACACAAGGCAUUAGACCCAUCGUUAGAUGCGCAUGCAUCCCAAGUGAAGUGACGACCGGAAAGCUGCUGCAAGUGCUGAAAUUCGUGCUUGCGAAUGCAAAGUUCUUGAGGCGGAGGGACAUCUGCAACCGGCAUCGAACUGUUCGUCUUUGUGUUACAAUAGCGAGAAGGCUCUGUAACCAGACGUACGUUAAAAGCCGCGUUCAGUUCCGACUGAGAACGAUUCACAACGCGAUCACUUGCGUUUGACAACUUCACAGGCGCACUCGACAUAGUCGCCAAAAACUUGUGCGCUUGCCGCUGAGGCACGCCCGCAGGCGUCGGCUCAACCGACACAGCCACAGAUGGUCCAGAAACAACAGGUUCUGCGACACACAAAUCACGAUUAUUCUGCACAGCCAAAGAAGCCAUCGCAGACAACACCGAAAAAUCAACGUCUUGUUCAACAGGCGCGAGGUCAACUCCGCCAUCGGGUGGGUCAGAACCCGGACAAGACAACGAACGUCACGGCUUAGACAUGGACGGCUUCCGCUCGAAGAAGAAAAAGUCCUUUGGAAACAUGGACUGCGCACGCUCGCAGUCCUGCGCGAAGUGAUUUUCUCCGCGACAUAAAAGGCACUGAUUCUUAUUACGAAGAUUUUGCGCUUGCUGCAUAGUCAAGCCGCGGACCCAGAUUGACUUAGCCCGCCCAGUAGGCUGACGGAAACGAUCAGCCAAAGGAACUAUAUCCGGCAUUGACGCACUCAAACGCGGGCGUUUGGCGUCAGAGUCCGGACAUUGCCGUCCAGCCGAGAUUGAACGAGUCGAACGGGGACCAGAGCCAGACGCUCCAGCACCAGAGCCAGAAGCACCUUGACGCGAUGAAUCUGACGAAGGUGAAGCGGAGGACUUGAGUUCCUCCGCGUAAGUCUUCAAGACGUGAAGAAAACAGUCCAAACUGGUCCAUGGGCGCCUGAUUUCGACAGUGCGAUCGUACAUGAGACGAUCACGUAAGCUGUCAGGCAACAGACGAACCAGUUGAUAGACGAUAAGCUCCUCAGGAGUCGCAGCCGGCAGCUCCCGACGAAUGUCGUGAAGAUGUUGAAGCACUUGCUCCACUGAACACGCUGGUUUGGCGUUGAACAUACGGCAAAGUGCAUUGUAAGAGGAGGCGCCGGAUGACAGAACAACGGCUUCAGUGAACCAGUUUAGAAGCCAAGAAGCGCUGGGAAUCACUGGCGGCGUCAACGCGGAAAGCGAUUUACGAAGAUCUGUAACGAGAGACGCCGGACCCACACUUAAGACGACCCAAUUGGUGGCAGCUGAAUCAGAAAGAGUGUAGCCGGCCAAGUCGAGGUAUCCAACUAAAUCGUCGACCAAGAAAGAUAGGUAAUCGGGCAAACUCAAUUGCACUUUGGCUGCAGCGUCCGCUGAGACAAGACGACGUCUGUCAGGCUGCGGAGGCUCGAGGGGGCGCAGGCGCCGAGUAACAGUGCCCGGCUGUGAAUCGGACAUUGUAGCAUCACCGUUGACCGGCGACGGAAGCGGCACCGGAUCCACGGCAGUAGAAAUAGGAACAGCCCGAGGUUGUGACCCAGAAGGCUGAUCAGGCGAGGCGACUGUAGGCGCCGGUGCAAGCGCCAAGGCCGCCAUCGGCGAAGUAACGGUGUUUACCGCCGGAUCGGCUGAAACUCCAGUAUUCAUCCUCGGAGAAGAUACAGGAGACGAAGAAGUUUGAAGAACAGUAGGUAAAGCCGACCGACGAUAAAGUGAAAGAAAUGGACGAAAAAGCAUAAUCCCAGAAAGAAAAAUUUCACCGUCUCGAUGCCAAUGUUACGUUAAGGCUUAUCACAACCAGUCAUGGUGGUGUCGAAAGACACCGGAUGCGAUUACACCAGAGAAGGUGUAGCCAUCCAGUGUACGACCCGCACUAAUGUACGACGUCGCAAAAGGAAGAUCUUGAGAAUAGCUGAGUGAACCCCGUUGAAGAGAAACAUUGAGAGUUAUGUAACUGCUCUUGCACGUUACAGCCCUAAAUACCAGCGCUAGAGGAAAAGUCAUACAUUCCGCGAUCUAACUGCACGUACAUUCCGCGAUCUCACUGCGCCGUCCUGACCAAAUGUCUAUCACUGGAUGCAUACCCAGGCGGUUGCUCCAUCCACAAUUCCUCCUUCAGCUCACCAUUCAGAAACGCAGUAGACACAUCGAGCUGAUGUACCGUCAUGUUCCGGGCUGCGGCAACUGCUAAUAAAGCACGCAAUGACGAACCACGAGAGGUAGGGGCAAACAACUCCCCAUAAUCAAUCCCCUCACGUUGCUCGAAACCCUUGGCAACUAAACGCGCCUUAAAACGCUCCACGCUGCCGUCAUCGCUGUACUUAACCUUAUACACCCAACGACACGGCAACAAACGAGUACCAGGAGGUGGCUUCUUCAGCUCCCAAGUACUAUUAGCCAUCUGGGCGGCGAUCUCCUCGUCCAUCGCAUGCCGCCAGUCGUCUGCAUGUGGACUUGCAAUUGCUUCCUCAAACGAAUUAGGCUCAGGAAUACCAGCAGAGAAAGCAGCGUUAACGCGACCAGUGACAGUGCGACCAGGUUCGUUUCGCCACCAUUCGCCAGGGCGUUUACGCUCUCUAACUGGAUAUCUAGUUCCCGCCAUUUCCACAUCAGGCUGAUUGAUUCCUUGCCCAUUCGCACUGCUGGAAGGUCCAGCCCCAGCCGGCGCCCCCUCGCCACCCAAGUGCGGCGAUCCCUCGCCGACGGUGCUACCUGGUAUCCCUUCGCCAGCCCUAGGCAGCGAUCCCUCACCAGGCAAACUAGUGCGAAAAUCCUCCUCCUCGUCGACAUCGGACUCAUAAUCGGAGUCCCCGGUAUUACGCCGCCGGCCGACGUUAGAUUCAUCAAAACGAACGUUGGAAACUACGGCAAUAAUGCCGUCCUCGUAUAGUACACGAUACUGUCCACCGUUCCCGUAUCCAACAAGUAUUCCACGCCUGCUCACCGGGUCGAACUUGUCGCGCUUGACGUCGGGUACGUGGACGUAGGCAACGCAUCCAAAGACUCGCAGGUGACUGACGUUCGGACGAACAUUAAAGAAAGCUUCGUACGGAGUGACGGUUGAACCAGCAGUUGGCGACACAUUCCUAAGAUAGUUGGCUGUCGCUAACGCCUCCGCCCAUAAUGAUUUAGGCAGUCCAGACUCAACGAGCAUAGCCCUAGUCUUGUCCAAAAGUGUGCGAUUUAAACGUUCUGCAGCUCCGUUCUGCUCAGGGGUGUAGCCUACCGUAGUCCCGUGUAGAAUACCCCUGGAAGCGAAAUAGGCCUUCGUGCGAGUAUUAACAAACUCCCCGCCACGAUCUGUACGCACCUCCUUAACCUGCCUGCCAGUAGCGCGCUCCAGUUCCGCUAUCAUUACCACCAUCUUCUGGUAGACCUCCUCCUUGGUCGCUGUAAACGCAACAGCUGAAAGACCAGUAUGGUCGUCAAGCAGGGUUGUCACGUAACGCGAACCACUAGGCGAAGGUUCAGGCAUAGGCCCACACACAUCCAUGUGAAUGAGCGCGAGAGGCUGCGCUGCCUUAUGCCCAGAUAACGGAAAAGGACCACGUGUAUGUUUAGCAAGGACGCAAGUCUCACACACACACGUGCUGGCUGAUUGUAUGCUGUGUCGGUCAACAUCAAAUCCAGCUACCAUAUUAUGACGCAGCAACGUCUCAAGGUUGCUGUAUCCCAAGUGGCCAUACCUUCGGUGCCAAAGUGCUGCACGUUCAGCUCCGAUACCCACGGCAGCACACACUGCAUCACCACCAGAAGGUAUCCUGUUGUCUUCACGCUGCGUCCUCUUCAGAGCUCCCGUACCUCCACUGCUGUAGCAGACGGGAUACAAGUCCCCAUCCCGCUUUCCAGUCAGCACCAACUGGUUCUGUACGUAUACUUUCGCCUGUCCGCCGCCGAAGACCACACUGCCUCCACGAUCAUCAAUGAUGCGUACCGAUAUGAUUUUGGCGGUGGCCUCCUCGUCGACGUAGACCUUCUUGAAAGUGAUGGCCUGUUUAUCGUUGACGUUAGACCGAAUCGUAAGCGUGCCAACNNNNNNNNNNNNNNNNNNNNNNNNNNNNNNNNNNNNNNNNNNNNNNNNNNAAUCGCCGUCGCGCAUAAGUAAUGUAGUCGUCACCACGCUGUACCGACUGGGUAGACCAACUAGCACGGUGUACGCCAGCUCGGAGUCGUUAACUACGUGGCCGACUCCCAAUAAAUCUGUUUGCAGCUGCCUUGCACGCGCAAAGUACAUCGGAAGAGGUUCGCCGUCGACCAUUUUAAAACGGCUGAAUUCUUGACGUAGAGACACCUUGCGGGCGUUGUUGUUGGCAGCAAACAUAGAUCCCAAGGCGUCCCAGGCCUUCUUCGCGUUGGCAGCACCGGUAACCAUCGGCAAAUGAUGAUCCUUGACGUUCUUGAUGAGCAGAUUGAUGACCUUCCGUGACUGUCGAAUUUGCUCCUCGUUGCACGGCUCGGCGAGCAGGGAUUGCUCAAGCCCAAGCUCCAUGCACAUCGCGCUAAACCGAAUUUGCCAGGUAGAGUAGUUGUUGAGGUCCAGCGACUCAUCAAGCUUGUCCUUAACCAUUGUCGAUGAGGGAUAGAAAUAACAAUUGAGCGAUAGCUGUCGGCGCUAAGCGGGGCUCAUAACCUAUUGGAGAAUUGGCGACGGUGACGGCUAACGCUGAUUGUUAUCUCGGAAGAAUUGCCGGCGGCGAAGAUAUUUAGCACGAUAAAACGUUACAAGUUAUGUAAAGAGUAUUAUAAGCGUUCGGCAGGACUUGAGGAGAUUCCUGGUAGGAAUACCGAUCGUUGUGAGAUAAACUAAUAGGCGCUGUCACCGCCCUAAAUACCGGCGCUAGCGGAAAACUCGUACAUUCCGCGAUCUCACUGCGCCGUUAGCUGCACGUACAUUCCGCGAUCUCACUGCGCCGUCCAGACGGUGCCCUAAUGUCUAUCACUUAGCUACCGGAUAUACAUCGGUAGCCCCAUAAGGUUCUGGGGUAAGUCUUCCCCAUUAGUCAGGCGCAGACCCGGGGUCAAAUCCCCUGGUCGACAACCACACGAGUUGGGAGAGGACCGUUUCCUCAACAGUGUUAACGCUGCUUUCUCUGCUGGUAUUCCUGAACCUAAUUCGUUUGCAGAAGCCAUUGCAAGUCCACAUGCAGACGACUGGCGGCGUGCGAUGGACGAGGAGAUCGCCGCCCAGAUGGCUACUUGGGAGCUGAAGAAGCCACCUCCUGGUACUCGUUUGUUGCCGUGUCGUUGGGUGUAUAAGGUUAAGUACAGCGAUGACGGCAGCGUGGAGCGUUUUAAGGCGCGUUUAGUUGUAAAGGGGGUUCAACGGGGGUUCAAGCAACGCGAGGGGAUUGAUUUUGGGGAGUUGUUUGCCCCUACCUCUCGUAGUUCGUCAUUACGUGCUUUCUUAGCAGUUGCCGCAGCGCGGAACAUGACGGUGCACCAGCUCGAUGUGUCUACUGCGUUUUUUAAUGGUAAGCUGAAGGAGGAGUUGUGGAUGGAGCAACCGCCUGGGUAUGCAUCCAGUGACCGGUCGCUUGCGUGCAAGCUGCAGAAGUCUAUUUACGGUUUGAAGCAGGCACCCCGUUGCUGGUAUGAAAAGAUAUCAGCAGAGUUCGCCAAGCUGGGUCUUUAUCCUUCGAAGUCUGAUCCGGCGAUGUUCGUUAAGACUGACGAGCGUGGGGUUGUUCUUGCUUUAGUGCACGUCGCAGCAUAGGUAUAUUGCGCAGCUAUUGGAGCGUCAUAAGUUGGUUGACGCCAAGCCGAGGUCUACCCCUUUGCCUCUGGGCUUUAGGUACACUCCUACGGGGGACGGAGAAAAGCUGCUGGACAAUCCCACGGAGUAUAGGGCUUUGGUGGGGGAAUUGAAUUACCUAGCGACGAACACGCGGCCUGACAUUUCGUAUGCAUUGAGUGUUUUGUCCCGGCAUAUGGCCGCACCCACGAAGAGUGCUGUGAACUUAGCAAUUGGCGUUCUGCAUUACCUGGCGGGUACUCGCGAACUAGGAUUACGUUUUGGGGGUGUUGGUGACAUUGAUAGCGGGUAUAGCGAUUCUGACUGGGCAGGAGACCCAGUUACGCCGCGUUCUACUUCCGGCUACGUUUUCACUCUUGAAGGGGCUGCGAUUAGCUGGAGCAGUCAACUUCAACGUACUGUGGCAGCUUCGUCGGUGGAGGCCGAGUAUCAAGCGACAGCGGCAGCUGUUCGCGAGGCUUUGUGGCUUCACAAACUGAUGGUUGAUUUGGGUUUACCUGAGAGCGCUAUCAAGAUUCAAAUAAAUUCCCAGGGGGCGCCUAGCUUAGGAAAUAACCCGAUUACGUUUGCUCGGUCGAAGCACAUCGACGUACAGCAUCACAUAGUGCGUGAUAGGGUGAAUAGCGGUGAGGUGCAGUUGGAAUACUGCCCUACGGAGUGGAUGGUUGCGGAUGUGCUCACGAAGGCUCUGGGCGAGGUGAAAUUCAAACGUUGCCGAGAUGCGAUGGGCCUUGUGUGAAGCGUGCUGAUGAACUUGGUACUCGUUGGGAUACGGCCCGAGGGGGCGUGUUGAGGAAAUGGUCCUCUCCCAACUCGUGUGGUUGUCGACCAGGGGAUUUGACCCCGGGUCUGCGCCUGACUAAUGGGGAAGACUUACCCCAGAACCUUAUGGGGCUACCGAUGCAUAUCCGGUAGCUAAGUGAUAGACAUUAGGGCACCGUCUGGACGGCGCAGUGAGAUCGCGGAAUGUACGUGCAGUUAGAUCGCGGAAUGUACGAGUUUUCCGCUAGCGCCGGUAUUUAGGGCGGUGACUGCGCCUAUUAGUUUAUCUCACAACGAUCGGUAUUCCUACCAGGAAUCUCCUCAAGUCCUGCCGAACGCUAACAAUACUCUUUACAUUACUUGUAACAGUUUAUCGUGCUAAAUAUCUUCGCUACCGGCAAUCCUUCCGGAAUAACAAUCAGCGUUAGCUGUCACCGUCGCCAAUUCUUCAAUAGGUUAUGAGCCCCGCUUAGCGCCGACAGCUAUCGCUCAAUUGUUAUUUCUAUCCCUCAUCAACAAUGGUUAAGGACAAGCUUGAUGAGUCGCUGGAUCUCAACAACUACUCUACCUGGCAAAUUCGGUUCAGCGCGUUGUGCAUGGAGCUUGGGCUUGAGCAAUCCCUGCUCGCCGAGCCGUGCAACGAGGAGCAAAUUCGACAGUCACGGAAGGUCAUCAAUCUGCUCAUCAAGAACGUCAAGGAUCAUCAUUUGCCGAUGGUUACCGGUGCUGCCAACGCGAAGAAGGCCUGGGACGCCUUGGGAUCUAUGUUUGCUGCCAACAACAACGCCCGCAAGGUGUCUCUACGUCAAGAAUUCAGCCGUUUUAAAAUGGUCGACGGCGAACCUCUUCCGAUGUACUUUGCGCGUGCAAGGCAGCUGCAAACAGAUUUAUUGGGAGUCGGCCACGUAGUUAACGACUCCGAGCUGGCGUACACCGUGCUAGUUGGUCUACCCAGUCGGUACAGCGUGGUGACGACUACAUUACUUAUGCGCGACGGCGAUUUGGACAUGGCGAGCGUCACAGCAAAGCUUCUCUCUAUCGAGACGGCUAACGGUGGGUCGGGCAAGCCUACCGAGUCGGCAGCCUUCGCGUCUGUCGGCGGUUCGACGUUCGGCGCUUCUACUUCUGGUUAUGGUAGCCGGGGGCCGGCCAACAACAGCUCGGGACAUAGUCGGAAGCAAGUCAUCUGCUACUACUGUAAUAAACCUGGGCACGUGGUUAAGGACUGCAGGCAGCUUAAGGCGCUGAAGCAGUCGUCAAAUUCUGGCUACAAGGGUGGCUACAGCAACAGUGGUAACGGAGGUAGUGGCAGCGGAGCUAGCGGCAGCAAGCCAGGAUCCGGUGGAUCAGCUAGGAGGCCAGGAGUUCCGCGGCAGGUAGCAUUCGUGGCAUACAACAGCAAUCGUCCGACGGAAUGGUUUCUGGACUCAGCCGCCACUCACCACAUAACGUAUGACCGCUCAGAACUUUCCAACGUGCGGUUGUUGGAGCCGUGGGAGCGCUUCAACAUAAUGGGCAUCAAGGGACAAUCUCUUCGACCGACUGAAGUUGGCACGCUUACGAUUCGGUCUAACGUCAACGAUAAACAGGCCAUCACUUUCAAGAAGGUCUACGUCGACGAGGAGGCCACCGCCAAAAUCAUAUCGGUCCGCAUCAUUGAUGAUCGUGGAGGCAGUGUGGUCUUCGGCGGCGGACAGGCGAAAGUAUACGUACAGAAUCAGUUGGUGCUGACUGGAAAGCGGGAUGGGGACUUGUAUCCCGUCUGCUACAGCAGUGGAGGUACGGGAGCUCUGAAGAGGACGCAGCGUGAAGACAACAGGAUACCUUCUGGUGGUGAUGCAGUGUGUGCUGCCGUGGGUAUCGGAGCUGAACGUGCAGCACUUUGGCACCGAAGGUAUGGCCACUUGGGAUACAGCAACCUUGAGACGUUGCUGCGUCAUAAUAUGGUAGCUGGAUUUGAUGUUGACCGACACAGCAUACAAUCAGCCAGCACGUGUGUGUGUGAGACUUGCGUCCUUGCUAAACAUACACGUGGUCCUUUUCCGUUAUCUGGGCAUAAGGCAGCGCAGCCUCUCGCGCUCAUUCACAUGGAUGUGUGUGGGCCUAUGCCUGAACCUUCGCCUAGUGGUUCGCGUUACGUGACAACCCUGCUUGACGACCAUACUGGUCUUUCAGCUGUUGCGUUUACAGCGACCAAGGAGGAGGUCUACCAGAAGAUGGUGGUAAUGAUAGCGGAACUGGAGCGCGCUACUGGCAGGCAGGUUAAGGAGGUGCGUACAGAUCGUGGCGGGGAGUUCGUUAAUACUCGCACGAAGGCCUAUUUCGCUUCCAGGGGUAUUCUACACGGAACUACGGUAGGCUACACUCCUGAACAGAACGGAGCUGCAGAACGUUUAAAUCGCACUCUUUUGGACAAGACUAGGGCUAUGCUAGUUGAGUCUGGACUGCCUAAAUCAUUAUGGGCGGAGGCGUUAGCGACAGCCAACUAUCUUAGGAAUGUGUCGCCAACUGCUGGGUCAACCGUCACUCCGUACGAAGCUUUCUUUAACGUUCGUCCGAACGUCAGUCACCUGCGAGUCUUUGGAUGCGUUGCCUACGUUCACGUACCCGACGUCAAGCGCGACAAGUUCGACCCGGUGAGCAGGCGUGGAAUACUUGUAGGAUACGGGAACGGUGGACAGUAUCGUGUACUAUACGAGGACGGCAUUAUUGCCGUAGUUUCUAACGUUCGUUUUGACGAGUCUAUUGUCGGCCGGCGGCGUAAUGCCGGGGACUCCGAUUAUGAGUCCGAUGCCGACGAGGAGGAGGAGUUUCGCACUAGUUUAUCUGGUGAGGGAUCGCUGCCUAGGGCUGGCGAAGGGACACCAGGUAGCACCGUCGGCGAGGGAUCGCCACAUUUGGGUGGCGAGGGGGCGCCGGCUGGGGUUGGACCUUCCAGCAGUGCGAACGGGCAAGGAAUCAAUCAGCCUGAUGUGGAAAUGGCGGGAACUAGGUACCCAGUUAGAGAGCGUAAACGCCCUGGCGAAUGGUGGCGAAACGAACCUGGUCGCACUGUCACUGGUCGCGUUAACGCUGCUUUCUCUGCUGGUAUUCCUGAGCCUAAUUCGUUUGAGGAAGCAAUUGCUAGUCCACAUGCAGACGACUGGCGGCGUGCGAUGGACGAGGAGAUCGCCGCCCAGAUGGCUAACAGUACUUGGGAGCUGAAGACGCCACCUCCUGGUACUCGUUUGUUGCCGUGUCGUUGGGUAUAUAAGGUUAAGUACAGCGAUGACGGCAGCGUGGAGCGUUUUAAGGCGCGUUUAGUUGCCAAGGGUUUCGAGCAACGUGAGGGGAUUGAUUAUGGGGAGUUGUUUGCCCCUACCUCUCGUGGUUCGUCAUUGCGUGCUUUAUUAGCAGUUGCCGCAGCCCGGAACAUGACGGUACAUCAGCUCGAUGUGUCUACUGCGUUUCUGAAUGGUGAGCUGAAGGAGGAGUUGUGGAUGGAGCAACCGCCUGGGUAUGCAUCCAGUGACCGGUCGCUUGCGUGCAAGCUGCAGAAGUCUAUUUACGGUUUAAAGCAGGCACCCCGUUGCUGGUAUGAAAAACUAUCAGCAGAGUUCGCCAAGUUGGGUCUUUAUCCUUCGAAGUCUGAUCCGGCGAUGUUCGUUAAGACUGACGAGCGUGGGGUUGUUAUUGCUUUGGUGCACGUAGAUGAUACAAUUGUUGCGUCGGAAGACCCAGAAAUGGUCCGGGCAAUUAAAGCCGCAAUUGCGAAGGUCUUCAAGGUGCGCGACCUUGGAGAAGCGAAGGUGUUUUGGGGCAUGGAAAUUAGGAGGGAGAAGUCGGGUGAGAUAGUGUUGUCACAGCAUAGGUAUAUUGCGCAGCUGUUGGAGCGUCAUAGGAUGAUUGACGCCAAGCCGAGAUCUACCCCUUUGCCUCCGGGCUUUAGGUACACUCCUAAGGGGGACGGAGAGGAGCUGCUGGGCAAUCCCACAGAGUAUAGGGCUUUGGUGGGAGAAUUGAACUAUCUGGCGACGAACACGCGGCCUGACAUUUCAUAUGCAUUAAGCGUUUUGUCUCGGCAUAUGGCCGCACCCACGAAGUGUGCCAUGAACCUGGCAACUGGCGUUCUGCGUUACCUGGCGGGGACUCGCGAACUAGGAUUGCGUUUUGGGGGUGUUGGCGACGUUGCUAUGUCCGGGUACAGUGAUUCGGACUGGGCAGGAGACCCAGUUACGCGGCGUUCUACGUCCGGUUACGUAUUCACUCUUAAUGGGGCUGCGAUUAGCUGGAGCAGCCAACUUCAACGUACUGUGGCGGCUUCGUCGGUGGAGGCUGAGUACCAAGCUACAGCGGCGGCUGUUCGUGAGGCUUUGUGGCUUCGCAAGCUGAUGGUUGAUUUGAGCUUGCCUGAGAGCGCGGUGAAAAUCCAGAUAGACUCCCAGGGGGCGCUUAGCUUGGGAAACAACCCGAUUACGUCUGCUCGGUCGAAGCACAUCGACGUGCAGCAUCACAUAGUGCGUGAGAGGGUGAAUAGCGGUGAGGUGCAGUUGGAAUACUGCCCUACGGAGUGGAUGGUUGCGGAUGUACUAACGAAGGCUCUGGGCGAGGUGAAGUUCAAACGUUGCCGAGAUGCUAUGGGCCUUGUGUGAAGUGUACAGAUGAGCUUGGUACUCGUUGGGAUACGGCCCGAGGGGGCGUGUUGAGGAAACGGUCCUCUCCCAACUCGUGUGGUUGUCGACCAGGGGAUUUGACCCCGGGUCUGCGCCUGACUAAUGGGGAAGACUUACCCCAGAACCUUAUGGGGCUACCGAUGCAUAUUCGGUAGCUAAGUGAUAGACAUUAGGGCACCGUCUGGACGGCGCAGUGAGAUCGCGGAAUGUACGUGCAGUUAGAUCGCGGAAUGUACGAGUUUUCCGCUAGCGCCGGUAUUUAGGGCGGUGACUGCGCCUAUUAGUUUAUCUCACAACGAUCGGUAUUCCUACCAGGAAUCUCCUCAAGUCCUGCCGAACGCUAACAAUACUCUUUACAUUACUUGUAACAGUUUAUCGUGUUUCAUAUCUUCGCCGCCGGCAAUUCUUCCGAGAUAACAAUCAGCGUUAGCCGUCACCGUCGCCAAUUCUUCAAUAAAUAGAACGCCGUGUUACCGGGUCUCCUGCCCAGUCAGAAUCGCUAUACCCGGACAUCUCAAUGUCACCAACACCCCCAAAACGUAAUCCUAGUUCGCGAGUACCCGCCAGGUAACACAGAACGCCAAUUGCGAAGUUCAUAGCACUCUUCAUGGGUGCGGCCAUAUGCCAGGACAAAACACUCAAUGCAUACGAAAUGUCAGGCCGCGUGUUCGUCACUAGGUCAUUCAACUCUCCCACCAAAGCCCUAUACUCCGUGGGAUUGUCCAGCAGCUUUUCUCUGUCCCCCGUAGGAGUGUACCUAAAGCCCGGAGGUAAAGGGGUAGACCUCGGCUUGGCGCCAACCAACUUAUAUGCUCCAAUAGCUCCUCAAUAUAUCUACGCUUCGACAACACUAUCUCACCCGACUUCUCCCUUCUAAUUUCCAUGCCCCAAAACACCUUCGCUUCUCCAAGGUCGCACACUUUGAAGACCUUCACAAUUGCAGCUUUAAUUGCCCGGACCAUUUCCGGGUCUUCUGUAAUGUUACAGAGUGGGAGGCUUCUGGGCCGCUUUUAUCACAUUGUCAGUUCUACGAUUUAUCAUCUUAUAGCACCAUCCACCACUACCACACUAUACUUCGCCAUACGAACUGUAAGUCCAAGGCGGCGGGUCCAGCCGUCUAGGACCCCUCCUCAUCCAUUCACCCGAACAACCGAAGAGACGGAGGGUUCGGCAAUCGCCACCAAUCCAGCGUGCGAAUCUGGUCCAUCAACUGCGACCUCAACUCCACAUCUCAGCAGCUAGCCAUAAUCUCGCGCUCCCGACUAAUUCGGGGGUCUCCCCAGGAAUCGAACCCAGGACCUUAAACCGCGGAUCGCAGUAGUGUCAAUCCAGACCAGACCGGGUCUUCUGACGGAACAAUGGAAACGACGGAACAGGAAACGACUGAACAAUCUACGUGCACCAAAGCAAUAGCAACCCCACGCUCGUCCGUCUUAACGAACAUCGCCGGAUCAGACUUAGAAGGAUAAAGACCCAGCUUGGCGAACUCUGCUGAUAGUUUCUCAUACCAGCGACGGGGUGCCUGCAUCAAACCGUAAAUCGACCGCGCUGCGCCGCGAAGGGGACCGUAGCUUCGACUCCCAGGGCAGCUGUGGGUGUGUGGUGCGUGGGUGGUGUGGUGUGUAGGUGAGAACGGUAUUAAUGUGGGGAAGCAGUGGCGAGCACUCAGUUACAUUACAGGUGUGACGGAGGGUGGCUUAGUAGCAAGCCACAGCCAGCAGUGCAUGUGAUCAGGUGCACGUGGGAGGCGAGUAUCCUGCUACUAGACUAAUGGCGCAGAGCCUACCUCUCCGCGCAAUUCCGCCAACACAGCCAGCAUACAGCCCACACAUCCUAAAUGCCGUCUCAUGGGGCACUUGUCGCUGACCUGGACUUGGCACUCGGGGGCGUUACUGAGUGCUGGACAUGCAAGGUACUAGCCUUUCUUACUAGCGUAGGAGCGGAUUCCCCCACCAACUAAUACGCACAGUGAUGAUCUCAUAGCGCAUUACGCCACCCUUGAAUUGCCAGUUGAGAGCAUUCGUUAGGUAUUUGCCAAGCGGCUUGAUGCGCGAUGGGAGUGUCCGAAUACCCUAGUUGACCCCCGCGUUUUCCCCAUAGGGAUUAACUGGAUGGAAGUGGCCCCGCCUAGGGGUGCGCCUCUCGAUUGGUUAGAGCACACUCAAGUGACCAUGCCCCAGCGUCUGCAUCAAGUGCUCAUGUGUGUCCGGUUAGGCUGUUGGGAGUUACAGGUUAAUAGGCCUAUCUGGGCAACAUGCUGGAGAACGUACACGCUGCGCAUGUGGCAUGUUCAAUGCUGUCACCCACGUUCGCCCCUGGUGCUCUUACCAGUCGUGGGUGCAUGUUUUUGCCUUUGGGCAGAAGGUUUACGGGCAGGAACGAGGUCUUGCACAACGCUGCGCGAUUAUCCGGCCCGCCGACGUCUAGAGCCAGACUUACAGGUAACGUAGACAUGCAGGUCAGUGUUUCGAGUACGUGUAAAAUGCAUCCAAAACGAUCUUUGUGUGCGCCAUCCGGGAUUUGCACCCGGGCCGCUCGCGAAUCUCCGAUCAGGUGCACGUGGGAGGCGAGUAUCCUGCUACUAGACUAAUGGCGCAGAGCCUGCCUCUCCGCGCAAUUCCGCCAACACAGCCAGCAUACAGCCCACACAUCCUAAACACCGUCUCAUGGGGCAUUUGUCGCUGACCUGGACUUGGCACUCGGGGGCGUUACUGAGUGCUGGACAUGCAAGGUACUAGCCUUUCUUACUAGCGUAGGAGCGGAUUCCCCCACCAACUAAUACGCGCGGUGAUGAUCUCAUAGCGCAUUACGCCACCCUUGAAUUGCCAGUUGAGAGCAUUCGUUAGGUAUUUGCCAAGCGGCUUGAUGCGCGAUGGGAGUGUCCGAAUACCCUAGUUGACCCCCGCGUUUUUGGGCGGGGCCCCAGCGCGAAGCGCCCAGGGGGGCCCCGACCUGUAGGAUUGCCCAUGUCCGUGUGUGUGUGUGUGUGUGUGUGUGUGUGUGUGUGUGUGUGUGUAACGGACCAAACAUAAUAUCUCGCCUGGCUGAAACGCGUUAUAGGUACUAUACAGCAUUCUCUAUUGCAAGGUNNNNNNNNNNNNNNNNNNNNNNNNNNNNNNNNNNNNNNNNNNNNNNNNNNCUAAAGCCCGGAGGAAAGGGGUAGACCUCGGCUUGGCGUCAAUCAUCCUAUGACGCUCCAACAGCUGCUCAAUAUACCUAUGCUGCGACAACACUAUCUCACCCGACUUCUCCCUCCUAAUUUCCAUGCCCAAAAACACCUUUGCUUCUCCAAGGUCGCGCACCUUGAAGACCUUUGCAAUUGCGGCUUUAAUUGCCCGGACCAUUUCCGGGUCUUCCGACGCAACAAUUGUAUCAUCUACGUGCACCAAAGCAAUAACAACCCCACGCUCGUCCGUCUUAACAAACAUCGCCGGAUCAGACUUCGAAGGAUAAAGACCCAGCUUGGCGAACUCUGCUGAUAGUUUCUCAUACCAGCAACGGGGUGCCUGCUAAUAAUCAAUCCCUUCACGUUGCUCGAAACCCUUCGCAACCAAUCGCGCCUUAAAACGCUCCACGCUGCCGUCAUCGCUGUACUUAACCUUAUAUACCAAACGACACGGCAACAAACGAGUACCAGGAGGUGGCUUCUUCAGCUCCCAAGUACUAUUAGCCAUCUGGGCGGCGAUCUCCUCGUCCAUCGCACGCCGCCAGUCGUCUGCAUGUGGACUUGCAAUGGCUUCCGCAAACGAAUUAGGCUCAGGAAUACCAGCAGAGAAAGCAGCGUUAACGCGACCAGUGACAGUGCGACCAGGUUCAUUUCGCCACCAUUCGACAGGGCGUUUACGCUCUCUAACUGGGUACCUAGUUCCCGCCAUUUCCACAUCAGGCUGAUUGAUUCCUUGCCCGUUCGCACUGCUGGAAGGUCCAGCCCCAGCCGGCGCCCCCUCGCCACCCAAAUGCGGCGAUCCCUCGCCGACGGUGCUACCUGGUGUCCCUUCGCCAGCCCUAGGCAGCGAUCCCUCACCAGAUAAACUAGUGCGAAACUCCUCCUCCUCGUCGGCAUCGGACUCAUAAUCGGAGUCCCCGGCAUUACACCGCCGGCCGACAUUAGAUUCAUCGAAACGAACGUUAGAAACUACGGCAAUAAUGCCGUCCUCGUAUAGUACACGAUACUGUCCACCGUUCCCGUAUCCGACAAGUAUUCCACGCCUGCUCACCGGGUCGAACUUGUCGCGCUUGACGUCGGGUACGUGGACGUAGGCAACGCAUCCAAAGACUCGCAGGUGACUGAUGUUCGGACGAACGUUAAGAAAGCUUCGUACGAGUGACGGUUGACCCAGCAGUUGGCGACACAUUCCUAGAUAGNUGGCUGUCGCUAACGCCUCCGCCAAUAAUGUUUAGGCAGGCCAGACUCAACUAGCAUAGCCCUAGUCUUGUCCAAAAGAGUGCGAUUUAAACGUUCUGCAGCUCCGUUCUGCUCAGGGGUGUAGCCUACCGUAGUUCCGUGUACAAUACCCCUGGAAGCGAAAUAAGCCUUCGUGCGAGUAUUAACGAACUCCCCACCACGAUCUGUACGCACCUCCUUAACCUGCCUGCCAGUAGCGCGCCUGCCAGUUCCGCUAUCAUUACCACCAUCUUCUGGUAGACCUCCUCCUUGGUCGCUGUAAACGCAACAGCUGAAAGACCAGUAUGGUCGUCAAGUAGGGUUGUCACGUAACGCGAACCACUAGGCGAAGGUUCAGGCAUAGGCCCACACACAUCCAUGUGAAUGAGCGCGAGAGGCUGCGCUGCCUUAUGCCCAGAUAACGGAAAAGGACCACGUGUAUGUUUAGCAAGGACGCAAGUCUCACACACACACGUGCUGGCUGAUUGUAUGCUGUGUCGGUCAACAUCAAAUCCAGCUACCAUAUUAUGACGCAGCAACGUCUCAAGGUUGCUGUAUCCCAAGUGGCCAUACCUUCGGUGCCAAAGUGCUGCACGUUCAGCUCCGAUACCCACGGCAGCACACACUGCAUCACCACCAGAAGGUAUCCUGUUGUCUUCACGCUGCGUCCUCUUCAGAGCUCCCGUACCUCCACUGCUGUAGCAGACGGGAUACAAGUCCCCAUCUCGCUUUCCAGUCAGCACCAACUGGUUCUGUACGUAUACUUUCGCCUGUCCGCCGCCGAAGACCACACUGCCUCCACGAUCAUCAAUGAUGCGGACCGAUAUGAUUUUGGCGGUGGCCUCCUCGUCGACGUAGACCUUCUUGAAAGUGAUGGCCUGUUUAUCGUUGACGUUAGACCGAAUCAUAAGCGUGCCAACUUCAGUCGGCCGAAGAGACUGUCCCUUGANNNNNNNNNNNNNNNNNNNNNNNNNNNNNNNNNNNNNNNNNNNNNNNNNNUCUUCUGUAAUGUUACAGAGUGGGAGGCUUCUGGGCCGCUUUUAUCACAUUGUCAGUUCUACGAUUUAUCAUCUUAUAGCACCAUCCACCACUACCACACUAUACUUCGCCAUACGAACUGUAAGUCCAAGGCGGCGGGUCCAGCCGUCUAGGACCCCUCCUCAUCCAUUCACCCGAACAACCGAAGAGACGGAGGGUUCGGCAAUCGCCACCAAUCCAGCGUGCGAAUCUGGUCCAUCAACUGCGACCUCAACUCCACAUCUCAGCAGCUAGCCAUAAUCUCGCGCUCCCGACUAAUUCGGGGGUCUCCCCAGGAAUCGAACCCAGGACCUUAAACCGCGGAUCGCAGUAGUGUCAAUCCAGACCAGACCGGGUCUUCUGACGGAACAAUGGAAACGACGGAACAGGAAACGACUGAACAAUCUACGUGCACCAAAGCAAUAGCAACCCCACGCUCGUCCGUCUUAACGAACAUCGCCGGAUCAGACUUAGAAGGAUAAAGACCCAGCUUGGCGAACUCUGCUGAUAGUUUCUCAUACCAGCGACGGGGUGCCUGCAUCAAACCGUAAAUCGACCGCGCUGCGCCGCGAAGGGGACCGUAGCUUCGACUCCCAGGGCAGCUGUGGGUGUGUGGUGCGUGGGUGGUGUGGUGUGUAGGUGAGAACGGUAUUAAUGUGGGGAAGCAGUGGCGAGCACUCAGUUACAUUACAGGUGUGACGGAGGGUGGCUUAGUAGCAAGCCACAGCCAGCAGUGCAUGUGAUCAGGUGCACGUGGGAGGCGAGUAUCCUGCUACUAGACUAAUGGCGCAGAGCCUACCUCUCCGCGCAAUUCCGCCAACACAGCCAGCAUACAGCCCACACAUCCUAAAUGCCGUCUCAUGGGGCACUUGUCGCUGACCUGGACUUGGCACUCGGGGGCGUUACUGAGUGCUGGACAUGCAAGGUACUAGCCUUUCUUACUAGCGUAGGAGCGGAUUCCCCCACCAACUAAUACGCACAGUGAUGAUCUCAUAGCGCAUUACGCCACCCUUGAAUUGCCAGUUGAGAGCAUUCGUUAGGUAUUUGCCAAGCGGCUUGAUGCGCGAUGGGAGUGUCCGAAUACCCUAGUUGACCCCCGCGUUUUCCCCAUAGGGAUUAACUGGAUGGAAGUGGCCCCGCCUAGGGGUGCGCCUCUCGAUUGGUUAGAGCACACUCAAGUGACCAUGCCCCAGCGUCUGCAUCAAGUGCUCAUGUGUGUCCGGUUAGGCUGUUGGGAGUUACAGGUUAAUAGGCCUAUCUGGGCAACAUGCUGGAGAACGUACACGCUGCACAUGUGGCAUGUUCAAUGCUGUCACCCACGUUCGCCCCUGGUGCUCUUACCAGUCGUGGGUGCAUGUUUUUGCCUUUGGGCAGAAGGUUUACGGGCAGGAACGAGGUCUUGCGCAACGCUGCGCGAUUAUCCGGCCCGCCGACGUCUAGAGCCAGACUUACAGGUAACGUAGACAUGCAGGUCAGUGUUUCGAGUACGUGUAAAAUGCAUCCAAAACGAUCUUUGUGUGCGCCAUCCGGGAUUUGCACCCGGGCCGCUCGCGAAUCUCCGAUCAGGUGCACGUGGGAGGCGAGUAUCCUGCUACUAGACUAAUGGCGCAGAGCCUGCCUCUCCGUGCAAUUCCGCCAACACAGCCAGCAUACAGCCCACACAUCCUAAACACCGUCUCAUGGGGCAUUUGUCGCUGACCUGGACUUGGCACUCGGGGGCGUUACUGAGUGCUGGACCCAUUGAGCCACGUCUUUCAGAAGCCCCACGGCAAAGCUGGCUCGGGCGGUGGUGUUGUUCUGCCCCCUGGUGCGGCCGCCACUGGUAGCCAUGCGACGACUUGAGCUGGACGCGCCACUGCCAGCAUCCUCCAAACAUCUGCUCGCAACUGGUGCACGUUGGGGAUGUCACCAAACCGGUAGCCGUGUGCCUGUACCGCGGACUUCAUCUCGCUGCAGCAGGCGCAGACACAGGAUGGCAUGUUGUUUUUGACAGCGGCAUCAAGCUGUUCGGCGACUCGGAUCUGUUCCGCUAGAGGAACAGUGGGCAGAGGCUGACCCGCAGGAACAUCUUGCACAUGUUCCGGCCAUGAAGCUGUACUGCUGUCUAACCAGGCACCCAUACGAGGCUUGGUGGGGUUUGUCGGCCGCCUGAACACCCAGAAGGCAGCAUUUAAAACUGCCUCCACAAGGCUACCCCUGCUGUGGCGGGUGCGUUGUGGUGUGUGCUCCUCAGAUGACUGUUGCCGAAUUGCACGGGCUUGAUGCUUUCGAGCUGCGUCCGCUGUUUGGUCUGCCGCCACUUGCUCAGGCGUUCGGUUGGCUCGCACCUCCGCUACCCGAGCUGCAUGUGCUGCUCGAUGCGUGGCCACUUGCUCAGGCGUUCGGUUGGCUCGUGCUUCCGACCACCGCGCCCACCGAGCAGUAGCUGCUGCUUGGUCUGCCGCCACCUGCUCAGGUGUCCGGUUGGCUCGCGCAUCUGCCCAUCGCGCUGCAGCUGCUGCUCGAUCCGCCGCCACUUGCUCAGGCGUCCAGUUGGCUCGCGCCUGCGCCUUUCUGGUUGCAUCCGCACUGGACAGCUGGGGUGUCGGGGGGGAAGGUGUGGCUUGAGUCCGGCCCAUCAAGCUCAGAAGCCACGAGCCUCCACCUGCAACUGUACCUAACCGCCGACGUCCUGCAUGAUGUCAGGAAGAGGAUUACUGGUCUACCGCCCAUGCAGGAGAUGGAGCAACAUCACAGGCAUCAGUCCCAACCAGGACUCCUUACCGGAACCAGAAUUGUCCAUAGAAAUGGCCAGUCAGACUGAUGUCGCGACAGGUUAUCCUCCUAUCCUCAAGAACUGCAAUGGAACACAGUACAUCGAUACAAGAGGCAGGCGGCUGGCAGAGGUUAAGGCCUGACUUCUGCUCCCAGUCGACCCAGUCGACCCGGGUUCAAAUCCGCCUGCCGGCUCCUCGGGUGUUUGAGGAGUGAUGAAAUGGGAGGUGGCCCCCCAUCAUAUGGACGGUGUAGGACGUGAUAAUACCACCCUGUAAAAACCACCCUGUAACAACAUACAUACAAGAUGCAGGCGGCUGGCAGAGGUUAAGGCCUGACUUCUGCUCCCAGUCGACCCAGUCGACCCGGGUUCAAAUCCGCCUGCCGGCUCCUCGGGUGUUUGAGGAGUGAUGAAAUGGGAGGUGGCCCCCCAUCUUAUGGACGGUGUAGGACGUGAUAAUAUCAACUUGCGAGCUGACCAGGAACUAAGUUGAUGCGCCGUUGAUCCGCUAGAUUUGGUUGGAUGCUGGUGGUGAGUUGCCGAACCCAACGAAUACAUUCUGAAGUCGGAUGGGGUGACGGAUUAGGGUGCCCCUCUAGCAGGGGAGAGCAGGGACUGCCCCGGGAAAGGGGGCCGCUGGCGAAGUUAACCACCCUGUAACAACAUACAUACAAGAUGUAUGUUCCGCAGCACCGCUGUUUGGUAGAAUUUUAUCCUGAAUCCGUAUGAUAAAUUUUAUCCUAAAAUUAAUGAAUACACUCGAGGGCCAAUGGCACACAUUACUUCUAUACAAUAACUGUGCUGCGCAGCAUCACUGAUUGAUAGAAUGUAUUCUGAAUCCGUAUGAUUCUAUAGAAUUUCUGCGACUGAAUUUAUCCCGGGGAAUGUUGCGGUGUGCGCGACUUCACGUCAUUUCGUGGCGGUUGGCUGUGUUUUUUGCGACUGUAUUUUAUCCCGGGGAAUUUCUGGAACUGUAUUUUAUCCCGGGGAAUUUCUGGAAUUUCUGCGACUGUAUUUUAUCCCGAAGAAUGUUGCGGUGUGCGCGACUUCACGUCAUUUCGUGGCGGAGCCGUUGUAGUCUAGUUUUCCACUGCAAGUCCUGUCCCACAGUGGAACUACGUGGAUAUACCCACAGCCACGCCCAGGCGUACCCGGUUAUCCUGAUAUUUUGUGAUAAACGUUUAACCUUGCAAGUUCAAGUCGAACAACACAACUACGCGCGUCUGUUGUUCGUUACCCACCACCGCACCCAGUCGUCCCCAUGGCCUGACGGCCCAGUAUCCGCGUGUCCCCGCCCACAUGUUCACGGUACACAUGCACGCGUCCACACUUCAUGCACACGCCCAUGUUACAUCCUCAUGUCCCGCGUCCACGCGUCCACGCGUCCAUGCUACAUCCACGUGUGGCUACAUCCACAGUGCCACGGUCCCAUGUGCCCACGUGCCCACACGCUCACGCAUCCAUGUGCCCUUGCAUCCUCGCGUCCUCACGUCCUGGUGUCCUCGCGUCCUCGCGUGCAACUCGCGUGCGACCCGUGAUUUGAACCCGCGACCUGUCGUCCUCGCAUCCUCGCGUUUCGGUGUGCAACUCGAAAUUCGCGGAGUGCGACUCGAACCCGCGACCUCUGAUUGUGAAGAGGGGGCGCGCUAACGAAAAACGCAAAGCUCCGGAACCAUCCAAUCGGGCGCGACUUUCCAACAAGCUCUGGACGCGAGCCGGUCACGGACGCGAUUCAGAGAAGAUGCCUUCCCUCCGCUUCGCUCUUCGCUGCGCUACGAGAAGCUACGGUGACUUCUGCAGCUUGCACGCAAGCGACCGGUCACUGGAUGCAUACCCAGGCGGUUGCUCCAUCCACAAUUCGUCAUAGAAUGGUUGACGCCAAGCCGAGAUCUACCCCUUUGCCUCCGGGCUUUAGGUAAGGGGGACGGAGAGGAGCUGCUGGGCAAUCCCACGGAGUAUAGGGCUUUGGUGGGAGGAUUGAACUAUCUGGCGACGAACACGCCGGUAUUCCUUUCCGAAAUAACAGUCGCCGCCAGCUGCCACCGCAGUCGAUUCUUCAAUACACUGCUGGAUGGUUCAGCCCCAGCCGGCGCCCCCUCGCCACCAAAGUGCGGCGAUCCCUCGCCGACGGUGCUACCUGGUAUCCCUUCGCCAGCCCUAGGCAGCGAUCCCUGUUAAGAAUAUGAACGCAAGGAGACUGGUCGCGACAUAAGGGUUAAAGUCUGUGGGUUAAUGGUGAACGGCAAGAAGACUUUAGGAGACUCCUGUUAAGGAAUACCGAUCCAUCCUAAGAUGAGAUACCAAGACUUGCAUAACUUGUGUCUUAUAUACCAGUACCAAUGGAAGUAUCGUACAGUCGCCCCCCAUCAACGCUGGACACGAGGACACGUCCGAGAUAGGCGGCCAAGAGACCCGAGGCAAGGUCGAGGCAUGGCCGAGGCAAAGUCGAGGCCAAGGUUGAGGCACGGGAUUCAUCGCCUAUCUACCACCUAUCUACGUUGGGAUAAGACCGCCCUUCAACAAUCCCUCACCUGGCAAGCUAGUGCGAAACUACUCCUCCUAGUCGGCAUCGGACUCAUAAUCGGAGUCCCCGGCAUUACGAUGCCGGCCGACAUUACACUCAUCAAAGCGUACAUUAGAAACUACAGCAAUAAUGCCGUCCUCGUACAGCACACGGUACUGUCCUCCGUUCCCGUAUCCGACAAGUUAUUUCACGCCUGCUCACCGGAUCGAACUUGUCGCGUUUGACGUCAGGUACCUGGACGUAGGUGACGCACCCAAAAACUCGAAGGUGACUGACGUUAGGACGGACGUUGAAGAAAGCUUCAUACGGCGUGACAGUUGACCCAGCAGUUGGCGACACAUUCCUUAGGUAAUUAAUUGGCUGUCGCCAACGCUUCCGCCCAUAGUGACUUAGGUAGACCGGACUCGACAACCAUAGCUCGACAAGCAUAGCUCUGGUUUUGUCUAGGAAAGUGCGAUUCAAACGUUCCGCUGCUCCGUUCUGCUCAGGGGUGUAGCCUACCGUAGUUCCAUGAACAAUACCCCUGUACGCGAAAUAGCCCUUCGUGCGAGUAUUAAUGAACUCCCCGCCACGAUCCGUACGAACCUCCUUAAUAUUGGAGAAAUGGCGACGGUGACGGCUAACGCUGAUUGUUGAUGUUGUUACAGGGUGGUUAAGCUUCACCAGCGGCCUCCUUCCCGAGGCAGUUCCCUGCUCUCCCCUGCUAGAGGGGCACCCUAAGCCAUUCACCCCAUCCGACUUCAGAGUGUAUUCGUUGGGUUCGGCAACUCACCACCAGCAUCCAACCAAAUCUAGCGGAUCAACGGCGCGUCAACUUAGUUCCUGGUCAGCUCGCGAGUUGAUUUUAUCACGUCCUACACCUUCCACAAGAUGGGGGGCCACCUCCCAUUUCAUCACCUCUCAAACACCCCGAGAGGUCGGCAGGCGGAUUUGAACCCGGACGCGCCGGGACGCGACGGGAGCAGAAGUCAGGCCUUAACCUCUGCCAGCCGCCUGCCUAUGAUUGUUAUCUCGGAAGAAUUGCCGGCGGCGAAGAUAUUUAGCACGAUAAAAUGUUACAAGUUAUGUAAAGGGUAUUAUAAGCGUUCGGCAGGACUUGAGGAGAUUCCUUUGAGGAAUACCGAUCGUUGUGAGAUAAACAAAUAAGUGCAGUCACCGCCCUAAAUACCGGCGCUAGCGGAAAACUCGUACAUUCCGUGAUCUAACUGCACGUACAUUCCGCGAUCUCACUGCGCCAUCCUGACGGUGCCCAAUGUCUAUCACUUAGCUACCGGAUAUGCAUCGGUAGCCCUAUAAGGUUCUGGGGUAAGUCUUCCCCAUUAGUCAGGCGCAGACCCGGGGUCAAAUCCCCUGGUCAACAACCACACGAGUUGGGAGAGGACCGUUUCCUCAACACGCCCCCUCGGGCCUCAACACGCCCCCUCGGGCCGUAUCCCAACGAGUACCAAGUUCAUCUGCACACUUCACACAAGGCCCAUCACAUCUCGGCAACGUUUGAACUUCACCUCGCCGAGAGCUUUCGUGAGCACAUCCGCAACCAUCCACUCCGUAGGGCAGUAUUCCAACUGCACCUCACCACUAUUCACCCUCUCACGCACUAUGUGAUGCUGCACGUCGAUGUGCUUCGACCGAGCAGACGUAAUCGGGUUAUUUUCCAAGCUAAGCGCCCCCUGGGAAUCUAUUUGGAUUCUGAUAGCGCUCUCAGGCAAACCCAAAUCAACCAUCAGCUUACGAAGCCACAAAGCCUCGAGAACAGCUGCUGCUGUCGCUUGAUACUCGGCCUCCACCGACGAAGCCGCCACAGUACGUUGAAGUUGGCUGCUCCAGCUAAUCGCAGCCCCAUUAAGAGUGAAAACGUAGCCGGAUGUAGAACGCCGCGUAACUGGGUCUCCUGCCCAGUCCGAAUCACUGUACCCGGACAUAGCAACAUCGCCAACACCCCCAAAACGCAAUCCUAGUUCGCGAGUCCCCGCCAGGUAACGCAGAACGCCGAUUGCUAAGUUCAUGGCAGUCUUCGUGGGUGCGGCCAUAUGCCGGGACAAAACGCUCAAUGCAUAUGAAAUGUCAGGCCGCGUGUUCGUCGCCAGAUAGUUCAAUUCUCCCACCAAAGCCCUAUACUCUGUGGGAUUGCCCAGCAGCUCCUCUCCGUCCCCCUUAGGAGUGUACCUAAAGCCCGGAGGCAAAGGGGUAGACCUCGGCUUGGCGUCAAUCAUCCUAUGACGCUCCAACAGCUGCGCAAUAUACCUAUGCUGCGACAACACUAUCUCACCCGACUUCUCCCUCCUAAUUUCCAUGCCCCAAAACACCUUCGCUUCUCCAAGGUCGCGCACCUUGAAGACCUUUGCAAUUGCAGCUUUAAUUGCCCGGACCAUUUCUGGGUCUUCCGACGCAACAAUGGUGUCAUCUACAUGCACCAAAGCAAUAACAACCCCACGCUCGUCCGUCUUAACGAACAUCGCCGGAUCAGACUUCGAAGGAUAAAGACCCAGCUUAGCGAACUCUGCUGAUAGCUUUUCAUACCAGCAACGGGGUGCCUGCUUCAAACCGUAAAUAGACUUCUGCAGCUUGCACGCAAGCGACCGGUCACUGGAUGCAUACCCAGGCGGUUGCUCCAUCCACAACUCCUCCUUCAGCUCACCAUUCAGAAACGCAGUAGACACAUCGAGCUGAUGUACCGUCAUGUUCCGGGCUGCGGCAACUGCUAAUAAAGCACGCAAUGACGAACCACGAGAGGUAGGGGCAAACAACUCCCCAUAAUCAAUCCCCUCGCGUUGCUCGAAACCCUUGGCAACUAAACGCGCCUUAAAACGCUCCACGCUGCCGUCAUCGCUGUACUUAACCUUAUACACCCAACGACACGGCAACAAACGAGUACCAGGAGGUGGCUUCUUCAGCUCCCAAGUACUGUUAGCCAUCUGGGCGGCGAUCUCCUCGUCCAUCGCACGCCGCCAGUCGUCUGCAUUUGGACUUGCAAUGGCUUCUGCAAACGAAUUAGGUUCAGGAAUACCAGCAGAGAAAGCAGCGUUAACACGACCAGUGACAGUGCGACCAGGUUCGUUUCGCUACCAUUCGUCAGGGCGUUUACACUCUCUAACUGGGUACCUAGUUCCCGCCAUUUCCACAUUAGGCUGAUUGAUUCCUUGCCCGUUCGCACUGCUGGAAGGUCCAGCCCCAGCCGGCUCCCCCUCGCCACCCAAAUAAGGCGAUCCUUCGCCGACUUCUACCUGGUGUCCCUUUGCCAGCCCUAGGCAGCGAUCCCUCACCAGAUAAACUAGUGCGAAACUCCUCCUCCUCGUCGGCAUCGGACUCAUAAUCGGAGUCCCCGGCAUUACACCGCCGGCCGACAUUAGAUUCAUCGAAACGAACGUUAGAAACUACGGCAAUAAUGCCGUCCUCGUAUAGUACACGAUACUGUCCACCGUUCCCGUAUCCGACAAGUAUUCCACGCCUGCUCACCGGGUCGAACUUGUCGCGCUUGACGUCGGGUACGUGGAUGUAGGCAACGCAUCCAAAGACUCGCAGGUGACUGACGUUCGGACGAACAUUAAAGAAAGCUUCGUACGGAGUGACGGUUGACCCAGCAGUUGGCGACACAUUCCUAAGAUAGUUGGCUGUCGCUAACGCCUCCGCCCAUAAUGAUUUAGGCAGUCCAGACUCAACGAGCAUAGCCCUAGUCUUGUCCAAAAGAGUGCGUUUUAACGUUCCGCAGCUCCGUUCUGCUCAGGGGUGUAGCCUACCGUAGUCCCGUGUACAAUACCCCUGGAAGCGAAAUAGCCCUUCGUGCGAGUAUCAACGAACUCCCCGCCACGAUCUGUACGCACCUCCUUAACCUGCCUGCCAGUAGCGCGCUCCAGUUCCGCUAUCAUUACCACCAUCUUCUGGUAGACCUCCUCCUUGGUCGCUGUAAACGCAACAGCUGAAAGACCAGUAUGAUCGUCAAGAAGGGUGGUCACAUAACGCGAACCAUUUGGUGAAGGUUCAGGCAUAGGUCCACACACAUCCAUGUGAAUGAGUGCGAGAGGCUGCGCUGCCUUAUGCCCAGUUAGCGGAAAAGGACCACGUGUAUGCUUAGCAAAGACGCAAGUCUCACACACACACGCGCUGGCUAAUUGUAUGCUGUGUCGGUCAACAUCGAAUCCAGCUACCAUAUCAUGACGCAGCAGCGCCUCAAGGUUGCUGUAUCCCAAGUGGCCAUACCUUCGGUGCCAAAGUGCUGCACGUUCAGCUCCGAUACCAACGGCAUCACACACUGCAUCACCACCAGAAGGUAUCCUGUUGUCUUCACGCUGCGUCCACUUCAGAGCGCCAGUACCUCCACUGCUGUAGUAGACGGGAUACAAGUCCCCAUCCCGCUUUCCAGUCAGCACCAACUGAUUCUGUACGUACACUUUCACCUGUCCGCCGCCGAAGACCACACUGCCUCCACGAUCAUCAAUGAUGCGGACCGAUAUGAUUUUAGCAGUGGCCUCCUCGUUGACGUAGACCUUCUUGAAAGUGAUGGCCUGUUUAUCGUUGACGUUAGACCGAAUCGUAAGCGUGCCAACUUCAGUCGGCUGAAGAGACUGUCCCUUGAUGCCCAUGAUGUUGAAGCGCUCCCAUGGCUCCAAUAACCGCACGUUGGAAAGUUCUGAGCGGUCAUACGUUAUGUGGUGAGUGGCUGCUGAGUCCAGAAACCAUUCCGUCGGACGCUCGCUGUUAUAUGCCACGAACGCUACCUGCCGCGGAACUCCUGGUCCCCUAGCUGAUCCACCGGAUCCUGGCUUGCUGCCGCUAUCUCCGCUGCCACUAGCUCCGCUGCCACUAGCUCCGCUGCCACUGUUGUUGUAGCGACCCUUAUAUCCAGAAUUUGACGACUGCUUCAGCGCUUUAAGCUGCCUGCAGUCCUUUACCACGUGCCCAGGCUUAUUACAGUAGUAGCAGAUGAGUUGCUUCCGACUGUGUCCCGAGCUGUUGUUAGCCGGCCCCCGGCUACCAUAACAUAACCAGAAGUAGAAGCGCCGAACGUAGAUCCGCCGACAGACGCGAAGGCUGCCGACUCGGUAGGCUUGCCCGACCCACCGUUAGCAGUCUCGACAGAGAGAAGCUUUGCUGUGACGUUCGCCAUGUCCAAAUCGCCGUCGCGCAUAAGUAAUGUAGUCGUCACCACGCUUUACCGACUGGGUAGACCAACCAGGACGGUGUACACCAGCUCGGAGUCGUUAAUUACGUGGCCGACUCCCAAUAAAUCUGUUUGCAGCUGCCUUGCACGCGCAAAGUACAUCGGAAGAGGUUCAACGUCGACCAUCUUAAAACGGCUGAAUUCUUGACGUAGAGACACCUUGCGGGCGUUGUUGUUGGCAGCAAACAUAGAGCCCAAGGCGUCCCAGGCCUUCUUCGCGUUGGCAGCACCGGUAACCAUCGGCAAGUGGUGAUCCUUGACGUUCUUGAUGAGCAGAUUGAUGACCUUCCGUGAUUGUCGAAUCUGCUCCUCGUUGCACGGCUCGGCGAGCAAGGAUUGCUCAAGCCCAAGCUCCAUGCACAUCGCGCUAAACCUGAUAUGCCAGGUGGAGUAGUUGUGGAGGUCCAGCGGCUCAUCAAGCUUGUCCUUGACCAUCAACAAUGGUGUUGAUAAGGGAUAGAAAUAACAAUCGUAGGCGGCUGGCUGAGGUUAAACACCCGAGAGGUCGGCAGGCGGAUUUGAACCCGGGUCGACCGGGAGCAGAAGCCAGGCCUUAACCUCUGCCAGCCGCCUGCCUGCCUGGUUGUUAUCUCGGAAGAAUUGCCGGCGGCGAAGAUAUUUAGCACGAUAAAAUGUUACAAGUUAUGUAAAGGGUAUUAUAAGCGUUCGGCAGGACUUGAGGAGAUUCCUUUGAGGAAUACCGAUCGUUGUGAGAUAAACAAAUAAGUGCAGUCACCGCCCUAAAUACCGGCGCUAGCGGAAAACUCGUACAUUCCGCGAUCUAACUGCACGUACAUUCCGCGAUCUCACUGCGCCAUCCUGACGGUGCCCAAUGUCUAUCACUUAGCUACCGGAUAAGCAUCGGUAGCCCAUAAGGUUCUGGGGUAAGUCUUCCCCAUUAGUCAGGCGCAGACCCGGGGUCAAAUCCCCUGGUCGACAACCACACGAGUUGGAAGAGGACCGUUUCCUCAACACUUAACCUGCCUGCCAGAAGCGCGCUCCAGUUCCGCUAUCAUUACCACCAUCUUCAGAUAGACCUCCUCCUUGGUCGCUGUAAACACAACUGCUGAAAGACCGGUAUGGCCGUCAAGCAGAGUUGUCACGUAACGCGAACCACUAGGCGAAGGUUCAGGCAUAGGUCCACACACAUCCAUGUGAACUAAUGCUAGUGGCUGUGCUGCCUUGUGCCCUGUCAGCGGAAAAGGAACUCGUGUCUGUUUUGCAAAAACGCAGGUCUCACAAACACACGUACUCGCUUUCUGAAAGCUGUGCUGGUCGACGUCAAAUCCCAUUACCAUAUUGUGGCACAGCAACGCCUCGAGGUUGCUGUAGCCCAAAUGUUCGUAACACCGACGGUUUAGUGCGAUGUGCAUGGAGCUUCGGCUUGAGCAUUCUUUGCUCGCCGAGCCGUGCAACGAGGAGCAGAUUCAUCAAUCACGGAAGGUCAUCAAUCUGCUUAUCAAGAACGUCAAGGUCACCGGUGCAGCCAACGCGAAGAAGGCUUGGGAUGCCUUGAACUUGAUGUUCGCUGCCAACAACAGUGAAGCUUAACCACCCUGUAACAACAUCAACAACGCCUGCAAGGUGGCUCUACACCAAGAAUUCAGCCGCUUCAAGAUGGUUGACUGUGAGCCACUUCCGAAGUAUUUCCGCGUGCGGGGCAGCUGCAAACGGACUUGUUGGGUGUUGGCCACGUAAUCAACAACUCCGAGCUGGCGUAUACCGUCUUAGUUGGUCUACCCAAUCGGUACAGCAUGGUGACGACAACACUACUGAUGCGUGAUGGCGAUUUGGACAUGGCGAGCGUCACAGCAAAGCUUCUCACUAUCGAGACGGCUAACGGUGGGUCGGACAAGCCUACCGAGUCGGAAGCCUUCACGUCUCUCGGCGGUUCGAUGUUCGGCGCUUCUAAUUCUGGUUAUGGCAGCCGGGGGCCGGCUAGCAGCAGCUCGGGACACAGUAGGAAACAACUCAUCUGCUACUACUGUAAUAAGCCUGGGCACGUGGUAAAGGACUGCUGGCAGCUUAAAGCACUCAAGCAGUCAUCAAUUUCUGGAAAUAAGGGUGGCUACAACAACAGUGGCAGCGGAGCUCGGGGCAGCAAUCCAGGAUCCGGUGGAUCAGCUAGGGGGCCAGGAGUUCCGCGGCAGGUAGCGUUCGUGGCAUACAACAGCAGGCGGCUGGCAGAAGUUAAGGCCUGGCUUCUGCUCCCGUCGCGUCCCGUCGCGUCCGGGUUCAAAUCCGCCUGCCGACCUCUCGGGGUGUUUGAGAGGUGAUGAAAUGGGAGGUGGCCCCCCAUCUUGUGGACGGUGUAGGACGUGAUAAAAUCAACUCGCGAGCUGACCAGGAACUAAGUUGACGCGCCGUUGAUCCGCUAGAUUUGGUUGGAUGCUGGUGGUGAGUUGCCAAACUCAAAGAGUUCACUCUGAAGUCGGAUGGGGUGAAUGGCUUAGGGUGCCCCUCUAGCAGGGGAGAGCAGGGAAUUGCCUCGGGAAGGAGGCCACUGGUGAAGCUUAACCACCCUGUAACAACAUCAACAGCGAGCGUCCGACGGAAUGGUUUCUGGACUCAGCAUCUACUCACCACGUCACUUACGACCGAUCCGAACUACACAAUGCACGUGUGUUGGGGCCUUGGGAACGCUUCAGCAUUGUGGGCAUUAAGGGUCAAUCACUGCGUCCGACGGAGGUUGGAUCGCUUACCAUUCGAUCUAAUGUCAACGACAAUCAAGCCAUCACAUUCAAAAGGGUCUACGUUGACGAGGAGGCGAUGGUAAAGAUUUUGUCCGUCCGUAUCAUCGACGAUCGCGGAGGUAGCGUCGUCUUCAGUGACGGUCAAGUACAGGUAUACUUGCAAAAUCAUUUAGUGUUGACCGGUGAACGGGACGGUGAUCUCUACCCCAUUUGCUAUCGAGGUGGAAGUACAGGCACCAUCAGGAGGACGCAGAAUACGAGCUACUGUGACAACGGACAUGGUACAACAUGCACCGCUGUGAAUUCCAAGACGGAGCGUGCAACACUUUGGCAUCGGUGUUACGGACAUCUUGGCUACAGCAACCUCGAGGUGUUGCUGCGCACAAUAUGGUAAUGGGAUUUGACGUCGACCAGCACAGUUUCCAGAAAGCCAGCAUGGGUGUUUGUGAGACCUGCGUUUAUGCAAAACAGACACGAGGUCCUUUUCCGUUAACAGGACACAAGGCAGCUCAGCCACUAGCACUAGUUCACAUGUAUGUGUGUGGACCUACUUUCGCCUAGUGGUUCGCGUUAUGUGACAACUCUGCUUGACGACCAUACCGGUCUUUCAGCUGUUGCAUUUACAGCGACCAAGGAGGAGGUCUAUCAGAAGAUGGUGGUAAUGAUAGCGGAACUGGAGCAUGCUUCUGGCAGGCAGGUUAAGGAGGUGCGUACGGAUCGUGGCGGGGAGUUCAUUAAUACUCGCACGUGUUAAGAAUAUGAAGGCAAGGAGACUGGUCGCGAUAUAGGAGUUACAGUCUGUUAUAGCCAUCGGAGUGGUGGCAUGGUGUUGCAGGAAGGAGGAUAGUAGGUCGCAUUAACAUGGCUGUCACUUAUCCGUACCCUGCUGAACUUUUGCUGAGUAAUACUUUCACUGAAGCCGUUUCAGGUGCAAAUGCAAAUGAGUGGCGCAGAGUGAUGGUCGAGGAGAUUGCUGCAUUAGCAGCUAACGGCACUUGUGAGCUGUGUGCACAGCCUCUUGAUGUGCUAAUGUACCGGUGGUUGUACAAGUUGAAAAGAGUGGAAGGUGACACGGUCAAGCGCUUUUUUGCAUGGCUAGUUGCAAAAAUGUACGAGAAGUACGACACCUUGGAGAAGUGUGUUAAGAAUAUGAAGGCAAGGAGACUGGUCGCGAUAUAGGAGUGUCUGUGGGUUAGUGGUGAACGGCAAGAAGACUUUAGGAGAUUCUUAUGAAGGAAUACCGAUCCAUCCGAAGAUGAGAUAAAAAGGCUUGCUUAACUCUUGCCUUAUGUACCGAUACCAACAGAAGUAUCGUACAGUCGUCCACCAUCCCUGGACCUGAGGUCACGUCCGAGAUACGCGGCCGAGGGACCCGAGGCAAGGUCGAGGCACGGCCGAAGCAAGGUCGAGGCACGGCCGAGGCAACACCUAUCACGGCGGAUUCAUCACCUAACUAUCAUAUAACUAACAUUGGGAUAGGACCACCCUUCAACACGCCCCCUCGGGGCACAUAAUCGCAGUAGCACAUUUGCUCCACCAAUGGGCACUUCACACAACGCCCAUAGCUUCUCUGCACCGUUUGAACCUCACUUCUCCCAGUGCCUUCGUGAGCGCAUCCGCUACCAUCCACUCUGUAGGGCAGUACUCCAACUGCACCGCCCCGCUAUUCACCCUCUCACGCACUAUGUGGUGCUGCAUGUCGAUGUGUUUCGACCGAGCAGACGUAAUCGGAUUAUUUCCCAAGCUAAGCCCCCUGGGAGUCUAUCUGGAUUUUGACCGCGCUCUCAGGCAAGCCCAAAUCGACCAUCAGCUUGCGAAGCCACAAAGCUUCACGAACAGUCACCGCUGUAACUUGGUACUCGGCCUCUACCAACAAAGCAGCCACAGUACUUUGAAGUUGGCUGCUUCAGCUAAUCCCAGCCCCAUUAAGAGUGAAUACGUAACCGGAUGUAGAACGCCGCGUAACUGGGUCUCCUGCCCAGUCCGAAUCACUGUACCCGGACAUUGCAACACCACAAACACCCCCAAAACGCAAUCCUAGUUCGCGAGUACCCGCCAGGUAAGGCAGAACGCCGGUUGCCAAGUUCAUGGCAGUCUUCGUAGGUGUGGCCAUAUGCCGGGACAAGACCCUCCAUGCAUAAGGAAUGUCAGGCCGUGUGUUCGUCACUAGGUAGUUCAACUCUCCCACCAAAGCCCUAUACUGUGGGAUUACCCAGCACCUCAUCUGUAUCCCCCGUAGGUGUGCACAUAAAACCCGGAGGCAAAGGGUAGACCGUGGCUUGGUGUCCACCAUCUGGUGACGUUCCAAUAGCUGCUAAAUAUUGCGACAACAACAAUUCGCCCGGCUCUUCCUCUAAUUCCAUGCCCGAAUAUACCUGCACUUUGUUAAGAAUAUGAAGGAGGCAAGGAGACUGGUCGCGAAAGGUUACAGUCUGUGGGUUAGUGGUGAACGGCAAGAAUACCAAGCUACAGCGGCGGCUGUUUGUGAAGUUUUGUGGCUUCACAUGCUGAUAGUCGAUUUGGGUUUUGCUGUUGUGGAAACGGUACCUCUCCCUACUCGAGGAAUGUCAGACAGGGGAUAUGACCCCGGGUCUGUCUGAGACAAGCGGCGAAACUUAACCCGUCACUUAUGGGACUACUAAUGCACAACCGUUAGUUAGUGGUGUACGUUUGGGCACCGUCAGGAUGGCUCCGCUAGAUCGCGGAAUGAUAGGUGGGCGAAUCCACCUGACUGAUUGGCGCCUAUCAGCGACAGUCGUGCACCGCGACCGGGUCCGGCGGGCCUGUCCCAACGUUAGUGCAGGAUGGUAGGCGGGCAUAUCCAAGAUUGAUUGAUAGGCGAUGACUCCGGCCGCGUAUCUCGGACGUCCCCUCGUGCCCAGCGUUGAUGGUGGGCGACUGUACGGUACUUCCGUUGGUAUCGGUACAUAAGACCCAGAGUGCUGCAAUCUUUCUAUCUCAUCUUCGGAUGGAUCGGUAUUCCUUAACAGGAAUCUCCUAAAGUCUUCUUGCCGUUCACCACUAACCCACAGACACUCCCAUAUCGCGACCAGUCUCCUUGCCUUCAUAUUCUUAACACACUUCUCCAAGGUGUCGUACGUCUCGUACAUUUUUGCAACUAGCCAUGCAAAAAAGCGCUUGACCGUGUCACCUUCCACUCUUUUCAACUUGUACAACCACCGGUACAUUAGCACAUCAAGAGGCUGUGCACACAGCUCACAAGUGCCGUUAGCUGCUAAUGCAGCAAUCUCCUCGACCAUCACUCUGCGCCACUCAUUUGCAUUUGCACCUGAAACGGCUUCAGUGAAAGUAUUACUCAGCAAAAGUUCAGCAGGGUACGGAUAAGUGACAGCCAUGUUAAUGCGACCUACUAUCCUCCUUCCUGCAACACCAUGCCACCACUCCGAUGGCUUGCACCACUAGAUGUUCCGGCUUCAUCCGGCAUUCCUUCACCUUCCACAGGUGGUGCCUAGCCGACUGUGUUUCUUAAGUCUACCAGAGCUUGGCAGAGGCCCUGACUCAGGUACACCAAUACUAGCCGCUUCGGAGUCAGACAAUUCCCCUGAACCUUGAUAGUUGUUCUUAUCUUGCAGCAAAAAAUACACGGCAUCACUGCACUGCUGCCACCGCCUGUCUGUUGAGGCAUGCUACCCCACCUGCCACAUGCGGGCGCCAACACCACCUCCACUCAUUCUCUGCACGUAAGGUUGCGGCUCUCUGCAACUCCGAGAUACACGGCCCGUCUGUUUAUAGUUGUAGCAAACGAUCGCCUGUUGCAUUCCACGCUGUCGACUGGAUACAAACUUUUCACGGCACUCACGUCCGCCAGUCGUCUGCAUGUGGGCCUGAGAUGGCUUCGGCAUAAACGUUAGGUUCUGAAUCGCAGCAGAUACUGCAGCAAUGACUCGGCCUGUAGCACUACGACCUGGUACACUCCUUAACCACUCGCCAGGACGUUUGCAUUCCCUAACUGAAUACCGAGCCCCCAGCAUUUCCACAUCAGGGUGUGUAUUUCCUUGCACAUUCACACUUCUGGGAGGUCCAGCCCCAGCCAGCGCCCCCUCGCCACCCAAAUGCGACGAUCCCGCGCUGACGGUAUUGCCUGAUGUCCAUUCGCCAGCCCUAGGCAGCGACCCCUCACCAGCUAGCGUGCAACCCUCGUCGGCAUCGGACCCAUCAUUGGAAUCCCUGGCAUUAUGCCGCUGACCGUCACUAGGCUCAUCAAAGAGGACAUUGGAGACCACGGAGAUGAUGCUGUCCUCAUACAUAACACGAUACUGUCCUCCAUACCCAUAUUCGGCCAGGAUUCCUCAGAUGCUUACUGUUGUAAGCUACAAAAGCAACCUGCUUCGGGAAACCGGAUCCCUUGCUAGACCCACCGAGCCCAGGCUUGCUGAAAUAGAAGCAAAUCACCUCUUGGAGAAGAACGCCAGAACUGCUGCUGGCCGCGCCGUGAUUCCUAAGACCAGAACCAGAGGCGCCAAACGUGAGACCGCCGACAGAAGCAAAAGCUGCCGACUCGGUAGGCGUACCAGACCCACCGCUUGCCAUCUCGAGAGUCAAGAACUUCGAGGUGACGAUAUAUAGCCAUGUCCGAAUCGCCGUCACGCACCAGUAGGGAUGUCGUUACCAUGCUGAAGCGGCUGGGCAAACCAACAAGCAAAGUGUGUGCCCGCUCAGAAUCGCUGAUAACGUGUCCUACUCCCAAACAAGUCCGACUGUAAUUGCUUGCAGGCGUCCUAUGCCUUCUUCGCGUUAGCUAUGUAAGCUACUAGCGUGAGCCGGGGCUCAUAACCUGUUAAGAUUAUGAAGGCAAGGAGACUGGUCGCGAUAUAGGAGUUACAGUCUGUGGGUUAGUGGUGAACGGCAAGAAGACUUUAGGAGAUUCCUAUGAAGGAAUACCGAUCCAUCCGAAGUUGAGAUAGAAAGGCUUGCUUAACUCUUGCCUUAUGUACCGAUACCAACGGAAGUAUCGUACAGUCGUCCACCAUCCCUGGACCUGAGGACACGUCCGAGAUACGCGGCCGAGGGACCCGAGGCAAGGUCGAGGCACGGCCGAAGCAACGCCUAUCACGGCGGAUUCAUCACCUAACUACCACCUACCUACGUUGGGAUAGGACCGCCCUUCAACAGCACGAAGGGCUAUUUCGCGUCCAGGGGUAUUGUACACGGAACUACGGUAGGCUAUACCCCUGAGCAGAACGGAGCAGCGGAACGUUUGAAUUGCACUCUCCUAGACAAAACCAGGGCUAUGCUUGUCGAGUCCGGUCUACCUAAGUCAUUAUGGGCGGAAAUGUUGGCGACAGCCAAUUACCUCAGGAAUGUGUCGCCAACUACUGGGUCAACUGUCACGCCGUAUGAAGCUUUCUUCAACGUCCGUCCUAACGUCAGUCAUCUUCGAGUUUUUGGGUGCGUCGCCUACGUCCACGUACCUGACGUCAAACGCAACAAGUUCGAUCCGGUGAGCAGGUGGGGAAUACUUGUUGGAUACGGGAACGGAGGACAGUACCGUGUGCUGUACGAGGUCGGCAUUAUUGCCGUAGUUUCUAACGUUCGCUUUGACGAGUCUAACGUCGGCCGGCGUUGUUAUGCCGGGGAUUCUGAUUAUGAAUCCGAUGCCGACGAGGAGGAGGAUUUUCGCACUAGCUUGCCUGGUAAGGUGUCGCUGCCUAGGGCUGGCGAAGGAAUACCAGGUAGCACCGUCGGCGAGGGAUCGCCGCAUUUGGGUGGCGAAGGGGCGCCGGCUGGGGCUGGACCAUCCAGCAGUGCGAACGUGCAAGGUAACAAUCAGCCUGAUGUGGAAAUGGCAGGGACACGAUAUCCAGUUAGAGAACGUUAACGCCCUGGCGAAUGGUGGCGAAACGAACCUGGUCGCACUGUCACUGGUCGCGUUAACGCUGCUUUCUCUGCUGGUAUUCCUGAACCUAAUUCGUUUGCGGAAGCCAUUGCAAGUCCACAUGCAGAAGACUGGCGGCGUGCGAUGUAUGAGGAGAUUGGUGAGGAAACGGUCCUCUCCCAACUCGUGUGGUUGUCGACCAGGGGAUUUGACCCCGGGUCUGCACCUGACUAAUGGGGAAGACUUACCCCAGAACCUUAUGGGGCUACCGAUGCAUAUCCGGUAGCUAAGUGAUAGACAUUAGGGCACCGUCUGGACGGCGCAGUGAGAUCGCGGAAUGUACGUUCAGUUAGAUCGCGGAAUGUACGAGUUUUCCGCUAGCGCCGGUAUUUAGGGCGCCUACUAGUUUAUCUCACAACGAUCGGUAUUCCUACCAGGAAUCUCCUCAAGUCCUGCCGAACGCUAAUAAUACUCUUUACAUUACUUGUAACAGUUUAUCGUGCUAAAUAUCUUCGCCACCGGCAAUCCUUCCGGAAUAACAAUCAGCGUUAGCCGUCACCGUCGCCAAUUCUCCAAUAGGUUAUGAGCCCCGCUUAGCGCCGACAGCUAUCGCUCAAUUGUUAUUUCUAUCCCUCAUCGACAAUGGUUAAGGACAAGCUUGAUGAGUCGCUGGACCUCAACAACUACUCUACCUGGCAAAUUCGGUUUAGCGCGAUGUGCAUGGAGCUUGGGCUUGAGCAAUCCCUGCUCGCUGAGCCGUGCAACGAGGAGCAAAUUCGACAGUCACGGAAGGUCAUCAAUCUGCUCAUCAAGAACGUCAAGGAUCAUCAUUUGCCGAUGGUUACCGGUGCUGCCAACGCGAAGAAGGCCUGGGACGCCUUGGGAUCUAUGUUUGCAGCCAACAACAACGCCCGCAAGGUGUCUCUACGUCAAGAAUUCAGCCGUUUUAAGAUGGUCGACGGCGAACCUCUUCCGAUGUACUUUGCGCGUGCAAGGCAGCUGCAAACAGAUUUAUUGGGAGUCGGCCACGUAGUUAACGACUCCGAGCUGGCGUACACCGUGCUAGUUGGUCUACCCAGUCGGUACAGCGUGGUGACGACUACAUUACUUAUGCGCGACGGCGAUUUGGACAUGGCGAGCGUCACAGCAAAGCUUCUCUCUAUCGAGACGGCUAACGGUGGGUCGGGCAAGCCUACCGAGUCGGCAGCCUUCGCGUCUGUCGGCGGUUCGACGUUCGGCGCUUCUACUUCUGGUUAUGGUAGCCGGGGGCCGGCUAACAACAGCUCGGGACAUAGUCGGAAGCAAGUCAUCUGCUACUACUGUAAUAAACCUGGGCACGUGGUUAAGGACUGCAGGCAGCUUAAGGCGCUGAAGCAGUCGUCAAAUUCUGGCUACAAGGGUGGCUACAGCAACAGUGGUAACGGAGGUAGUGGCAGCGGAGCUAGCGGCAGCAAGCCAGGAUCCGGUGGAUCAGCUAGGGGGCCAGGAGUUCCGCGGCAGGUAGCAUUCGUGGCAUACAACAGCAAUCGUCCGACGGAAUGGUUUCUGGACUCAGCCGCUACUCACCACAUAACGUAUGACCGCUCAGAACUUUCCAACGUGCGGUUGUUGGAGCCAUGGGAGCGCUUCAACAUCAUGGGCAUCAAGGGACAAUCUCUUCGACCGACUGAAGUUGGCACGCUUACGAUUCGGUCUAACGUCAACGAUAAACAGGCCAUCACUUUCAAGAAGGUCUACGUCGACGAGGAGGCCACCGCCAAAAUCAUAUCGGUCCGCAUCAUUGAUGAUCGUGGAGGCAGUGUGGUCUUCGGCGGCGGACAGGCGAAAGUAUACGUACAGAACCAGUUGGUGCUGACUGGAAAGCGGGAUGGGGACUUGUAUCCCGUCUGCUACAGCAGUGGAGGUACGGGAGCUCUGAAGAGGACGCAGCGUGAAGACAACAGGAUACCUUCUGGUGGUGGUGUGGUGUGGUUGUUACAGUGGGCUCCAGACUCCCGAAGAGUAGAGCCAUCGGGCCAGCUGGCCGUGCACUGCAGUAGAGACUAAUAUACCAAAAGAUUAUCAUCUCAGAUAAUUAACCUCUCAUCGGUAACCGCUCUCGCGAACAAAUCAAUUUGCCAGAUAUAAUCCUCAAAAAGGGGUGAUGUGCGCCAACGGAUUCCCAACCUUUUCCUGGAAUUCCUAAAGCUGCGAAACCCUGAAUGCGGCCCCAAAAAUCAACAAUAACUCGACAAAUUGCUUCUUCCGUAAGGGAAGGACCAGGUAACAGUGCCGGGUUGGUUUUCAUGUUUGCAGCCAUAUAACGUCUCCCAUGCUCCAUGGCUGACACCGCAGCAAGAGCCACAACAUCCCAAACACAUUGUUGCACUGAUUGUGGGGCUUGGAUAAGCCAAAGUUGCUCCCUUGAGACUGGCAAUCCUAUUGAAAGAGUAAGUUGAUCUGCUAUUGCCUGUGCCACCGGACAGGCCCAGAAAUGAUGAUAGCGAGGGGAUACACCUCCCACUGAACCUAUUGGAUAACCUCCACAACCACAUAUCGUUGGGCGCGACAUCCUAAGAUGGGAAUUUCCUAACAUAGGCACCCCAUCAACCGCAAGACGCCAACAAAUCUCUUUUUGUUCAUUUUCCCACCGUAAAUGAAACCAUAAACGAUGGAAUGUCCGUUGCAAAAGAAGAAUAGCUUCAUCCAAUAUCUCAGAAGAACCCGUCGCCUCUUUGAUGAAAAGGGUAUGGGCCACACGGCGAGCCAUCGAAAAAGGUGAAAGUUGCAUAUUAGUCGCUAUUUUAACGGAUAAUUGUUGGAAUCGGAUUGGAGGCCCUACACCCCAUCUCCAACCAAGCCUCGACACUAGGGUUUGAGUAACCGACUCAAUAGGGGGCACCAUCGCUUCCCUAGAUUCUACACUCAGCGGCAACAAAAGACUAGCCGCCUGUCUCCAAUUCGCUGGAAUAUCAUCUAGAAGAGCGGCAAUAGCAUCCAUACAUUCCUGCGGUUAAGGCCUGACUUCUGCUCCCAGUCGACCCAGUCGACCCAGUCGACCCGGGUUCAAAUCCGCCUGCCGGCUCCUCGGGUGUUUGAGGAGUGAUGAAAUGGGAGGUGGCCCCCCAUCUUAUGGACGGUGUAGGACGUGAUAAUAUCAACUUGCGAGCUGACCAGGAACUAAGUUAAUGCGCCGUUGAUCCGCUAGAUUUGGUUGGAUGCUGGUGGUGAGUUGCCGAACCCAACGAAUACAUUCUGAAGUCGGAUGGGGUGACGGAUUAGGGUGCCCCUCUAGCAGGGGAGAGCAGGGACUGCCCCGGGAAAGGGGGCCGCUGGCGAAGUUAACCACCCUGUAACAACAUACAUACAUUCCUGCCAUUUACGAUAGGUGCACAGGGAUUUAGCUAGUGGGGUUUGCGGUUGGAGGUAUUUAUCCACUAUUUGAUGCCAAGCCUUGCGUAUUGCUAGGCCUGCUUGGUCCGUUGCAUUCAUAACUCCAUCCAAGGCCUCUCGCGCGCAAAGAACAUCUCCCAACGUAUGCAAUGCUUUACAGCCCAGGAGGGCUUGAUGACGAAAUUCUAGUCCCGGGCGGAUGUUAUCUAACUGGACAUUCAAUUUUUUUUCUGGAAGAACAGGGUUUCCCCACAAUGGCAAAUUCCAACACCACGCAUUAGGAACUAACGGGUGGUCAUCAACAUCUUCCACUGGGGGAAGGUAUGCCAACGCUGUCACAAUGCGCUGAACAUCUGGCGGAAAACGAUNNNNNNNNNNNNNNNNNNNNNNNNNNNNNNNNNNNNNNNNNNNNNNNNNNAUGGAUGUCCGUUGCAAAGAAGAAUAGCUUCAUCCAAUAUCUCAGAAGAACCCGUCGCCUCUUUGAUGAAAAGGGUAUGGGCCACACGGCGAGCCAUCGAAAAAGGUGAAAGUUGCAUAUUAGUCGCUAUUUUAACGGAUAAUUGUUGGAAUCGGAUUGGAGGCCCUACACCCCAUCUCCAACCAAGCCUCGACACUAGGGUUUGAGUAACCGACUCAAUAGGGGGCACCAUCGCUUCCCUAGAUUCUACACUCAGCGGCAACAAAAGACUAGCCGCCUGUCUCCAAUUCGCUGGAAUAUCAUCUAGAAGAGCGGCAAUAGCAUCCAUACAUUCCUGCGGUUAAGGCCUGACUUCUGCUCCCAGUCGACCCAGUCGACCCAGUCGACCCGGGUUCAAAUCCGCCUGCCGGCUCCUCGGGUGUUUGAGGAGUGAUGAAAUGGGAGGUGGCCCCCCAUCUUAUGGACGGUGUAGGACGUGAUAAUAUCAACUUGCGAGCUGACCAGGAACUAAGUUAAUGCGCCGUUGAUCCGCUAGAUUUGGUUGGAUGCUGGUGGUGAGUUGCCGAACCCAACGAAUACAUUCUGAAGUCGGAUGGGGUGACGGAUUAGGGUGCCCCUCUAGCAGGGGAGAGCAGGGACUGCCCCGGGAAAGGGGGCCGCUGGCGAAGUUAACCACCCUGUAACAACAUACAUACAUUCCUGCCAUUUACGAUAGGUGCACAGGGAUUUAGCUAGUGGGGUUUGCGGUUGGAGGUAUUUAUCCACUAUUUGAUGCCAAGCCUUGCGUAUUGCUAGGCCUGCUUGGUCCGUUGCAUUCAUAACUCCAUCCAAGGCCUCUCGCGCGCAAAGAACAUCUCCCAACGUAUGCAAUGCUUUACAGCCCAGGAGGGCUUGAUGACGAAAUUCUAGUCCCGGGCNNNNNNNNNNNNNNNNNNNNNNNNNNNNNNNNNNNNNNNNNNNNNNNNNNCCGGAAUUGCUUGGAUGCCUUCUAAAACAACUUCCGUGUCAUCAGCAAAUUGCACACCUGUAACCAUUUCUGAAUUAUUUUGGGGUAAAUGAAUCCCCACUCGGUUGUACUGUAACCAACACAGUAACGCCUGCGCGACAAACAAGUAUAGCAACGGUGCCAACGGACAUCCCUGUCGCACACCCGCUGUAAGAGCAACUUCACGGGAAAAAAAACCAUUUACUACCGCUUUCGACGCUGUAUCGGAUAACAGAAUUUUAGUCCAACUAAUGAACCCUGCUCCUGCGCCCAUAGCAUCCAUUGCUUCAAAUAAAAAAUUACGAUCUAAGGAAUCGUAAGCUUUAGCAAUAUCCAAAAAAGCCAGGAGACACGACUGUCCUGUCGUCGACAUAAGUUGCGGUAGAUGCCGCAGGAAAAGAACAUCUGCACCUAUCAAGCGCUCUGGCAGGAAAGCAGACUGCUCGAGCGUGAUAAUUCGCCCUAGUAUUGGACUCAGCCUACGGGUUAAUAUCUUGGUGAAAAUCCUGUAAUCUGUAUUCAACAAGGUAAUCGGUCGAUAACUACCCGGGGAGGUGGGAGACCCCCGAUUUUUAUAAAUAACCGUAAUAGCACCUUGCAAAAAGCCAUCUGGGUGCAUUUGGGUUUGGCCCAUGGCUGUAUACAGUUGAGCAAGAACUGGUGCAAUCUCGUUCCGACACACCUUGUAUAAUUCAAUUGGGAUGCCAUCUAGACCGGGCGCUUUGCCUGGCGUCGCUUCCUUGAGCACCGCUUCCACUUCAACGUCAGACACCUCCGGUCUUCCUACAUGAUACGCAUCCUCCUCCGGAAUGACAAGGUGGCGAUUCCGCAGCGCCUCUAUAACAGCCAUCCUAGCCUCUUCAGUCACAUGAGUUGGGGAGGAACAAAUCUCUCCCCAAAAAUCCGCAACCAUCUGUGGCAACUUCAUCGUGUCUGUAAUAAGACGACCCGUUCUAUCUUGCAACGCCGGAAUAACUUGCAGAGUCUUAGACGGAUGCACCAGGGCAGUUAGCCCUCUACUAGGCCGUUCACCCUCACGAAUCCACUGUAACCGAACCCGUUCCGCCUCCUGUGCACCUUCAGCUCUAGCCGCUUGUACAACCGCUACUUGGGCGUCAAUUGCCGCUUGGAUUCUCUGUGCACUCAUAUGUUCGGUCUGCACAUCUUCCAGUGCCCUUGUUGCAUGUUCUAUUGCCAAACGUAGUUGCCCCCCCGGGGGAAAACGACGUUCUCGCGCUUGCCGAUUAAGAACAUUUACUUCAUUGAACAUUCGAUGUUUAAACAACGGCCACCAUUGUAGCAUAGCUACUGUGUCUGUCUCAGCGGGUCUCUGCGCACACUCAUCACCAAUCCAUUGCAAGAAGCUUCNCNNNNNNNNNNNNNNNNNNNNNNNNNNNNNNNNNNNNNNNNNNNNNNNNNNCCUGAUGUCGGUAGUCCCGGUUGAUUGGUGGUUGUGUAUGAGAGCUGCUGCUGUUGUCGCUGCUGCUGCUGUGGCGGCUGUUGCUGUAUCUGUUGCUGUUGCUGUUGUGGUUGCUGGUUCUGUCGUUGUUGUUGCUGUUGCUGUUGUUGCUGCUGUGUUUGCUGUUGCUGUGUCUGUUGUUGCUGUUGCUGUUGUUGCUGUUGCUGCUGUUGUUGUACUUGUCUUCGUACAACGGCGGCGGCUGCUCUGCCUGCCAUUUCUGUUGCCUCCUCGUUGGAUACUCGAUUUUGCAUCUGCUGUUGUCGAGUUAUUUGCUGGAUUGUCUGGGGCUGUCCAGUAGCCAUGGGUUGACGUGCAUUACUUGAUCCUCCUACCUCACCCACCGCUGGCGUCGCUAGAUUUGGCCGUGCUCGCGCCGCGAUGACUGCCGCCGCCGAAAUGGGCGGCGGGAGAUUCGGUAUCAAGCGGUUUCGUUGUUGAAUCUUGGGGGGGCGGGCAAAGCCGGAGUCUGUGUGUCGUAAUACGUGUGUUGCGCUCUCCACGCUCCCCUAUGAAUCCGCCGGCCAUCCUCCUCAAUGGAGAAAAUAUUCAUCCUGGCGGGUAAUGCGGGCUGAUCCCAUCGCACCCACACCACGGCUGUAGUGAGACUAGCUUCGACUAUCCCCCAUUUCUUUCCAUAUUCAUCUACGUCAAAGCCGUAGGCUUCCGCAAUAAGCCAGAAUAGGCAUUUCUGAGGAAAUGCUGGAGGUAAUCCUGUCAGUCUGAAGUAUUGGGCAGAUGCCCCCACUAUGUCUACUACAAGAUCCUAGAUGGAGAUCUGCUAGAUUGAUUCGUCCGCAAUGGUCCGCUAAGUUUUUUACGGGCGUAAUCCACUCCUCCGGUACGUAGACGUUGAUCUGUCCAACGACUCCUUCGUCGUUGCGAGCUUCCCAAGCGACCGGUUCUCCGACGAAAACAUAAGGAGCUUUUAGCUCCUGUUGUACUGUCUGCACUAUUCGGUGUCCAAUCGGUCCUGCCAUAAUGUCUAUUACCUGCUUUCUGUUCUCUAGGUAGUUUCCUUGAAAGAUUGCUCUCAUUGCCAGCGAUCGAAGUUUGCCAAAAGGUUGCUCCAUCUUCGUAAUUUCCCUAAGAAGGGAGAUUGAUAUGGUUGCUUCAGAUCGUUCCGCCGUCACACCGGCGGCCUGAUCCGUUGAACUGUUGCGAGCCAUUUUGAUGUCUUUUGUCUCAGAAAAGUUAUUGAAGGUAAAUAGACCGACCGGGUUACCCGNGUCGGUCUUGGUAUGAUGUUGAGUCUGCAAGUGUGGAUUGGGGCUAUAUGGUGGCUAAAUUGGUAUAUUGCUAUAUUGCUAUAGGAGUGUAGUAAGGUGAUGCAGUGUGUGCUGCCGUGGGUAUCGGAGCUGAACGUGCAGCACUUUGCACCGAAGGUAUGGCCACUUGGGAUACAGCACCCUGAGACGUUGCUGCGUCAUAAUAUGGUAGCUGGAUUUGAUGUUGACCGACACAGCAUACAAUCAGCCAGCGCGUGUGUGUGUGAGACUUGUCUUUGCUAAGCAUACACGUGGUCCUUUUCCGUUAUCUGGGCAUAAGGCAGCGCAGACUCUCGCGCUCAUUCACAUGGAUGUGUGUGGGCCUAUGCCUGAACCUUCGCCUAGUGGUUCGCGUUACGUGACAACCCUGCUUGACGACCAUACUGGUCUUUCAGCUGUUGCGUUUACAGCGACCAAGGAGGAGGUCUACCAGAAGAUGGUGGUAAUGAUAGCGGAACUGGAGCGCGCUACUGGCAGGCAGGUUAAGGAGGUGCGUACAGAUCGUGGCGGGGAGUUCGUUAAUACUCGCACGAAGGCCUAUUUCGCUUCCAGGGGUAUUCUACACGGAACUACGGUAGGCUACACCCCUGAGCAGAACGGAGCUGCAGAACGUUUAAAUCGCACUCUUUUGGACAAGACUAGGGCUAUGCUAGUUGAGUCUGGACUGCCUAAAUCAUUAUGGGCGGAGGCGUUAGCGACAGCCAACUAUCUUAGGAAUGUGUCGCCAACUGCUGGGUCAACCGUCACUCCGUACGAAGCUUUCUUUAAUGUUCGUCCGAACGUCAGUCACCUGCGAGUUUUUGGAUGCGUUGCCUACGUCCACGUACCUGACGUCAAGCGCGACAAGUUCGACCCGGUGAGCAGGCGUGGAAUACUUGUCGGAUAUGGGAACGGUGGACAGUAUCGUGUACAAUACGAGGACGGCAUUAUUGCCAUAGUUUCUAACGUUCGCUUUGACGAGUCGAAUGUCGGCCGGCGGCGUAAUGCCGGGGACUCCGAUUAUGAGUCCGAUGCCGACGAGGAGGAGGAGUUUCGCACUAGUUUAUCUGGUGAGGGAUCGCUGCCUAGGGCUGGCGAAGGGACACCAGGUAGCACCGUCGGCGAGGGAUCGCCGCACUUGGGUGGCGAGGGGGCGCCGGCUGGGGCUGGACCUUCCAGCAGUGCGAACGGGCAAGGAAUUAAUUAGCCUGAUGUGGAAAUGGCAGGGACACGAUAUCCAGUUAGAGAGCGGAAACGCCCUGGCGAAUGGUGGCGAAACGAACCUGGUCGCACUGUUACUGGUCGCGUUAACGCUGCUUUCUCUGCUGGUAUUCCUGAGCCUAAUUCGUUUGCAGAAGCCAUUGCAAGUCCAAAUGCAGACGACUGGCGGCGUGCGAUGGACGAGGAGAUCGCCGCCCAGAUGGCUAAUAGUACUUGGGAGCUGAAGAAGCCACCUCCUGGUACUCGUUUGUUGCCGUGUCGUUGGGUAUGUAAGGUUAAGUACAGCGAUGACGGCAGCGUGGAGCGUUUUAAGGCGCGUUUAGUUGCCAAGGGUUUCGAGCAACGUGAGGGGAUUGAUUAUGGGGAGUUGUUUGCCCCUACCUCUCGUGGUUCGUCAUUGCGUGCUUUAUUAGCAGUUGCCGCAGCCCGGAACAUGACGGNNNNNNNNNNNNNNNNNNNNNNNNNNNNNNNNNNNNNNNNNNNNNNNNNNCAGCCAUCCUAGCCUCUUAGUCCAUGAGUUGGGGAGGAACAAAUCUCUCCCCAAAAAUCCGCAACCAUCUGUGGCAACUUCAUCGUGUCUGUAAUAAGACGACCCGUUCUAUCUUGCAACGCCGGAAUAACUUGCAGAGUCUUAGACGGAUGCACCAGGGCAGUUAGCCCUCUACUAGGCCGUUCACCCUCACGAAUCCACUGUAACCGAACCCGUUCCGCCUCCUGUGCACCUUCAGCUCUAGCCGCUUGUACAACCGCUACUUGGGCGUCAAUUGCCGCUUGGAUUCUCUGUGCACUCAUAUGUUCGGUCUGCACAUCUUCCAGUGCCCUUGUUGCAUGUUCUAUUGCCAAACGUAGUUGCCCCCCCGGGGGAAAACGACGUUCUCGCGCUUGCCGAUUAAGAACAUUUACUUCAUUGAACAUUCGAUGUUUAAACAACGGCCACCAUUGUAGCAUAGCUACUGUGUCUGUCUCAGCGGGUCUCUGCGCACACUCAUCACCAAUCCAUUGCAAGAAGUUUCCCUUCAAGUCAGGAAAAUCUAAGAAAUGCGUGUGUAGCCUUGGAAGGCCUGGACCACGCUUUCUCACAAGACGAGGUAAAAGAGCAAUAAUAGCUAAACGAUGGUCUGUCGAAGUGCACACUGGAAUGGUAGAGGAAGCGAUGAAGGGGGUGAGGUUUGUGGAAGUAUAGAUUCGAUCAAGACGUGACCCUCCCGACACACUUGUUUUAUAGAANAACGAAAGGUCGCGACGGGUAGGGUGGAGGUAGCGAUAUGUGUCUACCAUAUCCGGGCAGCAUUCGGNNNNNNNNNNNNNNNNNNNNNNNNNNNNNNNNNNNNNNNNNNNNNNNNNNCUCCUCAUGGAGAAAUAUUCAUCCUGGCGGGUAAUGCGGGCUGAUCCCAUCGCACCCACACCACGGCUGUAGUGAGACUAGCUUCGACUAUCCCCCAUUUCUUUCCAUAUUCAUCUACGUCAAAGCCGUAGGCUUCCGCAAUAAGCCAGAAUAGGCAUUUCUGAGGAAAUGCUGGAGGUAAUCCUGUCAGUCUGAAGUAUUGGGCAGAUGCCCCCACUAUGUCUACUACAAGAUCCUAGAUGGAGAUCUGCUAGAUUGAUUCGUCCGCAAUGGUCCGCUAAGUUUUUUACGGGCGUAAUCCACUCCUCCGGUACGUAGACGUUGAUCUGUCCAACGACUCCUUCGUCGUUGCGAGCUUCCCAAGCGACCGGUUCUCCGACGAAAACAUAAGGAGCUUUUAGCUCCUGUUGUACUGUCUGCACUAUUCGGUGUCCAAUCGGUCCUGCCAUAAUGUCUAUUACCUGCUUUCUGUUCUCUAGGUAGUUUCCUUGAAAGAUUGCUCUCAUUGCCAGCGAUCGAAGUUUGCCAAAAGGUUGCUCCAUCUUCGUAAUUUCCCUAAGAAGGGAGAUUGAUAUGGUUGCUUCAGAUCGUUCCGCCGUCACACCGGCGGCCUGAUCCGUUGAACUGUUGCGAGCCAUUUUGAUGUCUUUGUUCUCAGAAAAGUUAUUGAAGGUAAAUAGACCGACCGGGUUAACCCGGUUCGGUCAUUGUUAUGAUGUUGAGUCUGCAAGUUGUGAUUGUGGCUAUAUGGUUGCUAUAUUGCUAUAUUGCUAUAUUGCUAUAUGAGUGUAGUAGGGUGAUGCAGUGUGUGCUGCCGUGGGUAUCGGAGCUGAACGUGCAGCACUUUGGCACCGAAGGUAUGGCCACUUGGGAUACAGCAACCUUGAGACGUUGCUGCGUCAUAAUAUGGUAGCUGGAUUUGAUGUUGACCGACACAGCAUACAAUCAGCCAGCGCGUGUGUGUGUGAGACUUGUCUUUGCUAAGCAUACACGUGGUCCUUUUCCGUUAUCUGGGCAUAAGGCAGCGCAGACUCUCGCGCUCAUUCACAUGGAUGUGUGUGGGCCUAUGCCUGAACCUUCGCCUAGUGGUUCGCGUUACGUGACAACCCUGCUUGACGACCAUACUGGUCUUUCAGCUGUUGCGUUUACAGCGACCAAGGAGGAGGUCUACCAGAAGAUGGUGGUAAUGAUAGCGGAACUGGAGCGCGCUACUGGCAGGCAGGUUAAGGAGGUGCGUACAGAUCGUGGCGGGGAGUUCGUUAAUACUCGCACGAAGGCCUAUUUCGCUUCCAGGGGUAUUCUACACGGAACUACGGUAGGCUACACCCCUGAGCAGAACGGAGCUGCAGAACGUUUAAAUCGCACUCUUUUGGACAAGACUAGGGCUAUGCUAGUUGAGUCUGGACUGCCUAAAUCAUUAUGGGCGGAGGCGUUAGCGACAGCCAACUAUCUUAGGAAUGUGUCGCCAACUGCUGGGUCAACCGUCACUCCGUACGAAGCUUUCUUUAAUGUUCGUCCGAACGUCAGUCACCUGCGAGUUUUUGGAUGCGUUGCCUACGUCCACGUACCUGACGUCAAGCGCGACAAGUUCGACCCGGUGAGCAGGCGUGGAAUACUUGUCGGAUAUGGGAACGGUGGACAGUAUCGUGUACAAUACGAGGACGGCAUUAUUGCCAUAGUUUCUAACGUUCGCUUUGACGAGUCGAAUGUCGGCCGGCGGCGUAAUGCCGGGGACUCCGAUUAUGAGUCCGAUGCCGACGAGGAGGAGGAGUUUCGCACUAGUUUAUCUGGUGAGGGAUCGCUGCCUAGGGCUGGCGAAGGGACACCAGGUAGCACCGUCGGCGAGGGAUCGCCGCACUUGGGUGGCGAGGGGGCGCCGGCUGGGGCUGGACCUUCCAGCAGUGCGAACGGGCAAGGAAUUAAUUAGCCUGAUGUGGAAAUGGCAGGGACACGAUAUCCAGUUAGAGAGCGGAAACGCCCUGGCGAAUGGUGGCGAAACGAACCUGGUCGCACUGUUACUGGUCGCGUUAACGCUGCUUUCUCUGCUGGUAUUCCUGAGCCUAAUUCGUUUGCAGAAGCCAUUGCAAGUCCAAAUGCAGACGACUGGCGGCGUGCGAUGGACGAGGAGAUCGCCGCCCAGAUGGCUAAUAGUACUUGGGAGCUGAAGAAGCCACCUCCUGGUACUCGUUUGUUGCCGUGUCGUUGGGUAUGUAAGGUUAAGUACAGCGAUGACGGCAGCGUGGAGCGUUUUAAGGCGCGUUUAGUUGCCAAGGGUUUCGAGCAACGUGAGGGGAUUGAUUAUGGGGAGUUGUUUGCCCCUACCUCUCGUGGUUCGUCAUUGCGUGCUUUAUUAGCAGUUGCCGCAGCCCGGAACAUGACGGUACAUCAGCUCGAUGUGUCUACUGCGUUUUUGAACGGUGAGCUGAAGGAGGAAUUGUGGAUGGAGCAACCGCCUGGGUAUGCAUCCAGUGACCGGUCGCUUGCGUGCAACCUGCAGAAGUCUAUUUACGGGUUGAAGCAGGCACCCCGUUGCUGGUAUGAGAAACUAUCAGCAGAGUUCGCCAAGUUGGGUCUUUAUCCUUCGAAGUCUGAUCCGGCGAUGUUUGUUAAGACGGACGAGCGUGGGGUUGUUAUUGCUUUGGUACACCAUUACAUUACAUUACAUUACAAUUGUUGCGUCGGAAGACCCGGAAAUGGUCCGGGCAAUUAAAGCCGCAAUUGCGAAGGUCUUCAAGGUGCGCGACCUUGGAGAAGCGAAGGUGUUUUUGGGCAUGGAGAUGAGGAGGGAGAAGUCGGGUGAGAUAGUGUUGUCGCAGCAUAGGUAUAUUGCGCAGCUGUUGGAGCGUCAUAGGAUGAUUGACGCCAAACCGAGGUCUACCCCUUUGCCUCCGGGCUUUAGGUACACUCCUAAGGGGGACGGAGAGGAGCUGCUGGGCAAUCCCACAGAGUAUAGGGCUUUGGUGGGAGAAUUGAACUAUCUGGCGACGAACACGCGGCCUGACAUUUCAUAUGCAUUGAGCGUUUUGUCCCGACAUAUGGCCGCACCGACGAAGACUGCCAUGAACUUGGCAACCGGCGUUCUGCGUUACCUGGCGGGUACACGCGAACUAGGAUUGCGUUUUGGGGGUGUUGGCGACGUUGCUAUGUCCGGGUACAGUGAUUCGGACUGGGCAGGAGACCCAGUUACGCGGCAUUCUACGUCCGGUUACGUAUUCACUCUCAAUGGGGCUGCGAUUAGCUGGAGCAGCCAACUUCAACGUACUGUGGCGGCUUCGUCGGUGGAGGCUGAGUACCAAGCUACAGCGGCGGCUGUUCGUGAGGCUUUGUGGCUUCGCAAGCUGAUGGUUGAUUUGGGCUUGCCUGAGAGCGCGGUUAAAAUCCAGAUAGACUCCCAGGGGGCGCUUAGCUUGGGAAACAACCCGAUUACGUCUGCUCGGUCGAAGCACAUCGACGUGCAGCAUCACAUAGUGCGUGAGAGGGUGAAUAGUGGUGAGGUGCAGUUGGAAUACUGCCCUACGGAGUGGAUGGUUGCGGAUGUGCUAACGAAGGCUCUGGGCGAGGUGAAGUUCAAACGUUGCCGAGAUGCUAUGGACCUUGUGUGAAGUGUGCAGAUGAACUUAGUACUCGUUGGGAUACGGCCCGAGGGGGCGUGUUGAAGAAACGGUCCUCUCCCAACUCGUGUGGUUGUCGACCAGGGGAUUUGACCCCGGGUCUGCGCCUGACUAAUGGGGAAGACUUACCCCAGAACUUUAUGGGGCUACCGAUGCAUAUCCGGUAGCUAAGUGAUAGACAUUAGGGCACCGUCUGGACGGCGCAGUGAGAUCGCGGAAUGUACGUGCAGUUAGAUCGCGGAAUGUACGAGUUUUCCGCUAGCGCCGGUAUUUAGGGCGGUGACUGCGCUUAUUUGUUUAUCUCACAACGAUCGGUAUUCCUCAAAGGAAUCUCCUCAAGUCCUGCCGAACGCUAAUAAUACUCUUUACAUAACUUGUAACAUUUUAUCGUGCUAAAUAUCUUCGCCACUGGCAAUUCUUCUGAGAUAACAAUCAGCGUUAGCCGUCACCGUCGCCAAUUCUCCAAUAUAUGAGCCCCGCCUCACGCUAGCAGCAUCUACCUCUAAAACUCGUAUUCCACAAUGGGGAAGGACAAGCUUGACGAGCCUCUGGACUUGAACAACUACGCCACCUGGCAAAUUCGGUUCAGCACGCUGUGUAUGGAGCUUGGGCUUGAGCAGUCCUUGCUUGCCGAGCCGGGAAACGAGGAGCAGAUUCGACAAUCUCGUAAGGUUAUCAACCUGCUCAUCAAGAAUGUUAAAGAUCACCAUUUGCCGAUGGUUACGGGUGCUGCAAACGCGAAGAGGGCAUGGGACGAUCUGGCCGUGAUGUUUGUCGCUAACAAUAACGCACGCAAGGUAGCUCUCCGUCAAGAGUUCAGCCGUUUCAAGAUGGUCGACGGCGAGCCGCUACCCAAGUACUUUGCACGUGCGCGGCAAUUACAGACAGACUUGUUGGGAGUGGGGCACGUUAUCAGCAAGUCGGAGCUGGCGUACACAGUGCUGGUUGGUCUACCCAGCCACUUCAAUGUGGUAACGACGUCCCUGCUGGUGCGUGACGGUGAUUUGGACAUGGCGAGCGUCACCUCCAAGCUUUUGGCUAUCGAGGUGGCAAGCGGUGGGUCUAGUAAGCCUACCGAGUCGGCAGCUUUUGCUUCUGUCGGCGGUCUCACGUUUGGCGCCUCUGGUUCUGGUCUUAGGAAUCACGGCGCGGCCAGCAGCAGUUCUGGCGGUUCCCCCAAACAUUUGUUUUGUCACUAUUGCAAAAAGCCCGGGCACGAUAUUAAGGACUGCAGGAAGUUGAAGGCACUAAAGCAGUUGUCCAUUUCUGGCAGUGGACAAGGUAAGGGUGGUGGUGGCAGCGGAGCUAGCGGCAACAAGCCUGGGCCCGGUGGGUCUGGAAGGGGAUCAGGAUUCCCGCGGCAGGUAGCGUUCACAGCUUACAAUGGUGAGCGUCCGCAGGGGUGGUUCCUGGACUCAGCCACCACUCACCACAUAACGUAUGACCUCUCAGAACUUCUCAACGUGCGGUUGUUGGAGCCGUGGGAGCGCUUCAACAUCAUGGGCAUCAAGGGACAGUCUCUUCGGCCGACUGAAGUUGGCACGCUUAUGAUUCGGUCUAAUGUCAACGAUAAACAGGCCAUCACUUUUAAGAAGGUCUACGUCGACGAGGAGGCCACUGCCAAAAUCCUAUCGGUCCGUAUCAUUGAUGAUCGUGGAGGCAGUGUGGUCCUCGGCGGCGGACAGGUGAAAGUACACAUACAGAACCAGUUGGUGCUGACUGGAAAGCGGGAUGGGGACUUGUAUCCCGUCUGCUACAGCAGUGGAGGUACGGGCGCUCUGAAGUGGACGGAGCGUGAAGACAACAGGAUACCUUCUGGUGGUGGUGCAGUGUGUGCUGCCGUGGAUGUCGGAGCUGAACGUGCAGCACUUUGGCACCGACGGUAUGGCCACUUGGGAUACAGCAACCUUGAGGCGUUGCUGCGUCACAAUAUGGUAACUGGCUUCGAUGUUGACCGACACAGCAUACAAUCAGCCAGCACGUGUGUGUGUGAGACUUGCGUCCUUGCAAGGCAUACACGUGGUCCUUUUCCGUUAUCUGGGCAUAAGGCAGCGCAGCCUCUCACGCUCAUUCACAUGGAUGUAAUUACCUCUCGCGCUCAUUCACAUGGAUGUGUGUGGGCCUAUGCCUGAACCUUCACCAAAUGGUUCGCGUUACGUGACCACCCUUCUUGAUGGCCACACCGGUCUGUCAGCUGUUGCGUUUACGGCGUCCAAGGAAGAGAUAUAUCAGAAGGUUAGGUGGUGGUGAUGAUAGCGGACCUGGAACGGGCAUCUGGUCGGCAGGUAAAGGAGGUGCGCACGGAUCGUGGCGGGGAGUUUGUGAAUACUCGCACGAAAAACUACUUCGCGUCAAGGGGUAUUUUUGCACGGAACUACGGCGGGCUACACUCCUGAGCAGAACGGUGCAGCAGAACGCCUGAACCGCACUCUUCUAGACAAGGCCAGGUCAAUGCUCAUAGAGUCUGGACUCCCAAAAUCACUGUGGGCGGAAGCGUUGGCGACUGCAAACUACCUCAGGAACGUGUCGCCAACUGCUGGGUCAACCGUCACUCCACAUCAAGCCUUCUUUGGUGUUCGUCCGAAUGUCAGCCAUCUGCGGGUCUUUUGAUGCGCUGCAUAUGUUCAUGUGCCCAACGUCAAGCGAGACAAACUCGAUCCGGUAAGCAGGCGAGGAAUCCUAGUCCGAUACGGGAAUGGAGGACAGUACCGCGUACUGUACGAGGACGGCGUCAUCGCUGUGGUCUCCAGUGUCCGCUUUGACGAGUCUAAUGUCGGCCGGCGGCGUAGUGCUAGGGACUCCGAUUAUGGGUCCGAUGCCGAUGAGGAGGAGGACGUUCACACUAACUUGCCUGGUGAGGGGUCGCUGCCUAGGGCUGGCGAAGGAACAUCAGGCAAUACCGUCGGCGACGGAUCGCCACAUUCGCCACGGCGAGGGGGCGCCGGCUGGGGCUGGACCUUCCAGCAGUGCGAACGUGCAAGGUAACAAUCAGCCUGAUGUGGAAAUGGCAGGGACCCGGUACCCAGUUAGAGAGCGUAAACGCCCUGGCGAGUGGUGGCGAAACGAGCCUGGUCGCACUGUUACUGGUCGUGUUAAUUCUGCUUUUUCUGCUGUCAUUCCUGAACCGAAUUCGUUUGCGGAAGCAAUUGCAAGUCCACAUGCAGAUGAUUGGCGGCGUGCAAUGGACGAGGAGAUCGCCGCCCAGAUGGCUAACAGUACUUGGGAGCUGAAGAAGCCACCUCCUGGUACUCAUUUAUUGCCGUGUCAUUGGGUGUAUCAGGUUAACGAUGUACAACGAUGACGGCAGUGUGGAGCGUUUUAAGGCGCGAUUGGUUGCGAAGGGUUUCGAGCAAUGCGAGGGGAUUGAUUAUGGGGAGUUGUUUGCCCCUACCUCACGUGGUUCGUCAUUACAUGCAGUUGCCACAGCGCGGAACAUGACGGUGCACCAGCUCGAUGUGUCUACUGCAUUUUUGAACGGUGAGUUGAAGGAGGAGUUGUGGAUGCAGCAACCACCUGGGUAUGAAUCCAGUGACCGGUCGCUUGCGUGCAAGCUGCAAAAGUCGAUUUACGGUUUGAAGCAGGCACCCCGUUGCUGGUAUGAAAAGCUAUCAGCAGAGUUCGCCAAGCUGGGUCUUUAUCCUUCGAAGUCUGAUCCGGCGAUGUUCCUUAAGACGGACGAGCGUGUGGUUGUUAUUGCCUUGGUGCACGUAGACGAUACCAUUGUUGCGUCGGAAGACCCGGAAAUGGUCCGGGCAAUUAAAGCUGCAAUUGCGAAGGUCUUCAAAGUGUGCGACCUUGGAGAAGCGAAGGUGUUUUUGGGCAUGAAAUUAGGAGGGAGAAGUCGGGUGAGAUAGUGUUGUCGCAGCGUAGGUAUAUUGAGCAGCUAUUGGAGCAUAUAAGUUGGUUGACGCCAAGCCGAGGUCUACCCCUUUGCCUCCGGGUUUUAGGUACACUCCUACGGGGGACGGAGAAAAGCUGCUGGACAAUCCCACGGAGUAUAGGGCUUUGGUGGGAGAGUUGAAUUACCUAGUGACGAACACGCGGCCUGACAUUUCGUAUGCAUUGAGUGUUUUGUCCCGGCAUAUGGCUGCACCCACGAAGAGUGCUAUGAACUUAGCAAUUGGCGUUCUGCGUUACCUGGCGGGUACUCGCGAACUAGGAUUACGUUUUGGGGGUGUUGGCGACAUUGAGAUGUCCGGGUAUAGUAGUGAUUCUGACUGGGCAGGAGACCCGGUUACACGGCGUUCUACUUCCGGCUACGUUUUCACUCUAAAUGGGGCUGCGAUUACCUGGAGCAGCCAACUUCAACCAUUAACCCACAGACUGUAACCCUUUUAUCGCAACCAGUCUCCUUGCCUCCUUCAUAUCCUUAACACUCACGCACUAUGUGGUGCUGCACGUUGAUGUGUUUCAACCAAGCAGACGUAAUCGGAUUAUUUCCCAAGCUAAGCGCCCCCUGGGAGUCUAUCUGGAUUUUCACCGCGCUCUCAGCCAAGCCCAAAUCGACCAUCAGCUUGUGAAGCCACAAAGCUUCACGAACAGCUGCCGCUGUAGCUUGGUACUCGGCCUCCACCGACGAAGCCGCCACAGUACGUUGAAGUUGGCUGCUCCAGCUAAUUACAGCCCCAUUAAGAGUGAAUACAUAACCGGACGUAGAAUGCCGCGUAACUGGGUCUCCUGCCCAGUCCGAAUCGCUGUACCCGGACAUUGGAACACCGCCAACACCCCCAAAACGCAAUCCUAGUUCGCGAGUACCCGCCAGGUAACGCAGAACGCCAGUGGCCAAAUUCAUGGCAAUCUUCGUAGGUGUGGCCAUAUGCCGGGACAAAACACUCAAUGCAUAAGGAAAUGUCUGGCCAUGUGUUCGUCGCUAGGUAGUUCAACUCUCUCACCAAAGCCCUAUACUCAGUGGGAUUACCCAGCAGCUCAUCUCUAUCCCCCGUAGGUGUGCACCUAAAACCCGGAGGCAAAGGGGUAGACCGUGGCUUGGCGUCCACCGUCUGGUGACGCUCCAAUAGCUGCUAAAUAUUGCGACAACACCAAUUCGCCCGGCUUCUUCCUCUAAUUUCCAUGCCCGAAAAUACCUGCGCUUCUACAAGGUGUCGUACUUCUCGUACACCGUUGCAGCAAGCCAUGCAAAAAAGCGCUUGACGUCACCUUCCACUGUUUUCAACUUGUACAACCACUGUAGGUGGCACACGCACAGUAUAAGGCUGUACACACAGCACACAAGUGCAUUUGACCAUCACUAUGCGCCACUCAUUUGCCCUUGCUCCUGAAAUGGCUUCAGUGAAAGUAUAACUCAGCAAAAACUCAGAAGGGUACGGAUCAGUGACAGCCACGUUAAUGCGACCUACUAUCCUCCUUCCUGGAACACCAUGCCACCACUCCGAGGGCUAUAAUAUCUCCUCAUAUUCCCUGCCCUAUUCUUCUGAACUCGUGCGCUGGCUUGCACCACUAGAUGUUCCGGCUUCAUCCGGCAUUCCUUCACCAUCCACAGGUGACAGUGGUGCCUAGCCGACCGUGGUGCCUAGCCGACCGUGUUUCCUAAGUCUACCAGAACUUGGCAGAGGCCCUGACUCAGGCACACCAAUACUAGCCGCUUCGGAGUCAGACAAUUGAUAGUGGUUCUUAUCUUGCAACAAAAACAAUACACGGCAUCACUGCACUGCUGCCACCGCCUGUCUGGUGAGGCAUGCUACCCCACCUGCCAUGUGUGGGCGCCAAGACCACUUCCACUCCUUCCUUGCACGUUAGGCUGCGGCUCUCUCUGCAACUCCGAGCUAUACGGCCCGUCUGUUUGUGUUAAGAAUAUGGAGGCAAGGAGACUCGAAGGGUUGCGAGAAGGGUUGCGAUAUAAGUAUUACAAUCGGUAGGUGAGUGGUAAACGGCAGGAAGACUUUAGGAGAUUCCUACUGAGGAAUACCGAUCCAUACAAAGAUGAGAUACUAAGACUUGCACAACUCGUGUCUUAUAUACCAAUACCAACGGAAGUAUCGUACAGUCGUCCACCAUCCCUGGACCUGAGGACACGUCCGAGAUACGCGGCCGAAAGACCCGAGGCAAGGUCGAGGUACGGCUGAGGCAUCGCCUAUCAUGGUGGAUUCAUCGCCUAACUACCACCUAUCUACGUUGGGAUAGGACCGCCCUUCAACACGCCCCCUCAGGACAAAUCCUAACUCGCAGUAGCACAUUUGCUCCGCCAGUGGGCACUUCACACUAGCUUCUCUGCACCGUUUGAACUUCAAUUCUCCCAGUGCCUUCGUUAGCGCAUCCGCCACCAUCCACUCUGUAGGGCAGUACUCCAACUGCACCUCCCCGCUAUUCACCCUCUCACACACUAUGUGGUGCUGCAUGCCGAUGUGUUUCGACCGAGCAGACGUAAUCAGAUUAUUUCCCAAGCUAAGCGCCCCCUGGGAGUCUAUCUGGAUUUUCACCGCGCUCAAAUCGACCAUCAGCAAGCCCAAAUCGACCAUCAGCUUGUGAAGCCACAAAGCUUCAUGAACAGCUGCCGCUGUAGCUUGGUACUCGGCCUCCACCGACGAAGCCGCCACAGUACGUUGAAGUUGGCUGCUCCAGCUAAUUACAGCCCCAUUAAGAGUGAAUACAUAACCGGACGUAGAAUGCCGCGUAACUGGGUCUCCUGCCCAGUCAGAAUCGCUGUACCUGGACAUUGCAACACCGCCAACACCCCCAAAAUGCAAUCCUAGUUCGCGAGUACCCGCCAGGUAACGCAGAACGCCAGUGGCCAAGUUCAUGGCAGUCUUCGUAGGUGUGGCCAUAUGCCGGGACAAAACACUCAAUGCAUACAAAAUAUCAGGCCGCGUGUUCGUCGCCAGAUAGUUCAACCCUCCCACCAAAGCCCUAUACUCCGUGGGAUUGCCCAGCAGCUCCUGUCCGUCCCCCCUAGGAGUGUACCUAAAGCCCGGAGGCAAAGGGGUAGAUCUCGGCUUGGCGUCAACCAUCCUAUGACACUCCAACAGCUGCUCAAUGUACGUAUGCUGCGACAACACUAUCUCACCCGACUUCUCCCUCCUCAUCUCCAUGCCCCAAAACACCUUCGCUUCUCCAAGGUCACGCACCUUGAAGACCUUCACAAUUGCGGCUUUGAUUGCCCGGACCAUUUCCGGGUCUUCUGACACAACAAUGGUGUCAUCUACAUGCACCAAAGCAAUAACAACCCCACGCUCGUCCGUCUUAACGAACAUCACCGGAUCAGACUUCGAAGGAUAAAGACCCAGCUUGGCGAACUCUGCUGAUAGCUUUUCAUACCUGCAACGGGGUGCCUGCUUCAAACCGUAAAUAGACCUCUGCAGCUUGCAUGCAAGCGACCGGUCACUGGAUUCAUACCCAGGUGGUUGCUGCAUCCACAACUCCUCCUUCAACUCGCUGUUCAAAUAUGCAGUAGACACAUCGAGCUGGUGUACCAUCAUGUUCCAUGCUGCGACAACUGCUAAUAAAGCACGUAAUGACGAACCACAUGAGGUAGGGGCAAACAACUCCCCAUAAUCAAUCCCCUCGUGUUGCUCGAAACCCUUUGCAACCAAUCGCGCCUUAAAACACUCCAUGUUACCGUCUGCAUCAUGCUUCACCUUAUAAACCCACCAACAAGGCAGCAAACAUGCACCAGGGCGCGGCUUUUUGAGCUCCCAGGUAUUGUUGGCCAUCUAACGCUCCACACUGCCGUCAUCGUUGUACAUCGUUAACCUGAUACAUUCAACGACACGGCAAUAAAUGAGUACCAGGAGGUGGCGUCUUCAGCUCCCAAGUACUGUUAGCCAUCUGGGUGGCGAUCUCCUCGUCCAUCGCACGCCGCCGAUCGUCUGCAUGUGGACUUGAAAUUGCUUCCGCAAACGAAUUCGGUUCAGGAAUGACAGCAGAAAAAGCAGCAUUAACACGACCAGUAACAGUGCGACCAGGCUCGUUUCGCCACCACUCGCCAGGGUGUUUACGCUCUCUAACUGGGUACCAGGUCCCUGCCAUUUCUACAUCAGGCUGAUUGUUACCUUGCACGUUCACACUGCUGGAAGGUCCAGCCUCAGCCGGCGCCCCCUCGCCACCCAAAUGUGGCGAUCUCUGGCCGACAGUAUUGCCUGAUGUUCCUUCACCAGCCCUAGGCAGCGACCCCUCACCAGGCAAGUUAGUGUGGACAUCCUCCUCCUCAUCGGCAUCGGACCCAUAAUCGGAGUCCCCGGCAUUACGCCGCCGGCCGACAUUAGACUCGUCAAAGUGGACACUGGAGACAACGGCGACGACGCCGUCCUCGUACAGUACACGGUACUAGGAUUCCUUGCCUGCUUACCGGAUCAAGUUUGUCUCGCUUGACGUUGGGCACGUGAACGUAUGCAGCGCAUCCAAAGACCCGCAGAUGGCUGACAUUUGGAUGAACACCAAAGAAGGCUUGAUGUGGUGUGACGGUUGACCCAGCAGUUGGCGACACGUUCCUGAGGUAGUUUGCAGUCGCCAACACUUCCGCCCACAGUGAUUUUGGGAGUCCAGACUCUAUGAGCAUUGUCCUGGCCUUGUCUAGAAGAGUGCGGUUCAAGCGUUCUGCUGCACCGUUCUGCUCAGGAGUGUAGCCCGCCGUAGUUCCGUGCAAAAUACCCCUUGACGUGAAGUAGUUUUUCGUGCGAGUAUUCACAAAUUCUCCGCCACGAUCCGUGCGCACCUCCUUUACCUGCCGACCAGAUGCCCGUUCCAGGUCCGCUAUCAUCACCACCACCUUCUGAUAUAUCUCCUCCUUGGUCGCCGUAAACGCAACAGCUGACAGACCAGUGUGGUCAUCAAGAAGGGUGGUCACAUAACGCGAACCAUUUGGUGAAGGUUCAGGCAUAGGCCCACACACAUCCAUGUGAAUGAGCGCGAGAGGCUGCACCGCCUUAUGCCCAGAUAACGGAAAAGGACCAGGUGCAUGCUUUGCAAGGAUGCAAGUCUCACACACACACGCUGGCUGAUUGUAUGCUGUGUCGGUCAACAUCGAACCCAUUUACCAUAUUGUGAUGCAGCAACGCCUCAAGGUUGCUGUAUCCCAAGUGGCCAUACCGUCGGUGCCAAAGUGCUGCAUGUUCAGCUCUGAUAUCCAUGGCAGCACACACUGCACCACCACCAGAAGGUAUCCUGUUGUCUUCACGCUGUGUCCACUUCAGAGCGCCCGUACCUCCACUGCUGUAGCAGACAGGAUACAAGUCCCCAUCCCGCUUUCCAGUCAGCACCAACUGGUUCUGUAUGUAGACGUUCACCUGUCCGCCGCUGAAGACCACACUGCCUCCACCAUCAUCAAUGAUGCGGACCGAUAGGAUUUUGGCGGUGGCCUCCUUGUCGAUGUAGACCUUCUUAAAAGUGAUGGCCUGUUUAUCGUUGACGUUAGACCGAAUCAUAAGCGUGCCAACUUCAGUCGGCCGAAGAGACUGUCCCUUGAUGCCCAUGAUGUUGAAGCUCUCCCACGGCUCCAACAACCGCACAUUGAGAAGUUCUGAGCGGUCAUACGUUAUGUAGUGAGUGGUGGCUGAGUCCAGGAACCACCCCUACGGACGCUCACCGUUGUAAGCUGUGAAUGCAACCUGCCGCGGGAAUCCUGAUCCCCUUCCAGACCCACCGGGCCCAGGCUUGCUGCCGCUAGCUCCGCUGCCACCACCACCCUUACCUUGUCCACUGCCAGAAAUGGACAACUGCUUUAGUGCCUUCAACUUCCUGCAGUCCUUAAUAUCGUGCCCGGGCUUUUGCAAUAGUGACAAAACAAAUGUUUGGGGGAACCGCCAGAACUGCUGCUGGCCGCACUGUGAUUCCUAAGACCAGAACCAGAGGCGCCAAACGUGAGACCGCCGACAGAAGCAAAAGCUGCCGACUCGGUAGGCUUACUAGACCCACCGCUUGCCACCUCGAUAGCCAAAAGCUUGGAGGUGAUGCUCGCCAUGUCCAAAUCACCGUCACGCACCAGCAGGGACGUCGUUACCACAUUGAAGUGGCUGGGUAGACCAACCAGCACUGUACGCCAGCUCCGAGUCGCUGAUAACGUGCCCCACUCCCAACAAGUCUGACUGUUAUUGCCACGCACGUGCAAAGUACUCGCCGUCGACCAUCUUGAAAUGGCUGAACUCUUGACGGAGAGCUACCUUGCAUGCGUUAUUGUUGGUGACAAACAUCGCGGCCAAAGCGUCCCAUGCCCUCUUCAUGUUUGCAGCACCUGUAACCAUCGGCAAAUGGUGAUCUUUAACAUUCUUGAUGAGCAGGUUGAUAACCUUACGAGAUUGUCGAAUCUGCUCCUCGUUUCCCGGCUCGGCAAGCAAGGACUGCUCAAGCCCAAGCUCCAUACACAGCUUGCUGAACCAAAUUUGCCGGGUGGUGUAGUUGUUCAAGUCCAGAGGCUCGUCAAGCUUGUCCUUCCCCAUUGUGGAAUACGAGUUUUAGAGAUAGUUGCUGCUAGCGUGAGGCGGGGCUCAUAACCUGUUAAGAGUAUGAAGGCAAGUAGACUGGUCUCGAUAUAAGGGUUACAGUCUGUGGGUUAAUGGUGAACAGCAAGAAGACUUAGGGUUUACGGUUUAAGGAAUACCGAUCCAUACAAAGAUGAGAUACUAAGACUUGCACAACUCGUUUCUUAUAUACCAGUACCAAUGGAAGUAUCAUACAGAUGUCCACCAUCCCUGGACCUGAGGACACGUCCGAGAUACACGGCCGACAGACCCGAGGCAAGGUCGAGGUACGGCUGAGGCAAGGUCAAGGUACAGCCGAGGCAAGGUCAAGGUACAGCCGAGGCAAGGUCGAGGUAAGCCGAGGCAAGGUCGAGGCACGUCUGAGGCACAUUCAUCGCCUAACUACCACCUAUCUACGUUGGGAUAGGACCGCCCUUCAACAGCCAACACCCCCAAAACGUAAUCCUAGUUCGCAAGUACCCGCCAGGUAACGCAGAACACCAAUUGCUAAGUUCACAGCACUCUUCGUGGGUGCGGCCAUAUGCCGGGACAAAACACUCAAUGCAUACGAAAUGUCAGGCCGCGUGUUUGUCACUAGGUAAUUCAACUCUCCCUAUACUCCGUGGGAUUGUCCAGCAGCUCUUCUCCAUCCCCCGUAGGAGUGUACCUAAAGCCCGGAGGCAAAGGGGUAGACCUCGGCUUGGCGUCAACCAACUUAUGACGCUCCAAUAGCUGCGCAAUAUACCUAUGCUGUGACAACACUAUCUCACCCGAAUUCUCCCUCCUAAUUUCCAUGUCCCCAAACACCUUCGCUUCUCUAAGGUCACGCACCCUUAAGACCUUCACAAUUGCGGCUUUAAUUGCCCGGACCAUUUCCGGGUCUUCCGAUGCAACAAUAGUAUCAUCUACGUGCACCAAGGCAAGAACAACCCCACACUCGUCCGUCUUAACGAACAUCGCCGGAUCAGACUUAGAAGGAUAAAGACCCAGCUUGGCAAACUCUGCUGAUAGUUUCUCACACCAGCAACGGGGUGCCUGCUUCAAACCGUAAAUAGACCUCUGCAGCUUGCAUGCAAGCGACCGGUCACUGGAUGCAUAACCAGGCGGUUGCUCCAUCCACAACUCCUUCAGCUCACCGUUCAAAAACGCAGUAGACACAUCGAGCUGGUGCACCGUCAUGUUCCGUGCUGCGGCAACUGCUAAUAAAGCACGUAAAGAUGAACCAUGAGAGGUAGGGGCAAACAACUCCCCAUAAUCAAUCCCCUCGCGUUGUUCGAAACCCUUUGCAACUAAACGCACCUUAAAGCGCUCCACAUUACCGUCUGCAUCAUGCUUCAACUUAUACACCCACCGACAAUGCAGUAAACGUGUACCAGGCGGCGCCUUCUUGAGCUCCCAGGUAUGGUUGGCCAUCUGAGCGGCGAUCUCCUUAUCCGUCGCACACCGCCAGUCGUCUGCAUGUGGAUCUGAAAUGGCCUCCGCAAACGAAUUAGGUUCAGGAAUACCAACAGAGAAAGCAGCAUUAAUGCAACCAGUGACAGUGCGACCAGGUUUGUUUCACCGCCAUUCGCCAGGGCGUUUAUGUUCUCCAACUGGAUACCUAGUUCCUGCCAUUUCCACAUCAGGCUGGUUAAUUCCUUGCCCAUUCACACUGCUGGAAGGUCCAGCCCCAGCCGGCGCCCCCUCGCCACCCAAAUGCGGUGAUCCCUUGCUGACGGUGCUACCUGGUGUCCCUUCACCAGCCCUAGGCAGUGAUCCCUCACCAGGUAAACUAGUGUGAAAAUCCUCCUCCUCGUCGGCAUCAGACUCAUAAUUGGAGUCCCCGGCAUUACACCGCCAGCCGACAUUAGACUCAUCAAAGUGAACGUUAGAAACUACGGCAAUAAUGCCGUCCUUGUACAGCACACGGUACUGUCCUCCGUUCCCGUAUCCAACAAGUAUUUCACGCCUGCUCACCAGAUCAAACUUGUCGCAUUUGAUGUCAGGUACGUGGAUGUAGGUGACGCACCCAAAAACUCGAAGGUGACUGAUGUUAGGACGGAAGUUGAAGAUAGCUUCAUACGGUGUGACAGUUGACCCAGCAGUUGGCGACACAUUCCUGUGGUAAUUGGCUGUCACCAAAGCUUCCGCCCAUAAUGAUUUAGGUAGUCCGGACUCGACAAGCAUAGCCUUAGUUUUGUCUAGGAGAGUGCGAUUCAAACGUUCUGCAGCUCUGCUCUGCUCAGGGGUGUAGCCUACCAUAGUUCCGUGUACAAUACCCCUGGACGCGAAAUAGCCCUUCGUGCGAGUAUUAAUGAACUCCCCGCCACGAUCCGUACGCACCUCCUUAACCUGCCUGCUAGAAGCGCGCUCCAGUUCCGCUAUCAUUACCACCAUCUUCUGAUAGACCUCCUCCUUGGUCGCUGUAAACACAACAACUGAAAGACCGGUAUGAUCAUCAAGCAGAGUUGUCGAUGAUACGGACGGACAAAAUCUUUACCAUCGGCUCCUCGUCAAUGUAGACCCUCUUGAAUGUGAUGGCUUGAUUGUUGUUGACAUUAGAUCGAAUGGUAAGUGAUCCAACCUCCGUCGGAUGCAGUGACUGACCCUUAAUGCCCACAAUGCUAAAGUGUUCCCAAGGCUCCAACACACAUACAUUGAAUAGUUCGGAUCGGUCGUAAGUGACGUGGUGAGUAGAUGCUGAGUCCAGAAACCAUUCCGUCGGACGCUCGCUGUUGUAUGCCAAGAACACUACUUGUCGCGGAACACCUGGCCCCCUAGCUGAUCCACCGGAUCCUGGCUUGCUGCCGCUAGCUCCGCUGCCACUGUUGAUGUUGUUACAGGGUGGUUAAGCUUCACCAGUGGCCUCCUUCCCGAGGCAAUUCCCUGCUCUCCCCUGCUAGAGGGGCACCCUAAGCCAUUCACCCCAUCCGACUUCAGAGUGUACUCUUUGAGUUUGGCAACUCACCACCAGCAUCCAACCAAAUCUAGCAGAUCAACGGCGCGUCAACUUAGUUCCUGGUCAGCUCGCGAGUUGAUUUUAUCACGUCCUACACCGUCCACAAGAUGGGGGGCCACCUCCCAUUUCAUCACCUCUCAAACACCCCGAGAGGUUGGCAGGCACAUUUGAACCCGGACGCGCCGGGACGCGACGGGAGCAGAAGCCAGGCCUUAACCUCUGCCAGCCGCCUGCCUUGUUGUUGUUGCCACCCUUAUAUCCAGAAAUGGACGACUGCUUGAGUGCUUUAAGCCCUAUGGCAUAAACAUGCCGGUUACCGACCGUUUGGGGCCCAUUAACCCAACCGGCCGGUUGAAUGGCGUAACGGNNNNNNNNNNNNNNNNNNNNNNNNNNNNNNNNNNNNNNNNNNNNNNNNNNNNNNNNNNNNNNNNNNNNNNNNNNNNNNNNNNNNNNNNNNNNNNNNNNNNNNNNNNNNNNNNNNNNNNNNNNNNNNNNNNNNNNNNNNNNNNNNNNNNNNNNNNNNNNNNNNNNNNNNNNNNNNNNNNNNNNNNNNNNNNNNNNNNNNNNNNNNNNNNNNNNNNNNNNNNNNNNNNNNNNNNNNNNNNNNNNNNNNNNNNNNNNNNNNNNNNNNNNNNNNNNNNNNNNNNNNNNNNNNNNNNNNNNNNNNNNNNNNNNNNNNNNNNNNNNNNNNNNNNNNNNNNNNNNNNNNNNNNNNNNNNNNNNNNNNNNNNNNNNNNNNNNNNNNNNNNNNNNNNNNNNNNNNNNNNNNNNNNNNNNNNNNNNNNNNNNNNNNNNNNNNNNNNNNNNNNNNNNNNNNNNNNNNNNNNNNNNNNNNNNNNNNNNNNNNNNNNNNNNNNNNNNNNNNNNNNNNNNNNNNNNNNNNNNNNNNNNNNNNNNNNNNNNNNNNNNNNNNNNNNNNNNNNNNNNNNNNNNNNNNNNNNNNNNNNNNNNNNNNNNNNNNNNNNNNNNNNNNNNNNNNNNNNNNNNNNNNNNNNNNNNNNNNNNNNNNNNNNNNNNNNNNNNNNNNNNNNNNNNNNNNNNNNNNNNNNNNNNNNNNNNNNNNNNNNNNNNNNNNNNNNNNNNNNNNNNNNNNNNNNNNNNNNNNNNNNNNNNNNNNNNNNNNNNNNNNNNNNNNNNNNNNNNNNNNNNNNNNNNNNNNNNNNNNNNNNNNNNNNNNNNNNNNNNNNNNNNNNNNNNNNNNNNNNNNNNNNNNNNNNNNNNNNNNNNNNNNNNNNNNNNNNNNNNNNNNNNNNNNNNNNNNNNNNNNNNNNNNNNNNNNNNNNNNNNNNNNNNNNNNNNNNNNNNNNNNNNNNNNNNNNNNNNNNNNNNNNNNNNNNNNNNNNNNNNNNNNNNNNNNNNNNNNNNNNNNNNNNNNNNNNNNNNAACAUCACCCCAAUCUCAGUGUAAACUAGUCUCCAAAUGUGCCUGCACAAGACUGUCACCCCUGUCACCCGGCAUUCACAUUGCCUUAACCUCCUAAGCUUGUCGGGGUGUGACACGUGGGCAUGAACCUUGUGACAAUGGGCAUUGUCACAAAGAAACUGGUUGCAAUCAGAAAUGCAUUUUUCCUCAUGCCAGGUUACCGACAUCGGUUACCGAUUACUGGGGACGGUUAACGGAUAACGGUUCGCUCGGUAAUCCUACCGACCGGUUACCCAUCUCGUUAACUGGACCCGUUAGGUCGGAACCGGGCCGGAACCGGCCUGGAGUAUGCCAUUGGGAAGCUGCCUGCAGUCCUUUACCACAUGCCCAGGCUUAUAACAGUAGUAGCAGAUGAGUUGCUUCCGACUGUGUCCCGAGCUGUUGUUAGCUGGCCCUUGGCUACCAUAACCAGAAUUAGAAGCACCGAACAUCGAACCGCCGACAGAUGCAAACACUGCCGACUCGGUAGAUUUGCCUGACCCACCGUUUGCCUUGUCGAUAGCUAAAAGCUUCGAUGUGACGUUCACCAUGUCCAAAUCGCCGUCACGCAUCAGUAGUGUUGUCGUCACCAUGCUGUACUGAUUGGGUAAACCAACUAAGACGGUAUACGCCAGCUCGGAGUCGUUGAUUACGUGGCCGACACCCAACAAGUCCGUUUGCAGCUGCCUCACACGCGCAAAUACUUGGGAAGUGGCUCGCCGUCGACCAUCUUGAAGCGGCUGAAUUCUUGUCAUAGAGCCACCUUGCGGGCGUUGUUGUUGGCAGUGAACAUCGAGUUCAAGGCAUCCCAAGCCUUCUUCGUGUUGGCGGCACCGGUGACCAUCGGCAAAUGGUGAUCCUUGACGUUCUUCAUAAGCAGAUUGAUGACUUUCUGUGAUUGACGGAUCUGCUCCUCGUUGCACGGUUCGGCGAGCAAAGACUGCUCAAGCCCAAGCUCCAUGCACAUCGUGCUAAACUGGAUUUGCCAUGUGGAGUAGUUGUGGAGGUCCAGCGGCUCAUCAAGCUUAUUCUUGACCAUUGUCGAUAGGGGAUAGAAAUAACAAUCGGACGAUAGCUGUCUGCGCUACCCGGGGCUCAUAACCUAUUGGAGAAUUGGCGACGGUGAUGGCUGAUGCUGAUUGUUAUUCCGGAAGGAUUGCCGGCGGUGAAGAUAUUGAACACGAUAAACUGUUACAAGUAAUGUAAAACUGUAAAUUGCGUUAGGCAGGACUCGAGAAGAUUCCUUUGAGGAAUACCGAUCGUUGUGAGAUAAACAAAUAAGCGCAGUCACCACCCUAAAUACCGAAAACUCGUAUCUAACUGCAUGUACAUUCCGCAAUCUCACUGCGCUGUCCUGACGGUGCCCGAAUGUCUAUCACUUAGCUACCGGAUAUGCAUCGGUAGCCCCAUACAGUUCUGGGGUAAGUCUUCCCCAAUAGUUAGUCACAGACCCGGGGUCAAAUACCCUGGUCGACAACCACACGAGUUGGGAGAGGACCGUUUCCUCAACAAAACGAGCCUGGCCGCACUGUUACUGGUCGCGUUAUCACUGCUUUCUCUUCUGAUAUUCCAGAACCUAAUUCGUUUGCAGAAGCCAUUUCAGAUCCACAUGCAGACAACUGGCGGCGUGCGAUGGAUGAGGAGAUCACCGCUCAGAUGGCCAACCAUACCUGGAGCUUAAGAAACCGCUGCCUGGUACACGUUUGCUGCCUUGUCGGUGGGUGUAUAAGGUGAAGCAUGAUGCAGACGGUAAUGUGGAGCGUUUCAAGUCGCGUUUAGUUGCAAAGGGUUUCGAACAACGCGAGGGGAUUGAUUAUGGGGAGUUGUUUGCUCCUACCUCUCGUGGUUCAUCUUUACAUGCUUUAUUAGCAGUUACCGCAGCGCGGAACAUGACGGUGCACCAGCUCGAUGUGUCUACUGCGUUUUUGAACGGUGAGCGGAAGGAAGAGUUGUGGAUGGAGUAACCGCCUGGUUAUGCAUCCAGUGACCGGUCACUUGCAUGCAAGCUGCAGAAGUCGAUUUACGGUUUGAAGCAGGCACCCCGUUGCAGGUAUNNNNNNNNNNNNNNNNNNNNNNNNNNNNNNNNNNNNNNNNNNNNNNNNNNNNNNNNNNNNNNNNNNNNNNNNNNNNNNNNNNNNNNNNNNNNNNNNNNNNNNNNNNNNNNNNNNNNNNNNNNNNNNNNNNNNNNNNNNNNNNNNNNNNNNNNNNNNNNNNNNNNNNNNNNNNNNNNNNNNNNNNNNNNNNNNNNNNNNNNNNNNNNNNNNCUAGCGAUGAACACGCGGCCUGACAUAUCGUAUGCAUUGAGCGUUUUGUCCCGGCAUAUGGCCGCACCCAUGAAGAGUGCUAUGAACUUAGCAAUUGGCGUUCUGCGUUACCUGGCGGGUACUCGCGAACUAGGAUUGCGUUUUGGGGGUGUUGGCGACAUUGAGAUGUCCGGGUAUAGUGAUUCUGACUGGGCAGGAGACCCGGUUACACGGCAUUCUACUUCCGGCUACGUUUUUACUCUAAAUGGGGCUGCGAUUAGCUGGAGCAGUCAACUUCAACGUACUGUGGCGGCUUCGUCGGUGGAGGCCGAGUAUCAAGCUACAGCGGCAGCUGUUCGUGAAGCUUUGUGGCUUCGCAAGCUGAUGGUCGAUUUGGGUUUGCCUGAGAGCGCUAUCAAGAUUCAAAUAGAUUCCCAGGGGGCGCUUAGCUUAGGAAAUAACCCGAUUACAUCUGCUCGGUCGAAACACAUCGAUGUACAACAUCACAUAGUGUGUGAGAGGGUGAAUAGCGGGGAGGUGCAGUUGGAAUACUGCCCUACGGAGUGGACGGUUGCGGAUGUGCUAACGAAGGCUUUGGGCGAGGUGAAAUUCAAACGUUGCCGAGAUGCGAUGGGCCUUGUGUGAAGCGUGCUGAUGAACCUGAUACUUGUUGGGAUACGGCCCGAGGGGGCGUGUUGAGGAAAUGGUCCUCUCCCAACUCGUGUGGUUGUCGACCAGGGGACUUAACCCCGGGUCUGCGCCUGACUAUUUGGGAAGACUUACCCCAGAACUUUAUGGGGCUGCCGAUGCAUAUCCGGUAGUUAAGUGGUGGACAUUUGGGCACCGUCAGGAUGGCGCAGUGAGAUCGCGGAAUGUACGUGCAGUUAGAUCGCAGAAUGUACGAGUUUUCCGCUAGCGCCGGUAUUUAGGGCAGUGACUGCACUUAUGUGUUUAUCUCACAACGAUCAGUAUUCCCUAAAGGAAUCUCACUAAAGUCCUGCACUAACGCAAUUUACAGUUUUAUAUUACUUGUAACAAUUUAGUAAUAUUAUGCAUUUGGCAGGNNNNNNNNNNNNNNNNNNNNNNNNNNNNNNNNNNNNNNNNNNNNNNNNNNNNNNNNNNNNNNNNNNNNNNNNNNNNNNNNNNNNNNNNNNNNNNNNNNNNNNNNNNNNNNNNNNNNNNNNNNNNNNNNNNNNNNNNNNNNNNNNNNNNNNNNNNNNNNNNNNNNNNNNNNNNNNNNNNNNNNNCAGGACUUUAGGAUAUUCCUUUUGAGGAAUACCGAUCGUUGUGAGAUAAACAAAUAAGCGCAGUCACUGCCCUUAAUACCAGUGCUAGCGGAAAACUCGUACAUUCCGCGAUCUAACUGCACGUACAUUCCGCGAUCUCACUGCGCCGUCCUGACGGUGCCCAAAUGUCUAUCACUUAGCUACCGGAUAUGCAUCGGUAGCCCCAUAAAGUUCUGGGGUAAGUCUUCCCCAAUAGUCAGUCACAGACCCGGGGCCAAAUCCCCUGGUCGACAACCACAUGAGUUGGGAGAGGACCAUUUCCUCAACACGCCCCCUCAGGCCGUAUCCCAAGGAGUAUCAUCAGCACGCUUCACACAAGGCCCAUCGCAUCUCGGCAACGUUUGAAUUUCACCUCGCCCAGAGCUUUCAUGAGCACAUCCGCAACCAUCCACUUCGUAGGGCAGUAUUCCAACUGCACCUCCCCGCUAUUCACCCUCUCACACACUAUGUGAUGCUGCACGUCGAUGUGCUUCAACUGAGCAGACGAAAUUGGGUUAUUUCCUAAGCUAAGCGCCCCCUGGGAAUCUAUUUGAAUCUUGAUAGCGCUUUUAGGCAAACCCAAAUCGACCAUUAGCUUGUGAAGCCACAAAGCUUCACGAACAGCUGCCGCUGUAGCUUGAUACUCGGCCUCCACCGACGAAGCCGCCACAGUACGUUAAAGUUGACUGCUCCAGCUAAUCGCAGCCCCAUUUAGAGUAAAAACGUAGCCGGAAGUAGAAUGCCGUGUAACCGGGUCUCCUGCCCAGUCAGAAUCACUAUACCCGGACAUCUCAAUGUCGCCAACACCCCCAAAACGCAAUCCUAGUUCGCGAGUACCCGCCAGGUAACGCAGAACGCCAAUUGCUAAGUUCAUAGCACUCUUCAUGGGUGCGGCCAUAUGCCGGGACAAAACGCUCAAUGCAUACGAUAUGUCAGGCCGCGUGUUCAUCGCUAGGUAAUUCAACUCCCCCACCGAAGCCCUAUACUCCGUGGGAUUGUCCAGCAGCUCUUCUCCGUCCCCCCUAGGAGUGUACCUAAAGCCCGGAGGCAAAGGGGUAGACCUCGGCUUGGCGUCAACCAACUUAUGAUGCUCCAAUAGCUGCUCAAUAUACCUAUGCUGCGACAACACUAUCUCACCCGACUUCUCCCUCCUAAUUUCCAUGCCCCCAAACACCUUCGCUUCUCCAAGGUCACGCACCUUGAAGACCUUCACAAUUGCGGCUUUAAUUGCCCGGACCAUUUCCGGGUCUUCCAACACAACAAUGGUGUCAUCUACAUGCACCAAAGCAAUAACAACCCCACGCUCGUCUGUCUUAACGAACAUCGCCGGAUCAGACUUAGAAGGAUAAAGACCCAGCUUGGUGAACUCUGCUGAUAGUUUCUCACACCAGCAACGGGGUGCCUGCUUCAAACCGUAAAUCGACUUUUGCAGCUUGCAUGCAAGCGACCGGUCACUGGAUGCAUAACCAGGCGGUUGCUCCAUCCACAACUCCUCCUUCAGCUCAUGGUUCAAAAAUGCAGUAGAUACAUCAAGCUGAUGCACCAUCAUGUUCCGGGCUGCAGCAACUGCUAAUAAAGCAUGUAAAGAUGAACCACGAGAGGUAGGGGCAAACAACUCCCCAUAAUCAAUCCCCUCGUGUUGCUCAAAACCCUUUGCAACCAAACGCGCCUUAAAACACUCCAUAUUACCGUCUGCAUCAUGCUUCACCUUAUAAACCCACCGACAAGGCAGCAAACGUGUACCAGGGCGCGGCUUUUUGAGCUCCCAGGUAUUGUUGGCCAUCUGAGCGGCGAUCUCCUCAUCCAUUGCAUGCCGCCAGUCGUCUGCAUGUGGAUGUUAGAUGGCUUCAGCAUACGAGUUAGGCUCUGUAAUCCCAGUGGAAAUUUCAGUGUUGACUCGGCCAGUAACAGUACGACCAGGUUCAAUCCGCCACCACUCGCCAGGACGUUUGCGCUCCCUAACCUGAUUGCCAUUUCCACAUCAGGCUGAUUGUUACCUUGCAUGUUCGCACUGCUGGAUGGUCCAGCCCCAGCCGGCGCCCCCUCCCCACCCAAAUGCGGCAAUCCCUCACUGACGGUGUUUUUUUCCCUUGGUAUCCCUUUGCCAGCCCUAGGCAGCGAUCCCUCACCAGGCAAGCUAGUGCAAAAAUCCUCCUCGUCGGCAUCAGACUCAUAAUUGGAGUCCCCGGCAUUACACCGCCGGCCGACAUUAGACUCGUCAAAGUGAACAUUAGAAACUAUGGCAUUAAUGCCGUCCUUGUACAGCACACGGUACUGCCCUCCAUUCCUGUAUCCGACUAGUAUUCCACGCCUGCUCACCAGAUCAAACUUGUUGCGUUUGACGUCGGAUAUGAGGAUGUAGGCGACGCACCCAAAAUCUCGAAGGUGACUGACGUUCGGACGGACAUUGAAGAAAGCCUGGUACGGCAUGACGGUUGACCCAGCAGUCGGUGACACAUUCCUGAGAUAAUUUGCUGUUCCCCACACUUCCGCCUGUAAUGACUUCGGCAGUCUAGACUCGACAAGCAUAGCCCUGGUCUUUUCUAGAAGAGUGUGAUUCAAACGUUCAGCUGCUCUGUUCUGCUCAGGGGUAUAGCCCACCGUAGUUCCAUGUACAAUACCCCUGGACGCGAAGUAGCCCUUCAUGCGAGUAUUAAUGAACUCCCCACCAUGAUCCGUGCACACCUCCUUAACCUGCUGGCCAGAAGCACGCUCCAGUUCUGCUAUCAUCACCACCACCUUCUGAUGGAACUCCUCCUUGGUCGCUGUUAACGCAACAGCUGAAAGACCAGUAUGAUCGUCAAGCAGCAUUGUAACGUAACACGAACCGCUAGGGGAAGGUUCAGGCAUAGGUCCACACACAUCCAUGUGAACUAGUGCAAGCGGCUGUGCUGCCUCAUGCCUUGUUAGCGGAAAUGGACCUCAGGUAUGCUUUGCAAGAAUGCAAGUCUCACAAACACACAUGCUGGCUCUCUGAAAUCUGUGCUGGUCAACAUCAAACCCCAUUACCAUGUUGUGAUGCAGCAACACCUCGAGGUAUCUGUAUCCCAGAUGUCCAUUACAUCGGUGCCAUAGAGUUGCACGUUCCACCUUGAAAUCCACGGUGGUGCACAAUGUACCACGUCCAGACGGUUGUUCAUUAUCAUCAUACCUAGUAGUCUGCGUCCACCUGAUUGUACCUGUAUCUCCACCUCCGUAACAGAUGGGGUAUAAGUCACCGUCACGCUUAAUGGUAAAUACUAGAUAGUCCUGCACAUAUACCUUUACUUGUCUGCCACCAAAGACGACACUACCACCGUGAUCAUUGAUGAUAUGGACAGACAGAACCUUGACCAUCGCCUCCUUGUCAAUGUAGACCUUUUUGAAAGUGAUGGCCUGUUUGUCGUUGACGUUAGACUGAAUGAUGAGCGAGCCGACCUCCAUUGGACGCAAAGACUGUCCCUUGAUGCCCAUUAUGCUGAAGCACUCCCACGGCUCCAACACAUACAUUUAAUAGUUCUGAACGGUCGUAAGUGACGUGAUGUGUAGACGCGGAAUCAAGGAACCAUCCCGUCGGACACUCACUGUUGUAUGCCACUAACGCGACCUGCCUUGGAACUCCUGGUCCCCUGGCUUCCACCGCACCCAGGCUUGCUGCCGCUAGCUCCGCCACCACUGCUGCUUUUACCACCCUUAUUUUGUCCAGAAAUAGACAGCUGCUUCGGGGCUUUCAGCUGCCUGCAGUCCUAAACCACGUGCCCAGGCUUGUUGCAGUAGUAGCAGGUGUGUUGCUUCUUACUGGGUCCCGAGCUGCUGCUAGCCGGCCCUCGGCUGCCAUAACCAGAAUUAGAAACGCCGAACAUUGAACCGCCGACAGAUGCAAUCGAUGAUACGGACAUCUGGGCUACAGCAACCUCGAGGCGUUGCUGCGCCACAAUAUGGUAAUGGGAUUUGAUGUCGACCAGCACAGAUUUCAGAGAGCCAGCAUGUGUGUUUGUGAGACCUGCGUUUUUGCAAAGCAGGCACAAGGUCCUUUUCCGCUGACAGGGCACAAGGCAGCCCAGCCACUAGCACUAGUUCACAUGGGUGUGUGGACCAAUGCCUGAACCUUCGCCAAGUGGUUCGCGUUACGUGACAACUCUGCUUGACGACCAUACUGGUCUUUCAGCUGUUGUGUUUACAGCGACCAAGGACGAGGUCUAUCAGAAGAUGGUGGUAAUGAUAGCGGAACUGGAGCACGCUUCUGGCAGGCAGGUUAAGGAGGUGCGUACGGAUCGUGGCGGGGAGUUCAUUAAUACUUACACGAAGGGCUAUUUCACAUCCAGGGGUAUUGUACAUGGAACUAUGGUAGGCUACACCCCUGAGCAAAACGGAGCAGCGGAACAUUUGAAUCGCACUCUCCUAGACAAAACCAGGGCUAUGCUUGUCGAGUCUGGACUACCUAAGUCAUUAUGGGCGGAAGUGUUGGCGACAGCCAAUUACCUCAGGAAUGUGUCGCCAACUGCUGGGUCAACUGUCACGCCAUAUGAAGCUUUCUUCAACGUCCGUCCUAACGUCAGUCACCUUCGAGAUUUUGGGUGCGUCGCCUACGUCCACGUACCUGACGUCAAACGCGACAAGUUCGAUCCGGUGAGCAGGCAUGGAAUACUUGUCGGAUACGGGAACGGAGGACAGUACUGUGUGCUGUACAAGGACGGCAUUAUUGCCGUAGUUUCUAACGUUUGCUUUGAUGAGUCUAAUGUCGGCCGGCGGUGUAAUGCCGGGGACUCCGAUUAUGAGUCUGAUGCCGACGAGGAGGAUUUUUGCACUAGCUUGCCUGGUGAGGGAUUGCUUCCUAGGGCUGGUGAAGGGAUGCCAGGUAGCACUGUCGGCGAGGGAUCGCCGCAUUUGGGUGGCGAGGGGGCGCCGGCUGGGGCUGGCCCAUCCAGCAAUGCAAACAGGCAAGGAAAUGAUCAACCAGAUGUGGAAAUGGUGGGAGCUAGGUAUCCAGUUAGAGAGCGCAAACAUCCUGGCGAGUGGUGGCGGAAUGAAUCCGGUCGUACUGUUACUGGCCGAGUCAAUGCUGCAAUUUCUGCUGGGAUUACAGAGCCUAACUCGUAUGCCGAAGCCAUCUCAAGUCCACAUGCAGAUGACUGGAGGCGCGUGAUGGACGAGGAGAUCGCCACCCAGAUGGCUUGGGAGCUGAAGAAGCCACCUACCGGUACUCAUUGUUUGUUUGUUGCCGUGUCGCUGGGUGUAUAAGGUUAAGUACAACGAUGAUGGCAGCAUGGAGCAUUUUAAGGCUGUUUGGUUGUUGGUUGUAAGGGUCUUGAGCAACACGAGGGAAUAGAUUAUGGGGAGUUGUUUGCCCCUACCUCUCGUGGUUCAUCAUUACAUGCUUGGUUAGCAGUUGCAGCAGUUCGGAAUAUGACAGUACAUCAGCUCAACGUGUCUACUGCGUUUUUGAAUGGCGAGUUGAAGGAGGAGUUGUGGAUGCAGCAACCGCUUGGGUAUGCAUCCAGUGACCGGUCACUGGAUGCAUACCCAGGCGGUUGCACCAUCCACAAUUCCUCCUUCAGCUUGCCAUUAAAAAAGGCGGUUGAGACAUCAAGCUGAUGCACCACCAUAUUCUGGGCUGCUGCAACUGCUAAUAAUGCCCAUAUAGAAGAACCAUGAGAGGUAGGGGCAACAACUCCCCAUAAUAUAUCCCUUCAUGUUGUUCAUACCCCUUCACAACCAAACACACCUUAAAACGCUCCACACUACCGUUGGCAUUGUACAAUGGGUUUUGGAAUGCAGUGUACGACUCAUGGAAUGUGUGCAAAACAUGGGCCCGGGUAGUCAUGGAGUGCAGUGUACGACUCAUGGAAUGAGUGCAAAACAUGGGCCAGGGUGGUCAUGGAAUGCAGUGUACGACUCAUGGAAUGAGUGCAAAACAUGGGCCAGGGUGGUCAUGGCCUGCAUUGUUCCAUCAUGGAAUACCAUGCGCAAUAUGACCUGGUCAUGUUCUGCAUAUUUAUGAGCAGGUACAUGACCACAUUUAUGACCUCAUGGGGUCAUAAAGUGCAGCCAUGACUGAAUACGGUCAUAUUGCGGUCCCAUGACCUGUCAUAAAUCCAAUCAUAAAUCCCAUCAUGACCACGCAUUUCAUGACCCCAACCAGUCAUAUCCUGCACUUGCUUAUGCAAACUAUGAACUGAUCCAUGACCGGAUCCAUGACUUAAUGACAAAUUAUGACCGGAUCCAUGACCACAUACAUGACCAAAUCCAUGACUUAAUGGCAAAUUAUGACCGGAUCCAUGACCGCAUCCAUGACCAAAUCCAUGACUGGAAAACCCAUCCAUGACCAAGUCUUUCCCCGAGUGUGUGCUUCACCUUAUAAACCCACCGACAAGGCAGCAAACGUGUAACAGGAGGCGGCUUCUUGAGCUCCCAGGUAUGGUUGGCCAUCUGAGCGGCAAUCUCCUCAUCCAUCGCAACCGCCAGUUGUCUGCAUGUGGACCUGAGAUGGCUUCGGCAUACGAGUUAGGCUCUGUAAUCCCAGCGGAAACUGCAGCGUUGACUCGGCCAGGUUGACUCGGCCAGUAGCAGUACGACUGGGUUCAUUCAGCCACCACUCGCCAGGACGUUUGCGUUCCCUAACUGGAUACCGAGUCUCUUCCAUUUCCACAUCAGGCAGUGUAUUUCCAGGCACAUUCACACUGCUGGAUGAUCCAGCCCCAGCUGGCGCCCCCUCGCCACCCAAAUGCGGUGAUCCCUCGCCAACAGUAUUGCCUGAUGUCCCUUCACCAGCCCUAGGCAGCGACCCCUCACCAGGCAAGUUAGUGUGAACAUCCUCCUCCUCAUGCUCGCACUAACUUGCCUGGUGAGGGGUCGCUGCCUAAUCGAAGUCCCGGCACUAUGCUGCCAGCCGACAUUAAAAUCAUCAAAGUGGACAUUGGAGAUGCAAUGAUGCCAUCCUCGUAUAGUACAUGGUACUGCCCUCCAUUCCUGUAUCCGACAAGGACUCCUCAUACCGGAUCGAGUUUGUCUUGCUUGACGUUGGGCACAUGAACGUAUGCAGCACAUCCAAAGACCCGCAGAUGGCUGACAUUUGGAUGAACACCAAAGAAAGCUUGAUGUGGCGUGAUGGUUGACCCAGCAGUCAGCGACACAUUCCUGAGGUAGUUUGCUGUCGCCAACACUUCCGCCCACAGUGAUUUUGGGAGUCCAGACUCUAUGAGCAUUGACCUGGCCUUGUCUAGAAGAGUGCGGUUCAGGUGUUCUGCUGCACAGUUCUGCUCAGGGGUGUAGCCUGCUGUAGUUCCGUGCAAAAUACCCCUUGACGCGAAGUAGGUUUUUGUGCGAGUAUUCACAAAUUCCCUGCCACGAUCCAUGCACAUCUCCUUUACCUGCCGACCAGAUGCCUGUUCCAGGUCCGCUAUCAUCACUCCUCUGGGGUCCCCAGAGGAGUCGGAGCACAUGCUCCAGGGGGAAAUGUCUAGCACAGAACGGGAGCUCUGCAUGGUAACACUAGAGCUGGACUGGAUUAAGGGUAAAGGCCCACACUUAAUAACGGGAAAGUCGUUACAAUAUCACACUGACAGCCAGGCUACAGCCCUGUGUGUGCUAUGCAUGAAGGGGCAGGGCCUGCAGUGAGUGGAUUGUACAUUAACCCCUGUUUGACCGGAUGGGGUGAGUGGAUAAUUGCAGAGGAGAAGCCAGACUGUGUUCUGAUCACCCCAGUCUGGCCAUGAUGGUGGAGGAAUAGGUUGGCAACCCGAACCAUCAAGAUGUAGAGGCGCUUGCCACACACCCCUGCCCUUUUCAGGUCAGGGCCCCAGGUCCCAGGCGGCACAGAGAGGAUGCUGAAGGCCCCACAUUAUGCAGUCAAAGUGGUGUUCAUUAUGUGGUAAAAAGAAGACUAGUGUCGGGCCCAGGAGAGUGACCAACGAGCACAUGAAUGAGCACAAGGGGGCAGUACUCGGAGGGGUUGUGAGGAGGCAAUGGUCCUGAUUUGGUGAUAGAAUAUGACAGAGAGGAUAGUGGGGAGCUGGGUGCCAAGAGAAGCACCAGGGGACAUGAAAGGGCCGGGACCGUCGGACUAGGCUGCAAGGCAGUGUGGCUGGGAUAUGGUGUGGCCAGCGUUUACUUAAGUAAUAUAUUCCUUAAAAGGAAUAAACAGGCAAUUCGGCCUUUGGAAAAAAGGAAUGAAUUGAGGCCGACCCGUACAAUUUCAUUCCUCCAGCCAAAAACGUCCAUUGCCGCCAGAUUGCUCUGUAGUGUGCAGAACUUAGUAUUUUCAAUCAUAGAAUAGGUAUGAGGGGCCGUGAGAAGGUCAAGCCCCUGAGUCAACACGGCAUAGCAGAAUGUAUGACCGGUCCUCACAUAACCAAACACGCAAAAGGCAAUGACUCAAAUGUUGAACAGACACCAAAACAGCAAGAUAAGCCUGAAAAUUUUCCUGAUAAAGGUGUUUGGGAUGGCGGUGCUGUAAUGUUCGGCAAUGGUGUUGCUACCAUUACCCCUGCCCUCCAGGGUGGGUGUAAUCAGCAUAAGCUCAAGCUAUCGCCUAAUCAGCUCGACAACAAUAACAAGGCAGGCAGAGGUUAAGGCCUGACUUCUGCUCUGGGAGUGUCCGGGUUGAAAUCCGCCUGCCGACCUAACGGGUGUUUAAGAGGUGGUGAAAUGGGAGGUGGCCCCCCAUCUUAUGGACGGUGUAGGACGUGGUAAAAUCAUCUUGCGAGCUGACCAGGAUCUGAGUUGAGGCGCUGUUGAUCCGAUAGAAUAGGUUGGAUGCUGGUGGUGAAUUGCCAAACUCAAAGAGUACACUCUGAAGUCAGAUGGGGUGAACGGAUUAGGGUGCCCCUCUAGCAGGGGAGAGCAGGGAAUUGCCUCGGGAAAGGAGGUCACUGGUGAAGCUUAACCACCCUGUAACAACAUCAACAAUAACAGUGAAUGCGGUGUGGUUGGCAAUCCAUUCCAGGCACCCAAUCAAAGCGUUCGCUGGGCCAAGCAGGCUCAGACACAGCGCAUCUGCAAGGGCCAGAGCGACAGUGAUCAGAUCCUCAUGAGGAAGUGGCUGGACAGCAGCGGAGGGGCCAGUACAUGAUGCACCGGUAGAGUCCUAGUGUGCUGUGGUUUGCAGCGGCGGUUGCUUGCUUUGGGCGGUUGCUUGCUUUGCUUGGUCGAUUUUCCUUAUUGCUCACAAACAGUGCCAGAACUAUCUAUGCAUGUGCACGAAGAGUGCACACAGGAACGAAAAUGCACCAACUCAGUGCAUGACGUUUGGUCUAUAAGGGGAGUUGUAUGGGGGGUUCUGGGGGAGAUAACACCUAAGGAAUAAAUCACGACGACCCUAGCAAUUCUGUUGCUUAGAUUGGAAUAAAUUGAGACCCGCCCUAAACGAAAAAAAAAUCACUGGGCCAUACCCGGAAGAGCCUGCCGUGGCACAGAAGGGGGUUGAUGAAGCACCCACUGAACCGCCACUGCAUCCACAGCACGGGCAACAGUUCUGCUAGAGAAUUGCUAGGAAAACCCAACUGGGCCAUUGUGAACUCUAAACUCUAAGUCCACAAGCUGCUUAACAGACACUUUUUGCUUAGCUCGAGCCAGCUCCUCAUUUGAUGAGGAGCUAUGGUACACUCACAUCCAAGGAAGAAACAGAAAACAUGAAUUGACGGGCGAACGCUGCAUUCUCGGGUUCGUAUACAUUUGACUCAACGUGGU
This 132276-nucleotide long non-coding RNA is filed under the name Volvox carteri. RNAcentral describes it as "long non-coding RNA (VCAR_LNC000987)". Lineage: Eukaryota; Viridiplantae; Chlorophyta; Chlorophyceae; Chlamydomonadales; Volvocaceae. The record is from RNAcentral.